GAUCAACUAUAGCUCUGGAGUUUUUGUAGAUUUUCAAAAUAAAACUCAGAGAUUCCUUGUAUGACUCUCUCAAUUCUCUUUUUUGUGGUAUUUCUGGAUCCUCACCAAGGCAGUGAUGAUAUAUGCCUUCUCUCAAAGUAUGUGGUAUUUUUGGUAUAAGGCAUAGUGAUAUUGCCUUCUCUCUCAUCCUACUCUAAUGAGGCUUUGAUAUCUGGAGCUCAUAGGUGGGAGACAGCUAAUACAUACUUACAAUACAUUUAUUGCAUAGUCAAACCAUGGAUCCAGAGAAACAAGUCAAUAAGUCAAAUCAAGAUGUGCAUGUGUGGUGAAUGAAUGGUGUAUGGUGAUGAUGGUGAUAAUGGUGAAAACAAUGGUGAAAGUCUAAUUCUACGCUUGCUCUUUUGAGGGGAUACAUACCUUUCUUGCACUUUGAAGCAUUUUGAGGGGAAUGAGAUGCUCUAUAUUUUCUUUUUCUUUUCUCUCAGGUGGGUAUCUUGUACCCCUAAUUCUACUGUCGGACACUUGUCCAUUUUUACCUCUCGUCUCACUUUUUCUUUUUCUCUCGAGGUUCCGGGCACUUGCCCCUUUUUAUUUCCUCGUAUUUUUCCUUCUUCUUUUUUUUCAGAGCACUCACUCUCCUAGAAUAAUGUAGCAAGUGGUAGUAACCAAAAUAUCUCGAGCAUUUAUUUCACAGGGAAUAACAGGGAUAGGAUAAUGUUUUUGGCUAUUCUCUCCUAGAUAGGAGUAGAAUAAUUUUGGGUGAAUCUGGAGAUGGAAAGGAGUGGAUGUAUGUGGAUGCGUACUUCGAGAGUAGAAGCAGCAUGUAUGAGUGAACGUGCAAGUGAAUCUUGAUUUUAACCGCAUGACAAGUUCCUAAGGGUCUACACAGCUUGACCACACUCAAUGCUCAUAAGCAGUAAAAAGUAAAUAUAUGGUUCACAGUCUAAUACGCAUGUAUAUAUGGCUGUGGUAGGAUUUUAAACUCUCAUCAUACAGAAACUCAUCAUGCAACAUUUUAAAGAUUUUCAAAGAUAAAAUUCUCCAGAAUUCUAGUAUCUCUAAGAAUAGAUAAACAACAGCUCAACCUUCUCAUAUCAUAUCCGUUAACGACUUAGACUUUUGAUCAGGUACUCUUCUGACAAGUUUAGGUUUAGAGCAAAUCUUAAUUCAUAACAGUCAUGCCUAAACUUGAGAGAGAGCUCAAAUUUGAAAACUAGGUACUUGGCAGAGCGACUAUUCAUCAUAUCCAUGUAAGAGUUUAUCAUUGGAGUUCACUUUGGCAUAGACACUUUAUUUAUUUAUUUAAUAAACUAAGCAAAGAUAUAUAUAUAUAUAUAUAUAUAAGCACAAAAUCUUUAUUUGGGUUUUUAUGAUUAUGCAUCUUUUUAUUAUUUGAGUAUAAACGCGAGUAGAAACACUUAGCUAGAUAAAUGGGGGUGCUCUCCCCCAAGCUGGAUUUUGAUGUAAUUUCUUCUGAUGUAGCUAGCAGGUGGCGGAGGUGUAUUUGAAUGUCGGCAGCACCCUGACAGCAAUUAGGAUGUCCUCCGUCUGCUAGUCUUCUUUGAUCCUUGAAUUAUGUGGAGCUCAAAUAGACAACAAAGCUUUGUGGAACUGGUUAAGUGUUAGCAUAAAAUCUCUUUGCCUUUAUCAUGUUGAGCUUCCUCUAAUAAAUAUCACUCUCUUUGGUAGGAUCAUAAAUUUAUUUUUAUACUUUCAUUUCUAUUGGACAGGAAUAUAUUUAUUUUAUUUUUACGCCACCACAGUGAAUGUACUUAUGGGUUUUAUGCCACGAGCAUACUCACAUGGGGCUUACUAUUUUUAAUAUUUUUAUUUUCUUUUCAAGAUAGCAUGAUUAACUAACAAGCCAUUUAAGGAAAGUAAAUAAUUUAAGGGAAAAGGGAAUGCAUAAAGGAUAAAUAUGGAUAACUACCGAUUUUACCUUUCGGCAAGGGUUCAAUGUUUUAAGUCAUCUGAAUAAGACUUCUCAUCGUGUUCAUUCUUUAGGUGCAUCAUUUGAUUCAGGUGUGGACCUUGACGUCUGCUCCUCUUGAUACGGUGUCACCCAUGUUCUUCGUUUGCCUAGUAGUUCAAAGUGCGGUAUUGGCAGUAUCUUGCUCUGUGUGUUUGCGCUCGUAGAUCCAAGUCCUUCACUUGGUAGAGUCUGGGAGUUGAAAAACAGCUCCAUGUUUUGCUCAAAGUGUACCUACUCAUAGAGACAAGGCAGAGAUCAAGUGCAUGGGUCCUGUUGGUGGAAAACACCAACAGAACUAAAAUUAUAUUUAUUCUUCUCUAUCCUUAAGCAUGGGGAGCAAGACAAAGUUGAUGGGUUAUAAGAUCAUGAGUGUACCAUUUAAAACAUUUGUCGGAUCAGAUCACUCAACCUAAUGGAAAGAUAAUCUAUCUGUGUAUAUGUCUUAUUCUUUAUAUCUUCCCAAAGAUUGAAUGUGCAACAUUUUAGCUCAUAUGAUUAGGAGUGUGGGAUCAUGGAGGUAGUACUAGGAACAAAGAUUACAGGAUUAAACAUGCUGAAUCAAUUGGGUUGGUUAAUUUGGAGUUAUAAAUCAUACAUGUUUGUCUCUUUAUUUAUGUGAACCUCGAAACCAAGGAGAAGCUUAUAAAAGUGAUAGUCACAUAUCUUAAGAUGUUACCUUAAUUGAAGAGUGAUGGUACCAUCUCACCUUGUGGAAGCUUUCCAUUCCUAAUGGUUGUGUAUUUUGUUUAUGUACUUUGUCUCCAUGGAUCAUCUCUUAUGAGCUAUGUCUUCCUUAUUAAACUUUAUGUGUCUCUCUCAUUGUCUCCAAUGUGGAUUUAUCUCAGGACUUCCCAUGUCAAUAUUGAAAGUUUUCCUGCAGGGGUUAGUCCAACAAAAUAUCCAAUAUCUACUAUAGCAUACUCUAUCGGCUCAAAAAUCAACCUAGACACCAUGUCUAAUUUGAUUUAGGAGGGCAUUUUAACCUAAGCACCAUGCUUAAUUUAAAAUCCCUUGGAAGUAAGAUCAUCAUUCCUAAAAUAAGCACCAUGCUUAAUUAAGAGAUAAAUGAAACUACUCCAAACCUAGACAUAUACUAAAGCAAAUAAGAGUAGCAUGAGAGCAUUUAUAGAGAUCUACUCAAGUGGAGAUGAAGUAGUGUGAUUAGUAUUUAACAAAUUGAGCAUGUCUCAAAGGUAGGGACAACCAACAUAGCAACAUGGCAAAGGAUGUUUUUAUGUAAGGUACUCCCCCAAGCUUGAAUUUUGUAAAAUUCAAGUUUGGAUGAAUUUAAUUUAGUGUUGCAUGAUGAUUGGAUGGAUAUACCUUGUGCUUGCUUGUCGUUCAUCCGAUCUUCUUGUUCUAAUCCUGGAAAGGUUAGUGACAAGAAUACUCGAAGGAAUAUUUUUACAAUUAUCCUUAUAUGCUCAAUGUACAAGGCAAUGUUGCAAAUAAUUAAAAGCUCAUGUUACGAUCUGAUCAGUGCUUACUUUAGGACACUAAGCUUGUCCUUGGGAAACCAUCAGUUUAUGUUGGCGAAGUGGUUUCCCCUCCGACGCCAACCUUUGUAUAUCAAGAUUAGCUCAACGAGAUCUGCAAUAUUUAUUAUAGACAUAUGCAUCGACAACCGCCCUUUUAAAGUUUUUAUAAAUAGAAAGGAAGAGGGGGUUAGAGAUCUCAAAUGUGGUGAUGUUGGAGAGACCAAUAGAUUGGGAAGAUGUUGCAUAUGAGCAUGGAGUAAACGAAGUGGCUAUGAAAUAAAUUCCAUGCUCAUUAAUGUUAUCUUCGUUUCUAAUCUGAAUGUUCGGUGUUUCUCCUGGAUUGGUCUCACCUAUGUCCUCUUCUGUAGUUGGAUGAAUCUCGUAUUCAAAGGGAGUUAAAGACUCAACAUCUGAAAUUGAGCCAAAGUUAGAAUCCAUUAAGGCUUCUUCCUUGUCCAUCCAUUCUACACAUUGUAGCCAUUUAGAACUUGUGAUCAAGAAAGGGGAGGUGUUAGAAUUUUCUAUAUGGCUUAGCUCUCCUUCUAUGACAUUACUUGACAUGUCAUCCUCAUGGUCUUUAUGACUCCUAUGGUUUGAUCGUCUUGAUGGAUUGCUAGGAUCAUCAUGAGACUGAAAAGGAGAGGGAUAAGAGGGGUCUCUAAGGUCAAGGAUGGAUUUAGAAUUUGUGAACAUUGAAGGGGAGCAGAUGGAAUAUUCUAUAUGGUUUAGCUCUCCUUCACUUGAUAUGUCAUCCUCGACUUCUUCAUAACAGGAACCAAGACAUUCUCUAAGAGAACCAUUAUUACAAGGAUUUGAAUUAUCUAUGCUUGAAAGUCUCUUAUGGAACCAGAAGUCUAAACCAUCAGCAUGUGAAAGAUUUAAGGUCAGAAUUCCUUCCUCCCUUGGAGAAUUUUGGGGUAUUGAUGGUUUAGGAUCGAUAGCUAAAGUUUGGGAUUGAAGUGGUUGUGAUAUGGCUAUCGAAACUUCUUCUUCUUGUCUAGGAACUGGUUCUUUCUCUUUCUCAGGGAUAUAAAUGCUAGGAAACUUUCCACUCAAUGAAUCAAUUAAAUCCCUAGCUUCACUAGCAGGUAGGUGAUAGAAGGAUCCUCUAGAGGCUGUAUUCAAGGUUGGCUUAUUUUCCCUACUAAGGCCCUCAAAAAAGUGAAUUAGAAGAACUUCUUCUGGAAUAGAAAGCUUUGGGCCAGUGAGAGUAAGGUUAAUAAAGUGGUCCCAUGAUUUGCCAAGAGAUUCUUCUUCCAGUUGUCUAAAAGAAAUAAUCUCACGCUGAAGUUCCACCACUUUGGAGAUUGGAAAAUAUUUUAAAAGAAAACUAUUAUAUAACUCCUUCCAAUCUCCAUGAACACUCCCUACUUUGAGUUUGUACCAAUGUCUAGCUUUUCCUGUUAAAGAGAACGGAAAGAGCUUCCAUUUAAGGGUCUCAUCGGACAUGCCUUCUAUGCGAAGGAGGUCACAGACUCGAUAAAACUCUCUUAGGUGUGUGUAUAGGUUUUCCUCACCUUCUCCUGAGAAAGGUUGUUUUUGAACAAAUUCUAUGUAUUCGGGGUCUAUCUCAAAACUAGAUGCUAUGAUAGGCUUUGAAGAUUUUGGUGGUUCGAGAUGGGUGCCCGUAGGUCUAUAAAAUUCAUAGAUAGACAUGUUUGAAUUCAUGAUAGACCAGAGAUCAAGGAUUAGAUAAGAAGAAAGAAUAGCAGAGAUAAGGCAAAAAAGGAAAAGUGUAUUAUUUUUUUAUUAUUUAUUUUAGAAAAUGAUUAAGCUAGUUCGUAAUCAACUCAGCAACCGUUUCCCCGGCAACGGCGCCAAAAAUGCUUGUUGACACUUGCUAACACCACUUGAAUACUAGGUUGUCAUCCCCAGUAUGGCACUAGAGUGUACUAUGGUAUUUAUACGCACACAAAUAAAUCCGCAAGCGCACGGAUACCGUUGUAGCUUUUACCCGGUUAAAGGUUUUAUCGUAUCCACAGGGAAACGGGAGAACUGAUCUACGCUCUAACUUAACCUAGAUAGAUAGGUAGGUGUAAAUAGCAAAGAUGGUAGAAUUGAAUAAGAACAAUAUUAAAGAUAAGAUAACAAUGGGUGAUAAUAUGGGAAUAGAGAGUAGAGCAAUCUAGUAUAUGGGCGAUGGUAGGAGAAUAGAGAGGAUAACUAUGGUUUCUCUACUUCAAAGGGGUAUGUCUAUGUCUGGGAUGAACCACGUGAUAAGAAUACACCACAAAGGAUGCUUAUCCAAAGGCUGAUAAACCCUACCAGUCCUGCUAACAGGAGGUGGACUACAGGGGACCAACGUGGGUGUCCUGUAAAGAAGAACAAGACAUACGGCCACUGUGGGUACCAGACCUGCGUCCCAAAUGGGGCAUCUGCAUCCCACUAAAACUUCCUUCAUAGUCACUAUCAUCAUCAUCACCUGCAGCUUGUGCUCUUGCACGUGUGGUUGGUCCUGCAUGCCUCAUAUGUCUUUUGCACAUAGGGAGUAAUGGGUUGCCACUAUAUAUUUUUAGUUCUUCAUAGGGCAACAAAAUUGUUUCAUGGGUAUUAUAAACUUUUAAAAACACUGAGUUAUUUGCUCCUCCCUUAAGAUAUUGACCCUGAGUAUAAAACCUUUUGUGCAAGACAACUCUAGGAGUAGUUAUGUAUCUAUCAAAGUUAUUGAGAAGAUCAAGGCGUGCACAAAAUUUUGUAACCACAGAAGUAAAUUCAAUGGCCCACCUCCUUGGUUGGGAUGAUGCCCAUAUCCAAUGUUUAGCCAUUUCUACCAGUGGUGAAAUUGGAAUUUUAUGAACCAUGGCAAAAAGGAUCCUAGUGUCAAUUUCCCUGACAAUUCUUAUGUCAUCUCGAGGGAACAAAGUGAGUCCUAUCCACUGGUGCAAGAAAAGCAAGGUAGGAUUGCAUAUGUGACUAGUACGUGGUUGCCAUCCCUCAUAAUUUUCCCCAGUGAUUUCAUACCAAAAAUCUUUCUUGUUCAUGUGCUUAGUGGCAUGCUCAAUUUUAAUGUUGGGACUAUCAAAACCAAGACAUGUAGAGAAAACAUCCCAUGGAAGGUUAAACUCAUUAUUAAGCACUCUAAAAUAAAUUUUCUCUGUGGUUAUUCUUAGGGUGCUUAGAAAUUCUAGGGUGAGAAUUUUACUUCCUUUUACAUUAGACAAAUCCCAAAAUUCAUCCCGCCCCAUUUUCUCGAAUACUUCUGUGAACUCAUUAUCUAAGCCUAUGCUUUGGAGAAAGUCAAUAGAUAUUACCUUGGUGUGAAUAAAUUCACGGUCGCGGAGUUCCUCAAGCUUCUCCAUCUCAACGGGAGUGAGCCAUAUGCCGGUUUCCUCAUCGUGAAUUUUCUCAGGGACGGCUUCUUCAUUUACUUGAGGUGGUGGAGAUGAUACAUGCUCCCUUGAUGCUUGACUCUGGGCAUCUUGGAUGGAGGAGUCACUAGAGCUAAAGGAAAUUCGAUGGAGAACCGACUUCCCCCAACCCCUGACUUUCUUCAUGACGAUGAACUCUUGGAUGGUAAGGAUAAAAAGAAAAUAUUUUUGGAUUUUUGUUUUGGAGAAAAGGAUGGUUAAGAAAUGGAGAGGAGAAUGGGUUUCUUGCUGGCUGGUUGAGUGCACAAGAGUGUGAGUGUGUUUGAAUGAAGUAGGGAGUAAGGAGAAGUGCUGGUGUGGAUUUAUGGAGGUCGGUCGACCUGCCCUUCUAUGGCAUUUUGCUGUGUGACCAUGGCACCUAUCUUCUGGAAUCCAAUGCAAGCAAGUGGUUGUGCUGGGUGCACCAGAGCAUGGUCGGCCAACCGGCCUCUCUUCUCAAUUUCAAAGAAUGCGCACACCAGGAGCAAUGCAUGAGAGGUGGAUCACAAUGCAUGUGAUGGUGUCCUGUUUAUGGGUCGACCGACCCACCUUUCUUCCCCCUUUUGCUUUGUGCCAAAGAUGAGAGUGAGUGGAGGUCAUUCCAUGUUGGGUGCAUGCAAAGCAUGCUUUGGAUGGUGGUGCAUGGCAUCUCCCUUUCUUGGAUGAAGUGAUGAAAGGAAAGAAAGCAAAAGAGACGGGGCAAGACAAGACUAGGAUUGGUGGCAUUUUGUGUCAUGAGUUGUCAUGGGAGAAUCCUCCUCAUCCUUUUGUGAUUAGCUUAGUGCUAAAUGAGCUUGCUUAGCCAAAAUGAAUGGUGGAUUGGGGCAUAAGUGAGGUUAGGGAGAAAGAUUGUCAUGAACAUUUUCCUCUAGUCCCUUGGAUUUCUUAUGGCCAAUUUGUUAAUUCUAUUUUCCUAACCAAGAAGGUGAGGGAGAGCCACUGAUUCCUAGGAAUUCAAGUCGACAGCCACCUGUCUAACAUUCUUGCAACACUCACCCUAGAGCCAUAAGAUCACAAAUACCAGGAGUUGGAGGGAGGUGGGCCUAAUAUCAUGGUCGGCCGACCAUGAUUUGGCCUCCCCCAGGCUCUGGUGGCACUCAAUCAGAGCAAAAAUGCAUUGUGCAGUAAAACUUCUUUACUUAGAGUCACAAAAGUUACCAAGCUUGCUUCAUCUAGAUUCUCAAGUAGGCAUGUGAAGCAAUUCAUGUCAUGAAAUUUAGUUUUCACUUUGGCACAGACAUGAGCAUGGGUCUCUAUGAUGAUGGAGCAAAAUUGAGCAGGUGGACCGACCAAGGGCAGGUUGGUCGACCUCACCUUGGGCCCCACCUGGUGUCCAUUUGCUCAGCAUGUUAAGCUGGGGUUGAUUUUUGGUUUUAUUAUGCACAACUAUGGUCGACAGAAAAAUGUUUUGAAUUAAGAAAAACUAAGAAUUAACUGCUGAAAAUAAAUGCUGAAUUUUAAAAGUUUGAAAACUCACCUUGGUUUGACUUACCUGGAUGGAAGAGCAGUUGCCUUAGGUCCUUUCAUCAGGACCUCCCUGAGGUGUUGUAGAGGCCUUCUUGGGUGGAGGCACUAUUUUUCUCUUCCAUAUUUGCUUGGCUUUUGCCCGUGGUUUUGAUUUAGCCUUCUCUUUGUGUGCGCCAGUGCAAUAAUUGUAGCCAGCUCUGUAGCCAAGAUCAUUGAGCACUGCUCAACUUUUGGCUUGAAGUUGAAUUUCUCCCGGGCCCCAUUGACGGUGAAUUGAAUUUCUCUAGCUCCAACAUCAAUAUGUGCCUUGGCAGUGCUGAGGAAUGGUCUCCCAAGGAUGAGGGGUACCUUCUUGUCAACUUCCAUGUCAAGAACUAUGAAAUCCACAGGAACGAGGAAAUCGCGUAUCUUGACAGGGAUGUUCUUGGCUACUCCCGCUGGAUGGCGAAUCGACUGAUCCGCUGGCUGCAGAUAUAUUGAUGUAGGGGACAAGGUAGUAUGGUUUAACUUGUCAAAAAAUACCUUUGGCAUGACCCUGACGCUUGCUCCCUAGUCGCACAGUGCAUGCUCAAAGUGUUGUGUCCCGAUGGAGCAAUCAAUGGUGGGGCACACGGGGUCCUUCUUCUUCUCUAGGAAUUUAUUCAAGAUGACUUCGCUGCAUUCUUCAGUUAGUUUAAUUACCUCAAUUUGAGGCGGCGGCUUCUUGUUGUUGAGAAUGUCUCUCAGGUACUUGGCGUAGGAUGGAACCUGCAUUGCAUCAGGUAACAGGAUAUUGACAUAUAAUUGUCAAACUACCUCAACAAAUUUGCCGAAUUGUUAAUCAGUCUUUUGAGUCCUCGUGUGGUGCCACUUUCCCAUUGAACUUGGUACUUUCUUCUAUUGAUGGAAGCUCCACUUCUUCUACCUUGUCUUCUUCAUACUGUUUGUCCUUCCUUGCCGGUUUCCUUGUCAUGUUAGGAUAUGGUGGAUCACGAGUGGUCUUACCCCCUGUCGUGGUCACCGCAUUUGAGGAAUAGCAAGAAUUAACAGAAGCAGCAAUUUGAGUCAUCCGGGACUCUAAGACCUUGUUAAAGUUCUGUUGAUCCUUAACAGUAGAAGCUAGAGAGUCCAUUUUAGAAGUUAAUAAUCCAAGAGUCUUGUCAUUAGCUAACACCCUUUUAUUUAUGCCUUCAUUAUUUUUAGCUUGAUUAACAACAAGAUCUCUAAGCGUAGGCCAGCUAGAUUUUUGAAAAUUACCUUCUCCUUGGAAGCUUGGAGUCGGUCCGCUUUGUAGUGGUUGCCCAUUGUCGAAUGCGGAGACGACCUCUAGAGUUUCUUCCUGCACACCUUGCACCUUUGGAUUGCUUCAACGACACGUGCUGAGGUGUAUUGUUGGAUGGCCUCUCGAUCUUUCUUGAAGUUGGAUGUUUCUUCUAUUUUCUUCAUCAAGAGCUCCAUCUUUUGAGAGAUGGCUUUCACCUCCUCAAUGGUGUGGGUGCGUCUUUUCUUGGGUUUAGGACAUUCAUCAUUCCACUCUUAAUUUUUCACAAUAUUCUCAAUGAGCUUCUAUGCUUGUGCGACAUUGAGGGAUGUGAAUGAUCCUCUUGCAGCAGCAUCAAGGUGACUACAGGCGUCUAGCGUCACUACAAGAAUGCUGUUAAUCCGUGAUGAAAAAUUUCUGUCACGGAUCACCAAAAAACCGUCACCAAGUAGCAUCUGUGAUGGUUUUAGAUAUCAUCAUGGAUUAAACGUCAUGAACUAACAUGCGUGACGGUUUGUCCAAAACCGUCAUGGACAAACCGUCAUGGAUUAACAGAAUAUGUGACGAUCUUAAACCGUCACGGUAGAGCCCGAGGCCUAGUUAGCCCAGCCCAAAUCCAUUUUCUAUGACGGAAACUAACCGUCAUGGAUGAAUUGCCACAUCAUCAUUGAUGUUUUACCUAGAUGCUUACGUGGCUGAUGACAUCACUAGCCCAUUCAUUACUGGGCCAAUACAAUAAGUGGGCCAUCAAGUGCAACCACGGGCGCUCUUGUUAUUUCAGCCCAACCAACAUAGGCGCCAACCAUAAAAUUCUGGAUUUUGUAUAAAGCAAAUAAAAAUACCAAAUUUCAUUCCCAUUUUAACAAUUACUAUUCUAGUUCACGAGAAGCCUUAUAGCCUGUAUAGACAACAUUAUAAUUUUGUGAACACAUCAAAUUAUACAAGCUUAUUCCAGCAUACUGAUACAAAUAAUAAGUCAUGUUUUCAUCCAAAAUCAGAUCUGAUACAAAGUCACAAGUUUCAUACAUUCAUAUCACAUUAGCUAUUCUAGGUCCCAACAAAUGCAUUUGCCGAGAUGCUCUGCUCCUCCCCACCUGCCGUUGCUCCUCUCAAGCUCUGAAAACAAAUAUAAAUGCAAGACAAUAAUAAGUCACUAAAACCAUAGAAGUAGAGAGCUGAAAACUCUCUAAAUGGAGCACUUUCAAGUGUCUGCAACCUACGGAUAGAACUAGCCAGAAUAAACAGGUUAUUGCAAUUUUACUCCAAGCUAAUCACCUGAGGGAGAACUGAACUAACUCCACAAAUUUAGAAACUGAAACUCUGAAUAUUGAAUACUAUAAAACUGAAACAAACAGCACAACACAAAUUCACUUACCGGAGACAAACUAUAGCUGCUACGGAGAACUGAAAAUUGUACUGAACAGUUCCUGUCAACAUAUAAACAACAAGAAAGCUAUCGGGUAGCUAAUUAGAGCUCACGCAUUGCCGGCCAGCUAAUCUGAACUACCGGUCAGCUAAUCUGAAGAUAAAAUGCAAUUGCUUCCUGUAGCGUGAAAAUGGCACUUCAAAACUGAAAAAGCAAGCCACAUACUUUACUGCUUUAUUUGUACUGUACUUGCAGCUAGACAGUUGCCUGCUACUAUAGCUGGACUUUAUUUUUUUCACUUCUAUCAAUACAUCAGGUUGUCAUGGGUAACAAACAAAACAACAUAAUAAAACCUACAUCCAUGCUAGAGAACAUGUAUUUAUCUACCAGGGCAAACAAAACUCACCUAGUGCAAUGCAAAGUGCAAUAACUCAGAUGGUAAUUUGCCAGAUGACUCGUAACCUUUGCGUAAGCUGAAAAAGGUCACAUCAUGGUUGUAGAAAUAUGGGAUCAAUUUUUGUACAGAUUUUCCCAAAUAUUACAUAAAUUGGAUAGGUAACGAAGCAACGCUUAAGAGAAGGAUUGGUAUGGUGGUACCUGCUCCUGUUAGGUGGAUGACAAGCUCAAACUGCUUAGGAUUUUGUGGGUCAGAUUUGAGAUGGAGAGCAAGAUAUAGAUCGAUCUGGGAGAAGACAUAGAGGUAAGACCAAUGAAAAUGAAAACAGGAUCCUGCUCGGAUGUACCCUUAAAUGGCAAGAACCUCCAUCAAUUUGACGUUCGCCUGUUGUCGUCGCUUGCACACACGCGGAUCUGCCAACGAACUCGCUUCUCAACCAGGUUCCCAGGUCGAUGGUGAGGGAGGCUAGAGGGCCGCUACCAACCAGCGCGCUGCCAGUCCACCUUAGAGGAAGAGAACGAAGGGUGGAGGCAUGGAGUAGAGAGGUUGCUGUAGUUGGAGAGAGGCACCAAGAGAGGUGUGAGCGCUAGCCCUGCUCGACAUCAUGGCCGCCAUGGUCAGAGGGAGGCACACUCAGUUGUGGCUGCGAUGUUUGCCUCGUGCGGCUGUGGCCAGGUGAGGUAAAUGGCUAAGAUUAGGGUUAAUGGGAGGCAGGGAGGCUUAUAUUGCUCACAGGAUGAAUCUCAACCAUCCGCUUCUAUAUCAAACGGUCAGAAGACUGUGGGCCCAGUAAAAAUGGGCCAAACUCAGGAGAUUGGCUGCCCAUUAGAAAAAAACUAGUAGAAAGCGCGCGCCCUUGCACACGUAGGAAGUGCGUCGUUGUUAAGCUCGCAAUGGUUUAAUUUAAGAGAGAGUGUACACAUAAAGUACAAUAAAAUUCCUAGAGAAGCAAAAAUUAACACUUAUAAUGUGAUACAUAUUCACAAGCAUAGGAUGACUAGAUUCUUUUCAAAAAAACUAAGAAUAGUAGACUACAUGUCUUAUAUAGAUGUGGCAGCAAACGCAAUAUACAUUAUAGGUGAAGACACUAUAAGCCUGGAAUCUAUAAUGUGUAAAUCUUGCUCUUGGAUGGUUGUCACUUGUAUCUCGCUGCGCAGCCUCUGUUUGAAAGGAAAAUAACCUGGUUCUUUGUAAUAGAAAAAAAAAGCAUGAGACAUCCUCCCAACAGAUGAGCCAGUAGUGUACUAAUCUAUCAGUUCAUAGUAGAUGCACUUCAGUUGUAGGAGGGGAGGGGUAUCUGCAUUGGUUUUUCUUUUCUUUGAUGGAUCUGCGUCAAAUAAUGUAGUACUGAUUUUCAUUGAUAAUAUUUUUGCUUGGAGUUUCCUCAAAAAAAUAUUUGUGCUCGGACCUGGGCUUGGUGAUGUAGGAAUAGGCAGACCUAUGACAACGGUCAUGCUAAGCUUUUCAUGAAUCAACAUUUUAGUAAGAAUACGAAGUAUUAACAUAAUAGACUGGCAUAAUACCUGCUCAAGAAUGAAUGCAACUUUCUCUCUUUUUGACGCAGCCAAAUGUCUGUGGCUGAUAAAUCGGUUGUUAGUCCAUUGUGUUCUGAACCAUAGACGGAAUGACCAGUAAUAAACAGAAUCGACAGUAAUAUAAGUGCAUAGUGAACAAAACAGUGAUAUAGUCCGUGUUCCUGUCUAUGAUAUUACCUAUUUAUAAGGAGAUAAAUAGACAAAGAUUACCUGUGUUUAUGCAAAGAGAUUAUUAGUGCUUUGGUAAGCGGGUGUGACGGAAACAUAUCACAAAAACCUGCAGCCAGAUUCCUAGAGGCAAAGUAUUCCUUAGAGAAGAACUAAACCCAUCAUGGAUAUAAGCAAUGGUAACCUGAUUUGAAGGCACAUGUACACCAAAUGAGUAAAACAAGCAAAAAUAGACCAAGCACUCAUCAUAAGAUAUGGCAAUGGCUGAUUUCAAAUGAGGUUAAAGAAAUAUGGUUAACAUAAAAUGCAAUAUGUAAUACUGAUCCAAUAUUCCAGAUAGGCUGUUACGGAAGACAACAUGAGGGCGAAUAGCAAGAAUAUAGUGAAUGAUAGAACUGCAGUGGCGAGAGUACCUACAGUUUUAGACCAGACAAGGUCACCUGGGUUGAGAUCCUGAUAAUCAUAGAAGCUAACAACACCUUAAUGGUUGGUACCUGCAAAAUCAAAAGCACUAUGCGGUAGGCAUAUACCCAUAACGGAAAUGCAAUAACAGCCUCGGCAUGAUACUCUACACUGCAAUUUGUCGCUAGUUUAAGAACAAAAUCCGAGAACUUAUCUCACAACUUUGUUCCGGCAUGGCACACUGAAUUAGAAAAAUAUCAGAACCUGCCACACCACGUCUAAGCAUUAGGGUCACAAUUGAAUCAAGUGCCAGAGUUUCGUAUGGUCUCACCAUUUAUCCUCUUGGGUGAAGCUGGUUGUCAUCCGUCAACAAUUUCUUCAUGGCCACAAUAAAUCUAUGUGCCUAUAAAGCAAAAGGAAAAACAUAUUUAAAUAUGAGGAAUGUUCAUGAUUAUAAAACUUUUGUGCUAGAAGAUAUCAUUUGAUGGUCUAUAAGACCAUGUUGCAGAAUUUAGUAUUACAAAAACUAACAAAGUAGCAGCACAUGUCUUAACACACCUAGCACACUGUCAAAGGUAAUGAAUUGCUACUAAUGUGGUAGAUUAGAUUUGUAGCUAGAUUAUUAAAAAGGAAGCAUAACCUAUGUCUGGGUUGUUGGUCCCUGGUUGCCUGUAUCCCCUGCGUGCAUGUGUGUCUGUCUCUAUUGUUUCACGGAGGGGGAGGGGAUGGCUGCUAGCGGUAGCAGCGACAACCGCUGGGGCCUGCCCAGGCAUCCACGCUGGGGUGCAUCCGUGCAGUUGUGACCACAUUAGGCUACCACGGCCAGGGGUGCCUAUGUUGGGCCUGUUGGAAAUCAAGUCAUAGACCAAGCCUGGAUGCCCUUGGGGAACUGAAACACGAAAGUUGUCAUCAUUGUGCUUUUAGUACAAAGUAGCCAUAGAUUCGAAGCAUUAUACUAUGCAACAACUGUGCUAAAGCAACUUGGUUGUGGAAUUAAUUUCAUAUGUCAAGAAACAAAGGAUUAUAGCCUAUGUAAAUUUGUGAUCUUUUUUUGACCAUUAGGUCUUACUACUUAUAUCAAAGUGCAACAUAUUCAUAGUAAUGAUGAGGACUGUCAAACAGAUUAUAUGUCAAGAAACAAAGGAUUAUAGCCUAUGUAAAUUUCUGAUCUUUUUUUGACCAUUAGGUCUUACUACUUAUAUCAAAGUGCAACAUAUUCUUAGUAAUGAAGAGGACCGUCAAACAGAUUAUAUGAGAAACUAUGAAACAAGAAAUCUUGUAGAAAAAAGAGGAACUAUCAAAAUAAUCAGAACACAUGUUUCUAAGUCCAUGAUGAUUAGACUAAUCAGGAAGCAAAUAAAUAACAUGGCCACCUUGUCUGCAAAUACGUAUAGUGGCAUAGGUAUUCAAAAUUUCUGUUAAGACCAAAUCUGGUCAGUUGGAAAUAGAAGGAACAACAUGGCAGAAAUAGAACGAGAGCUGGGUUCAUUUAAAAAGCAUAGUAUUCAUACGUAGAAACAUCAUUGAGUCAAAGUGACUGGACGAAACAUUGGUGAACACCUAUCAUAAAUUAGGAGGCUCGAUUCACUGAAAUUUCAGAUAGUCAUGCCCCAGAAACAAAAUAGAGCCACAAUGAUUGGAUGAAAUGUUGGUGAACAUUGAUCCUAAACUUAGAACAUAUAGUGUAAGUAUUUUUUGGGUGGACCUUUUGCCAAACCCUAAGGCUGGACGAAAAACUUGAAGCUCGUUAACUCGCUCAGAUCGUGACUGGCUCGGCUCAGUUCGGCUCGGCUCAUUAUCCUAAUGAGCCAAGCCGAGCCAAGAUUUUAGCUCUGUAGCUAUAUGUGCUACUUAAUGUGAUAUAUGACAUUUCUUAGCAAAAACAAAGAGGAAGCCAAAUAGCCGAUGUAAAAAACUAUUUCGGGUUUGGAUAGUACAUGAGCAAUGCUGUAUUUUUUUCUUCAUAUCAAUCAGACCAUCAACCCUGAGCAUUAGUGUUUACCUUAUUUGCGUAUUUGUGUCAUCGUAGCCUACACCCAUGCGAAAGGACUAUAUUUUUUAAAUCAGACCAUCAACCCUGAGCAUUAAUGUUUACCUUAUUUGUGUAUUCGUGUCAUAUUCCUAUCAUCCUAGCCUGGACCCAUGCGAAAGGACUAUAUUUUUUACUGUCAAUGGAAGAGUUGUCAAGGCAGUAGGUCACCAUGGCAGGGUACUCCUAAUUUUCUUCAGAAGUAGUGCGGUAUUGAUAUAUAUUUCAAAAUUAAGCAAAGAAAAAGCAACAAGAGAUGCAAAAAAAAAGAAAUUAUGCCAAUACCUUCAGUUUAAUAGUAAUUUGUAAAUUUAUCGUUAUAGCAUGUAGAUAUACCUUCAAUAGAGGAAGAAAAUGCAUCUAGUUACUUGUUAUAAACAGAAGUAAGGAUUUGGGAAUUCGACCUGCUGAAGUCUAUAUACAUUGCUACAGCUGAUUGGUUCACGUACUUUCAACGCUGAAUUCAGUGAAGAAACUCAAAAAUUAGGAAGCUGACCAUCACGCGGUGGCUGCUAUGCAAAGCAGACAAGGUGUUGUUGGUCAAGUGAACUAAAUCAUAUACAUCCUCAUGAUACAUCUAUAACAAUGCAGUAAACCAUAUUCCUUCUAAAACACAGAAUCAGCACAUGAAAGGAGGAAUAAAUACAUCAUCGACAAUGGGGUGUGCUCAGCAAUAAAGCAACAAACAAAUUAUGUGAAGUACAAACAUCAUUGACAAUGGACCCAUGCUAAGUAACAAAUGCACAAAAAUAUAUCAACAAAUGAAAACAGAACGACACAUGGAGAGGACAAUUGCCAAGGUAAUCAUAUUACCCUCAUAAAACCAAUGCAAAAUAGAAAGAUUGAUGGAAUAAUAGCAAGAACGAUCAUCACUGCACGAUUCCAUUGUCUCACUCUAACAAAGUUCAUCAUUGCACUGCCUCCAUUGUCUCAGUAAAGAUAACAUAAACGAAGGUGAAAUAAUCAGUCAUGAGGAUAUUAGUUGGACACAUGCUCUGCAAAGUAAAGUGGACACAGUAGAGAAUUCAUUCACAUAGUAGUAGAAUUAUAAUAGUGCACCACUACAAGGAUUGGUGCUUUACAUGACGAUGGAUUUGGUCACAGAUUGCCAAAAAUACGUCACAGUCAACUAUCCAUGACAAACGAGAAAUCCGUCAUGUAUCUCACGUCAUACAUUUGUUGCACAGAAUUGAGCCGUCACGGAUUCGUCUUUAUUUCUGUCAUGGAUUGCAUGGUCUGAAAGCAUAGCAAAAGGGUACUGUGAUGAUCUAAAACGUCAUGGAUUUAGUCCACGUGGAUUGUCGCCAAGUCAGUUUGUGCCAUGUCAGCUAUUGCCACAUCAGCUGAUUCCACGUCAGCUAUAGGCCCAAAUUUUUUGUUCAAAUACGACUUAAAUUCAAAUUUGAAUUGACAUCACAUGAAGAUCAUCACAGAUCACAACCAAAUAUCAUCACAGAUCACAACCUAUUUUCAUCACAGAAAAGGUUUAGAAAACAAAAGAUCAGGUACAAAUGAUCAAUGCCAUCUCCAUUACAUGUUAAUCCCAUCUCCAAAAUAUAGGGUAUCGGUUACAGAGAAAAUGGCAUGACUUACACAUGUCAAUGCCAUCACCAUUACAAGUCUCAACACAUUUCAAACAAAUAUCAACACAUUUCUUCGGCACUUGAUGCAGUGGAAGAGGAUCAAAAUACAUCUUCUUUAAGUUAUAGCGCCGUUUGCGAACAACAUUCUUCAGCAUAGCCACACAUGCUUUUUUUCACAUGGAUUGAGGUUUUAUCCACUUCAAACUUGGACUGCAUUUAACAAGAUUACAAGUACAUGAAAUUGAGUAGACACUAUAAUGGUUGAAAAGAAACAGUGAACCAAGUUAAGCAAUGCAUAUGCCCAUAUUGUUGAGGUACUAUGAGCAAGCUAUUUAGAGCAGUCCAAAAAUAAAGAUUUAAUUGUUAUCAAACUCUCCUGUGUCAAUUAUCAGCAAGUUUGAAGUACCACAUGUAGUAGAAGAAAAUUAAACAUAUUUUCACAGACCUCACCAUUUAAUUUGAUUGUUGCAUCAUUGUUAACAGCACAAAAAGAAAGCAAACACUUGGUCUGUGUAUGGCUUAUCAAACUGAAACUUUAAAUGAGAAAUCAUGUAUGGCUUAUAAUUAAAUUAAAACAAUAGCAAGCAGCAAAGUUGUAAAUGCCCAGAACAAUCAAACAGCAAUACCAUUUGUUCUAUGUACUUGUACAGGCAAGCAAAUAGCAAAGCUAAAAUUAAACUGAUAGCGAAGCUGAUUGUUGAGAUGAUCUAUAGGUGGACUGACAUGGUGCAGACAUGGAGCAACUAAACAUAUUUUCACAGAACUGCAUAAGUUUGGGAUCUACUAUCUUUUUUCCUAGAUAAAAGUUGAAAACACAAGAGAUCAAUGUUCCAUAGAAGGUCUGCUACCCUUACAAACAAAAUACUGAAAUAGCACAUUUUUAGUAAUGACUUCUACUGCUACUAGUACUACAACAAGGAACUUAACGACAACAAGGAAUGGGAAACAAUAUGCAACACAGACAUAGCAUGUAGUACAGAAAUUGCAAACUAAUAUAAGGAUUUGUCCUUUGCAUGCCUGCACUAAAAUAAUUAAAAUCACCAGCACUAGUCACGAAAAGAGACUACUAUCACAUAGACUAUGCACAUAGUUACAAUACUUGUCCGAAUCAUCCUAAUUUUUAAUACAAAGCAGAACUGCACCUGGCAAAAAAAUCAAUCAGGCAGGACCAAGCUAGGGUGCCUUGCUUGUCUUGCUUCUGCAAAGCUGCAACCUGCAAAUGAACAAAACACAAAAGAAAAUAAGUAACUGGAGAAAAUUAAAGGGGGAAACCAUCUCAGAUUAUAGAUCGGAACAGAGUACAAGAAAGGGAAUAUGCUACCAGCCUAGCCUGCAGGUGGGACUCGCGACCUCCAUGCGGAACUCCUUCUAUUCCUGUUGUGCGCGUCAUGCGGAACUCCAUGCGGAACUCACCUAGCUUGCAGAUCGGACCAGAUCCACGCAUGUUGGAGGUGGGGCGUCACCCUUCAGCCUUCUCCGUGGAUCACGCUUUGUCUUGAACCUCCUCCGCGAGCUGCAUGCCAACCUCUGUGCCGAGGCUAGAUCCACCGAGGGCAGGGUGAGGGCGGAGGCUGGGGAUUGGUACAUCGCUCACCGGAUCCUGCGUUGUAACUUAGGCUUUGUUUAGUUCCCAAAAAUUUUUGCAAAAUUUUUCAGAUUCCCCGUCAUAUCAAAUCUUUAGACGCAUGUAUGAAGUAUUAAAUAUAGACAAAAAUAAAAACUAAUUGCACAGUUUGGUCGGAAUUGUCGAGACGAAUCUUUUGAGUCUAGUUAGUACAUAAUUGGAUAAUAUUUGUCAAAUACAAACGAAAGUAGUACUAGUCCUAUUUUGUAAAAAAAUUUGGAACUAAACAAGGCCUAAUUGAGAAUAGAAAAAAAAUACCACAAUAUGACAGAAAGAAGAUGUGCAGUCAGGUUUACUAUAAAGUAAUAUUGAUAUACAUACUGAGUUUUUAAAAAAACAUAUGUAUUUAACCUAUAUAGGUAAAUCGCCAUCUAUGCCCAAACAAGCCUUCAGAGAUAUAUACUAAUUUCCUGCUCAGAUAUUUUCUAUAGUUUAAAUUAUUUUCUGCAUGAUAGUACAAAGUAAAUAGAUUUUAAACUAAGGCUACACCAGAAAAGAUCUAAAAUGGGACCACAAGAAAAGUGCCACAACACUCUGUGACGAUUAGCCUGUCACAGUUAUAUCACCCUAAGAAUGACUACUGUAAUUCUGUGAUGAUUUUUAAGAAGGUCAUAAGAAAACGUCAUGUAAAGCACCAUUUCUUGUAGUGCACCAAGAUUAAAUUUUAAAACCUAGCCAUACAAAAUAAAAAAAAUUGGCUGUUGGUAAGGUGACAACUUACAGGUAAAUAGUCUACUCUGAUUACCACCUAUUCCUUUAUUUGAUAAAUAGUGUGCUGCUAACCAAAUUAGAAACGCAGUUUAAGAGCAAUACAAAGUAUCCAGUUCUAAUUAUAUACAAACAAAUCUCUUCAAUUUGUUUACACAAGGCCAGGAAGAAUACAAAUAUGCUAGUAGGGACAAUAUCAAAAGAAUUGGAGUAAGAAAGUUUAAAUUACCCAAAGAUCUUUCAUUCUAAAGAAAAAAAUCAUUCAUGAGCAAAGUAUAGACAAAUAAAUGAGACCAUGGGGCAAAUAAUUAGAGAGAAGCACAGACACACCUUGCAUUUCAGGUCUUCACUUUGCUGCUAUAAAAUUGUGCACCAGUGCAGGAAAUUGUUUCCUAUUUUUAGAAGGUAAAACCUGCAUGUAGAAAUCUUACCUCUCAGUUGACCAAAACAUCAAGCAGAUAUAAAGCAUUAGACAUGGAAGGGAGUCGUGCACAGCAUGCACGGUUGGCAAUACACCAAUUUGAAGGGAGUAGCACCCAAAAAAAUGACAGCUAGGGUUUCGUGAUGCAACAGAGUAGGAAGAAGCGGCCUCGCGCCGCGCACAGCGCCGUGCUGUGGGAGGUCACCCCGUGUGGCCACAGCACCACGGCAGGGGUUGCCCUCAUGCUACCACGCCUGCGGCACAACACGGAGGCCUUGGGGACGGCCACCGCCGUGGCCCAGGGGGCGACCACCCGCGGUGAAGGCACAACCACGCGAUAGGGAGGGAGGUGGAGAGAGGGAGAGGAGGAGGAGGGGACAGCCGCCACGGCGACCAACGGCCGCGGCCGCGCAGAGCACUGCCGCCGUUGUGGUCGCGCAACCCGCAGCGAGAACGAGAGAGGGAGCGAAACCAGAGAUUAGAGAGGGAGAGGAAGAGAGGAGCCCACAUGGGGGAUGGGGGAGAGGAGGAGGAGGAGGAGGAGGUUCGCCGCCACGCCGAGAUGCGGCAUCAGCAGGGGCUGCCCGCGCCAUUGCCAUGUUCGCUUCUGAGACGUCGGACUUCUGGAGAGGUCGGGAGGAAGAGACACGGGGGGAUUUUAGUUUUUUUGUUUGAGGACUGCCCGAACUGUGCCAAGACGAAGGACGAUGAGGUGGGCCUGCGGCUGACGUGGAGGGCCUGUCGUCGCGGGGAGCAACUUAGGAUUGUUAGGGUAAAUAAGCAUUUUGUUUCCAUAUAUGUUUAAGUGGAACAUUAAACUUAGUGACUCUAAUAAAGAAUAAUAUCAUUAAGUUGUCAAAAAUAAUAAAAAUUAGCAUGAGGUAAUCGUACAGAUCUAUAAGUUCUAGUAAAAAAUUAAACAUUUUUAAUAAAAAUGUGAAGAUACAUCUUUUAUAAAUACAAACAUCCCUCACUUAGUCAUAUAACUAUUGUGUGAGUUGUAUCCUUUUGUGAACAAUGUAUAAUAUUACUUUGUUAAAAUCUUUUGAAAUUUUCAUCCAAUGAUUGUAUACUAAAAUCAUAUCGUCAUGUAAGUUUGUAGAUUUUUCUAAUUAAGUUUACAUAUUAUUAUAUUUAUUCAAUGGUAAUUCAACAAAUAAUUACAAUAAUUACUAAAUUUGGUAAAAAAAUUCUUCCAAUUGACACAACAACAUAUUUUGGAUCUAUAAAUAUUACGUAAAAUUUUCACAUAAUUUUAAUAAAUUGAUACUAUACAUCCUUCACAAAUAUUAACAUCUCUCACUUAGCCAUGUUGAGAGAUCUAGCUACUUUAAGAUAGUAAACAAUUUUGGGAUAGUACACAAUUUCAAAAGAAGUCAACAAAAAACCUGUUGAACCCAUCGAGAUUUACAACAUUUGUUUAAGCCAUUUCUCGAUCAAACUUUAUUUAAACAAUUUGAAAUUUGAAUUUCAAAUUUUGAGAUCUUGAAAUAGCAUUUUGUGCUACUAAAUGGUUUCAAAUGAAAAAGUCAUCAACAACAAAGUUGAAUAACUAUCGAUAUACAACUUUUAUUUUUGGUCAUCUCUUCAUACGAGUUCAUUUGAGUAAUUCAAAAUUUUAAUUUUAAAACUUGAUAUGGUUAUUUUCAUGUGUACAAGUAUAAGUAACCGUUAACACUAUAAACCAUAUAUGAACACCAAAUGAAGGAAAUGGACAUGGUCACUUAGUUAUGAUUUUCUUGGUAAGAAUUUUUUAAUGGUGUGGUUUGGUGUUGUGUAUAUAUGAAACUGUUUAUUUGCAAUGCAACGCAAAAGUCUGCGUACUGCAUUGGUUGGCUAUCUUGGCUUUGAACUUACAUGUUGCUGGUUCGAAACGUAAAGGUGCCAUUUUGUUUUUCUCCUUUUUUUAGGCCAUCUGCUGCAACAGUGUUGAGGUAGCCCGUUGCAAGCAGCAUUAGCAAAAAUAAAAUUGAUGGGCUGCGCACAGUGAAAAAAAAGGGAUGCGCCGUCAAUGAACUGUUGUCAUUAUUGAUUAUUCCGCACCAUAUAAAGAAAUGUAAAAAUUCAGUUUUUUUUGCCAUCCGCACCAUAUAAAAUCCAAAAUAUUUUAAGAUAUUACCAUAUGUACCCAAAGCAUAUAUACCAUAAGCCAAAAUAUUUUAAAAUUUACCAUACAUGCAAAAUAUUUUUAGUUUUACUGUAUGCACCCAAAAGCCUAUAUACAUGCAAAAAUGUAAUAAAAUUUUUUGGUUCCUGAUAAUUAAAAAAACAAGAGGUACCUAUUUGGUUCAUGAUUAUUUUUCGUUGCACUAAAUAUAUGAUAGCGGGCCUAUUGUUUUGGUAUAACAUGAGUAUGACGAAUUUAAAAUCUUACACUGUGACGAUACAAUAAAACCGUCACGAGUUAGCGGGCCGGUAAUAUUCACUUGUGCACAUCCAUGACAGAAAAAAUUAUCGUCACAGAUUGUGUCUGCCAGUGAUGGUUUGUAAAUCUGUCACGGAGAAUCCGUCAUGGAUUAACAAGUUUCUUUUAGUGCUUUAGCCCAUGGUAGAAACCUUGGAUCAGGAGCCAUUCCUUGAUUCCAUGAUGAGGACAUUCCCGAAUGUACUCCUGGAGAUGUUCCUAUGCUUCAGGAAUGGUUUCUUCUGCCUUUUGACAGAAGCUGGAAAUUCUUUCCCGUAGAGCUGAUGUUUUGCUCAUUGGAAAGAACUUGUUGAGGAAUGUUGUAGCACACUUGCUCCAUGUGUCAACAUCAUCAGGGAGAGCAUAGAACCAUUGCUUUGCUUUCCCAAGCACAGAGAAUAGGAAUAAACGAUGGCGGAUGGCUCCUGCUAUGACUCCUUUGAUAGCGAUGGUGCUUGUUGAUGGUCCUUAAGUACCAAAUAUAAUCAUCAAAUUAAUAAAGAAAAGGAUCCAAAUGCAACCAACACCCAGACUUAUGGUUUUAUCUGACAGAAUUCCACGAGUUUUGGUGUUUGUCUAUUUCUGCAGGAAAUAUGGAGGAAAGGCCCACACGUCGGGUUUACAUAGAGAUAUUAACGUGCCGCACAAUUUUCUAUCAUCUAGAAGACUCCAGAAGCUACGAGAACGAACGGGAAGGCGAUCGGGCCCGAGGGCAGGGCGCCCGCCCUCCCCCUAGGGCGCCCGCCCUGGUGCAGAGUCCAAUCAGGACCCGUCUCGCGGAUUACGCUCCACCAACCUAAAGGAUCAAGGAUAACCGUUCAAUCAAGGUCGGUUUGAUCCGACGGCCCAGAUUCACUUGAGGGGACUAUAUAAGCAGACCCCCUGGCCCCUGGAGGAGAACAAGUUCAUCAUAGAGUUGAGAGGUGCCCUCGAAGGAUAACCUUUCCUCUAAAUAGACUUAGGGCUUAGCAUCCAAUGUGAGAGUAGACUAGAUCUACUAGAUUGAGAGAGAUAGAGUGGAGGUGUAGAUUGGAGGAAGCCCGCCCUGUCGGUGUCUACUCCGAGGUUGUACCUGCAGGAUCAAGUUCUCCUAACCCGAGCCUUGCUCUUAGGAUUCUUCCGUAAUUCGACUUCUAGUAAGUUCUUGUUUUAUUGUUCUUUGGUUUAUGAGUUUACUUUAAUCUCUUCCGAUUGAGUUUAGAGUAAUCAUUGCUAGCGUAAACGUGGUGUUUGGGCUAGGGUACUCAUAGAUAUCCCAUGACUAGCUGGACCGUGGUAGUAGCGAGGAACGUGACAUUUCUGAGUUCCCUUUGCAGCCCACGUCUCGUUAGCUGGACGGGUAGGGUUUAUAGGUGUGGGUCGAACAUCCUCUGUGGUGUCUAGAUUCCGUGAGCCUCCCCAAUAGAACAGUAGAUCAUCCUUACCAAGGUUAGAACGAGACUACGGUUGCAGUCUUCUCUAUACAUCGCUCACAUCGAAUCACAUUCUUUGUAGCCUAAAGGGUAGUAGCAAUAGAUUUGGUUAGUCAGAUGCACGCUUUCUCCCAGUGGUAAAAAUAUAAAUACGAUACUCUGGAUAACCUCUCGUGUAAAGUGCUCACCGAUAUCCGUGCGCUUGCGGAUCAUUUCCUGAUGGCAUUACCAAAUAUCAACAAGCAUUUUUGGUGCCAUUGCCGGGGAGAAAGACGGUUUGCUGAGAUAGCUUUUUGUCUUGCUAUUAUCUUGUAUUAUACUUUUAUUCUUUUAUCUCUUUAUUUUUUCCAUCUUUAUGGAUAACUCAAAUUCCACACCUAUUAUUGAAUUUUUUGCACCUUCGAAGACCAGCCAUAGACCAUGGGAGUCAACGAGUCCUUUCUUUGCCCCUAAUUAUGAUAUGUGUUCGGAGUUGAUUGCAAUAGGUCAAAACCAACCCUUUUCUAUAGCCGAGGUCCUAUCUUUUAAUCAAGAAGAUAAUGAACUUUUAGCUACACCUAGGGAAUCUUUCAAUCUUUCUAUAAAUUCUGGUUUAAACCUAGCCCUACAAGACUAUGUUUUUUCUUGAUAUUUUCACAUUGGUCUUAAUCAUAUAACCUUUGGUAGAGUUUUUCUUUCUUUAUCUGUUAGUAAAGCAAGGUAUGUCUUCAUUCGUGGAGAUAGAGAAGGAAUCAUCUCCCAGACGAGGAAAGGAAGUUUCAAUAGCCGAUUUCCAAUCAUUUCAGUCCCAUGAUUCGGCUAUCCAACCCAAACUUGUAGUGCUCCAAAAUAAUCUAAGGGAAGAAGAAAUUCUACCUUUGGAUAUUCAUUUUGGGAUGAGCUUAAACUUCCUGCUUCAUAAGAGACCUUUGAGUGCAUAUAGUCUAAACCUUCCUAAGAAGGGAUCUCUUAGAAAGCACCUCAAAUCCAAUCCCUUUGAUGGACAUCUAGAAAGACUCAAGGAUGGCAUCUCAAGUGAUGCAAUAGAAGGAGAGCGAAGCCAGUUAGAAGACAAUCUCAUCUUCUCCCCUUCUACGCCCACUUUUGAUGACUCAUUCGAACCUAUCUUUAAACCCAUCCUUGAGCCUAAUAAUUUCUACUAUGCUCUUUCUCUUGAACCGCCCGAUAAUCCUAAGAAUCUUUCUAGACAUCCCAUGCAUAAGAGUGACCAAGACCACAAGGAGGAUCGAGAAGAGCAACAUCAAUGGCUAGAGGGCAUUAAAAAUCUAUGUGCUAUCACCAUUGAAUGGAUGGAUAAAACAAACUUGAGAGACAAUCCUAGAGGAAUUUUAAGCAUUCAUGAAGAAUCAUCCUUGGAGUUUGAGAAUGAGAGAAACAACAGUGAGCAUGGAAGUUAUUUCAUAAAUACCUCACCAAGUCCUUGCUCAUAUAAAACAUCUCCUCAAUCAAUUGGUCUCUCCAACCUUACCACAUUUGAGAUCUCCAACCCCCUCUUCCUUUCUAUUUAUGAAAACUUUGAAGGGGUGGUUAUCGAUGCAUAUGCCUAUAAUAAAUAUUGUAGAUAUCGUUGAGUCGAUCUUGAUAUAGGCACGUUUAGGUUGGUGUUGGAGGGGAAACCACUUCACCAACAUAAUUUGAUGGUUUCCCAAGGACAAGCUUAGUGUCCUAAAACAAGCACUUAUCAGAUCGUAACAUGAACUUUUAAUUAUUUGCAACAUUACCUUGUGUAUUAAGCAUAUAAGGAUAAUUGUAAAAAUAUUCCUUCGGGUAUUCAUGUCACUAACCUUUCUAGGAUUGGAGCAAGAAGAUCUGAGGAAUGACAAGCACUAGGUAUGCCCAACCAAUCAUCAUGCAUCAUUGAAUUAAAUUCAUCAAAUCUUAAAUUUUGCAAAAUUCAAGCUUGGGGAGUACUUUACAUAAAAACAUCAUUUGCCAUGUUGCUAUGUUGGUUAUCCUUACCUUUGAGACAUGCUUGAUUUGUUAAAUACUAGUCACACUACUUCAUCUCCACUUGAGUAGAUCUCUAUAAAAGCCAUCAUGCUACCUAUGUUUAUCCUAGUAAGUGUUGGUUUGGAAGUACUGGACAUACUUCCAUUGGCAUUUAAAUUAAGCGUGGUGCUUAGGUUAAAUAGCCUUCCUUAAUCUGAUUAGACAUGGAGUCUAGUUUGGUUACUGAACUAAAAACUGCUUGAGUAGGCAUUGGAUAUUUUGUUGGACUAACCCCUGCAGGAAAACUUUCAAUAUCAACAUGGGAAGUCCUAAGAUACAAACUCACAUUGGACACAAAGGAGACACAUGAAGUUUAACAAUUUGCACAAGGAAGACAUAGCUCAUUCAUCAUAGAGAGAUGAUCCAUGGAACGAGACAAAGAGUGCCACAAACACGACGCACAACCGCUAAGAAAGGAAAGCAUCCACAAGGUGAUACUGUACCAUCACUCUUCAAAGUAAGGUAACAUCUUAAGGUACUUGACUAUCACUUUUAUAAGCUCUCCUUGGUUCUGGCAUUCACAUGAAUAAAGAGACAAACAUAAACCAACCCAAUUGAUUCAACAUGUUAGGCCUUUAAUCUUUGUUCCUAGUAAGCUAAAAUGUUGCACAUUCAAUCUGUGGAAGAUAUAAGCAAAACAUAAAUAUAGAUAGAUUAUCUUUCCAUUAGGUCGAGCAAUAUGAUCUGACAAAUGUUUUAAAUGCUACACUCAUGAUCUUAUUAUCCAUCAACUUUGUCUUGCUCACCAUGCUUAAGGUUAGAGAACAACAAAUACACUUUUGGUUCUGUUGGUGUUUUUCACCAACAGAGCCCAUGCACUUGAUCUCUGCCUUGUCUCUAUGAGCAGGUACACUUCAAGAAAAACAUGGAGGAGUUUUACAACUCCCAGAUUCCACCAAGUGAAAGACCUGGAUCUACGAGCACAAACACACUAAGCAGGAUAUUGCCAACGCCGCACUUCGAACUGCUGGGCAAACGAAGAACAUGGGUGAUACCGUAUCAAGAGGUGCAGACGUCAAGGUCCACACCUAAUCAAAUGAUGCACCUAAAGGAUAAACACAGUGAGAAGUCUUGUCCAGAAGACUUAAAACAUUGGAUCCUUGCUCGAAGAGGUCAAGAUCGUCGACUCAAGUCGCCUUUCCUGAUCAAGAAGGAUGACCCUGGUGUUCCAAGCAUCGAGUGCACAAUCAACGGAUACUCUUUGCAGAAGACACUCUAUGACACCGGAUCUGACGUCAACAUAAUGGCCGCAGUCACUUAUCAGCUCCUGCAUGGAACCAUGCCCCUACAACCAACAUACAUCCAGCUCCAGAUGAUUUUCAGGUCAUUGACAUGGGAGAAGACGAGUACGAUCCACCCAUCAUCUUUGGAAGACCGUUCCUCAACACUAUCAAAGCUAUCAUUCAUAUUGGAACCGGAGAAGUCCACAUGCACUUCCCCUCUGAGAAGGUACGCUGCUACUUUAAUGAUUCUAACUAUAUAGUUGAAGAUUCUAAGCAGAUCAGGAUGAGAAGAAGGCGACGCAACCGAAACCAGAGGAGGCAAAUCAUCAAGGACGGAUGGGCAGACUACAAAGGAAAUGUAAUAAGGUCCAAAGAUAUACAGCUUGAACAGAACUAUCCUGAGGAGACCGUAGCACCGAGUGAGGUGUGGAGAGAGGAGAUAGUUAUACACGAAGAGGAGGCGCCGCCGGAACCACCGACUACGCCAUCCAGCGAAUCCCAGGAUGACUGAGAAAACAGAGAGUCCCGUUCGGAGGACUUAAAAAUACCGAACGCCUUGCCAAGAGGUAAACUUGGUAGUUAUCCUUUUCCCUUCAAUUAUUUAAAAUAAUUUGCUUAGUUAAUUAGGUUCAUAUCAUCUCAAAAAGAAAAUAAAAAUGUUAAAAAAUAGUAAGCCUAUGUGAGUAUGCUCAUGGCAUAAAACCCAUAAGUACAUUCACUGUGGUGGCAUAAAAAUAAAAUAAAUAUAUUCCUGUCCUAUAAAAAUAAAAAUAUAAAAAUAAAUUUAUGAUCCUAUUAAAGAGAGUAACCUUUAUUGAGGAAGCUCAACAUGAUAAAGGCAAGAUAUUUAUGCUAACACUUAACUAGUUCCACAAAGCUUUGUUAUAUAUUUGAGUUCAAUUCAAGGAUCAAAGAAGACUAGCAGACAGAGGACAUCCUAAUCCCUAUCAGGGUGCUGCCGACAUUCAAAUACACCUCCACCACCUGCUAGCUAUAUCAGAAGAAAUUACGUCAAAAUCCAGCUUGAGGGAGAGCACCUCUAUUUAUCCAGCUAAGUGUUUCUACUCGCGUUUAUACUUUACUCAAAUAAUAAAAAGAUUCAUAAUCAUGAAAACCCAAAUAAUUUUUUUUGCUUAUAUAUAUAUAUAUCUUUACUUAGUUUGCUAAAUAAAUAAAUAAAUAAAGUUUGCUAUGAACCCUAAUGAUAAACUCUUACAAGGAUAUGAUAAAUAGUUGCUCUGCCAUGUACCUAGUUUUCAAGUUUGAGCUUUCUCUCAAGUUUAGGCAUAACUGUUAUAUAUAAACCUGCUCUAAACAUCAACUUGUUGGAAGAGUACUUGAUCUAAAGUCUAAGUUGUUAACGGAUAUGAUAUGGAGAGGUUGAGCUGCUGUUUAUCUGUUCCUAGAGAUGCUAGAAUUCUGGAGAAUUUUAUCUUUAAAAAUCUUUAAAAUUUUGCAUGAUGAGUUCCUAUAGGAUGAGAGUUUAAAAUCCUACCACAGCCAUAUAUACAUGCUUGCUAGACUAUGAACCAUACAUUUAUUUUUUACUGCUUAUGAGCAUUGAGUGUGGUCCAGCUGUGUAGACCCUUAGCUUGUCAUAUGGUUAAAAUCAAGAUUCACUUGCACGUUCACUCACAUAUGCUGCUUCUACUCCGGAAGUACGCAUCCACAUAUAUCCACUUAUUUCCAUCUCCAGAUUCACCCAAAAUUAUUCUACGCCUAAUCCGGUAGAGAAUAGCCAAAAACAUUUCUCUAUUUCUGUUUUUCCCUGUGAAAUAAAUGCUCGAGUUAUCUUGGUUACUACCACUUGCUAUAUUAUUUCAGGAGAUGAGUGCUCUAAAAAAAGGAGGAUACGAGGAAAUAAAAAGGGGCAAGUGUCCGGAACCUCGAAGAAAAGAAAAAGUGAGACGAGAGGUAAAAAUGGACAAGUGUCUGACAGUAGAAUUAGGGGUACAAGAUACCCACCUGAGAGAAAAGAAAAAGAAAAUAUAAAGCAUCUCAUUCUCCUCAAAAAGCUUCAAAGUGCAAGAAAGGUAUGUAUCCCCUUAAAAGAGCAAAAGUAGAAUUAGACUUUCACCAUUGUUAUCACCAUCAUAAAAAUACACCAUUCACUCGCCACACAUGCACAUCAAGAUUUGAGAGAGUCAUAUAAGGAAUCUCUGAGUUUUAUUUGAAAAUCUGCAAAAACUCCAGAGCUAUAGUUAAUCAAAGAACAAGAGACAUGGCGCUUGACUUGACCGUUCUAUCUUUUAACUACUCAAGACACAAGUAACGGUUGCAAGCCCCAUGGUGAAAGGUAGAAUGAGUAAGUUUUAAGUCUUAAUAGUUUACUCUAAAUCAGAGAUGAGAUAUUGCUUGAACGCAUGUGUACUUUUAAGGCAUGAAACCACUACAGAAACUUUUGAGUCUAUCCUUGCUCAGGGACGAGCAAGAGGUAAGCUUGGGGGAGUUGUUAACGGUCCUUAAGUACCAAAUAUAAUCAUCAAAUAAAUAAAGAAAAGGAUCCAAAUGCAACCAACACCCAGACUUAGGGUUUUAUCUGACAGAAUUCCACGAGUUUUGGUGUUUGUCUAUUUCUGCAGGGGGUUAUCAGGAAAUAUGGAGGAAAGGCCCACACGUCGGGUUUACAUAUAGAUAUUAACGUGCCGUGCAAUUUUCUAUCAUCUAGAAGACUCCAGAAGCCACCGGAACGAACUGGAAGGCGAUCGGGUCCGGGGGCAGGGCGCCCGCCCUCCCCCCUAGGGCACCCGCCCUGGUGCAGAGUCCAAUCAGGACCCAUCUCACGGAUUACACUCCACCGACCUAAAGGAUCAAGGAUAACCGUUCAAUCAAUGUCGGUUUGAUUCGACAGCCCAGAUUCACUUGAGGGGACUAUAUAAGCGGACCCCCUGGCCCCUGGAGGAGAACAAGUUCAUCAUAGAGUUGAGAGGUGCCCUCGAAGGAUAACCUUUCCUCUAAUUAGACUUAGGGCUUAGCAUCCAAUCUGAGAGUAGACUAGAUCUACUAGAUUGAGAGAGAUAAAGUGGAGGUGUAGAUCGGAGGAAGCCCGGCCUGUCGGUGUCUACUCCGAGGUUGUCCCUGUAGGAUCAAGUUCUCCUAACCCGAGGCUUGCUCCUAGGAUUCUUCAGUAAUUCGACUUCUAAAUUCUAGUAAGUUCUUGUUUCAUUGUUCUUUGGUUUAUGAGUUUACUUUAAUCUCUUCCUGUUGAGUUUAGAGUAAUCAUUGCUAGCGUAAACGUGGUGUUUGGGCUAGGGUACUCAUAGAUAUCCCCUGACUAGCUAGACCGUGGUAGUAGCGAGGAACGUGACAUUUCUGAUGUACCUUUGCAGCCCACAUCUUGUUAGCAGGAUGGGUAGGGUUUAUCGGUGUGGGUCGAACAUCCUCUGUGGUGUCUAGAUUUCGUGAGCCUCCCCAAUAGAACAGUAGAUCAUCCUUACCAAGGUUAGAACGAGACUACGGUUGCAGUCUUCUCUAUACAUCGCUCACAUCGAAUCACAUUCUUUGUAACCUAAAGGGUAGUAGCAAUAGAUUUGGUUAGUCAGAUGCACGCUUUCUCCCAGUGGUAAAAAUAUAAAUACAAUACUCUGGAUAACCUCCCGGGUGAAGUGCUCACCGAUAUCCGUGCGCUUGUGGAUCAUUUCCUGAUGGCGUUACCAAAUAUCAACAGUGCUACACACUUCGAAAGUUCUGAAGGUGUGUGUUUGCAUCCUCGUGUGGUUUCCCACUGAAUCUACUAGCUUGCAACAUACGGAUUAGUGAUGGCUGGAUCUCAAAGUUGAUAUCUCCAAUCUCCGCUUGCAGUCCCAAUGAGAUAUUGGUUGCAGAGGGAGAUGAGAAGUCGGCAAUGGGUUGGUUGACCAUCGACAUCCUGAUUUUUGGUGCUGAGCUUCCUUCCUUGAGUGAGUUCAAGUGUGAGCUGGGUCUCUGAUGGUGGACUAGACGAAGUCUAGAAUUUCUUCGAGAUCUCUCUGAAUCAGCUAAUGUGGUUGCCUUGAACUGGAAAUCACUCAUACACUACCUGGUUUCACAAUGAAGAGAAACACAGGCAGGGGUAGACUGCCUACAACUAGUUGAUUCCAAGUUGAUGAUAUUUUACCAGAUUUGUUCCUGCUACAAAUUUCUAGGCUAUGCUGUCCCUGGCAACGACGCCAGAAAUGCUUGUUGGCAAAUCUUAACGCACACCGGCUAGAGUAAGAUGUGACAAGUAUCUAGAAAUGGUGGCGCCUAACCAGCACUGCUUAAAUGCAAGCCUAAGCUGUUACGAGGAUAGGUUGUCAGGCUACCCUGAGCAACGGCUCUAGGAAUACUGAGCAACACUAAGCUCUAGCGAUGACGCAAGAUAUACUAGGGGUAACUCUACAAGCGCACAGAUACCAAUGUAGCACUUCGACCGUGGUGAGUAUCCGCGGUGUCGUAAUUUAUAGUUCGUCCAAGGGAAAGUGUGCUAGAGGAGAUAGCAAGGAAGGGGAAUCCUAUCUAAACUAGAACCAACUAAGGUAGUGAGGUAAUGAAAACAUAGCGGAAGGUCAGUGUAGUGUAGCUAGGUGGGAGGACAACGAGUGAGAAAAUACUCCUAUGACUCUAACUUUUCUCCUGUGGACCAAUCUAGUCUAGUAGCGGACACACACUAACAUCGCUAACUUAACUCCUUGUUUGCUGGAAGUCGACUGCAAUAGGAGGACGAAACUCCUAUCCAAGCGAACUCGUUUCUUAUGGGCGCCUAUAGACUGUACCCGAUGUGAAUAGAACCUACUGGGAAGCAGUGGCCUGUCACACUUCGCCGCCGCCCGUUAUCAUGUUUGAUACGGUGGUAUUCAAGGGCGGGCUUAGCCUAAGAACCAUGCUUAUGCUAACUCCUACUACUCAGACUAAGUAUACGACCUAGUCCAAGCACCGUGUUACCGGUAGAGAAAACAACCCAAGCACUUAAGACUAACUUAGCUAGUGUAUAACUACUACAAGACAGACUAGGACACUACAAUAGAAUAUUGCACUAAGUAAAUACUGAAGAGAAAAGGUAAAGAGGAAUACUAGACUCUCUAGAAAAUGAGUCCGGAGACUCCAAGCUUCGCUCAACUCAACUCUAACUCCCACACUAGACUAACACUAACACUUACAACUGGAAAGCUAGAGCUAACUUGAAACACACACACACAUACACACUAGAGAGGGUGGAUGCAGCCUCUAUUUAUAGGGAGAGUAGAGGGGGUGCCAUGUCAGUGAUCCAUGUGCUUCCCACUUUUCCACCCUUGGAUAAACCGUCAUUGGAACCGCCUUAGAUGGACAUCCAAGAUCAUAUGCACAUGUUGCCAAAGUCGGUGGAGUGUAACCGACCUUAGGUGGGCCCAUAUCAUAGGUCAGUCGACCUGACAUUUUGUGAGGUGGGGCCACCCUGAGCCUUCUAGAAAGUCCUAGAGGUCGGUGGAGUGGAGCUGACAGGUGGGUCCCACCAAAGGCCGGUCGGUCGACCGAGGUUUGGUGUGGUGGGCCCACCAGCCUUGCUCCAAUGUUGUCCCCAUCUGUCAUGGAGUGCAACAUGUGUUCAUCUUUGGUCUGGUUCUUCUGGUGGGUCCAUGGAUCCUUGUACCUCCAUCUUUCACCCUUGAACAGAAACACAAGUGUGAUCUGAGGAUCGAGAUGGACAUGAAUGUGUUGCCUUAGGCUCCUAGAAUUGAGCCAACACCUGGGCCACCCCAAGUGUAGGUCGGCCAACCUGCCCUUGGUGGGUCCAGGAGCUCAUUUUCCCCCAAAUGUGAGUGUACCUGCAUCGAAAUACUUAGAGCACAAGUGGAACCUCUUAGUGAUAAAAGAUGCCUAUGCUAUGUCAUUCUUCCACUAUUGCCGGCCUGUUGAUGGUGUUUUCAUGUGUGGAUUUUAUAGCUUAUCCACCGUCAACAUAGAGUCAAAUAAAAAUUAGAGAAUAUUAAAGUUUUGUCUUGGAGAUGAUGAAUAGUUGCUCUACAGUAAUUCCUUUCAAGUGCAUAGUUUUCAACCAUUAAUUCUCUCGAGUUUUAGACAUGACCACUUUAAGAAUUUACUCUGAACCUAGAAUUUGUGGAGGCGUAUGUUUAAGCUAAGUCUAAGUAAUUGAUUUUAUACAUGAAGGAUCAAGCUGCUACUUAUCUUACUCCGAGCAUUACUAAGUUCUGGAGAUUUAUUUUCAAAAACCCAAAAUUCUACAUGAUGAGCUCUUGUAUGAUAAAGUUUAAAUUCCUACCAAAGCCAUAUAUGAUACAUUUAGAGUUAGGAAAACCUUUGCACAUUCAUGCUGCUUGCUUUGCAUUUAGUUUAGUCAACCUUUGUUGUAUACCUUAUGAGAGUCUUGUCAUGCUUUUAACAUCAAGAUCACUUACGCAUUCCACCUACAUAUGCAUUACUCCUACUCUAGGAUGUAAGCACAGUCAUUUCCAUUUUCAUCCAGAUCCACCUUAAAAAAUGUUUUCUCCUACAUUAGGAGUAAACACCCAAAAAUAUACCCUAUAGGAUAGCCCCCAUUUAGUUGCUCUAAGUUCUUAUCAUUAUCUCUCCAAUUAUUUAUAUUCAAAGGAUGCAUGUGGCUAUGCAAGAGUAUUUAAAAAGAAAAAAAAGGCAGUAAAAGACGGACAAGUGUCCCAGGAAUUAAACAAUGGGUACAUCGAUGCCCGCCUCCCACAGUAAUGAAAAAAGAAUAAAGAUAGCCCAUGUUUUCUUACGAAAAGUUCUAAGGAGGGAGUAAUUUUCAGAGAGCAAAAGUAGAAUUAGAAUUAGCCACUAAAUACUAUAUAUACACCUAUCCACCAUAUUCCAUACGCACGCACAUCUUGAUUCGAUUGUAUGCCUUGAUUCUCUGUGGAUCCAUUGUUUGACUUUACAAUAUAUGAAAUGCAAGUAUGCUCAUCCUUGUUAUUGCCACUCCUAUAAGCUCUAUAUAUAUAUAUCCUUAGUUGUAGGAAGGCGUAACCUCAUUAAUGCCUCAACAAGAUCCAUAAAAACUACAUAAUAAGAGACUUGAGGGGGUCAUACAAUCAUGCUCUGAGCUUUAUUUCAAAAACUUGCAAAACUCUGGAAUAUUGGUACUAUGAAGAAUUUGAGACAUAGUGCUUGACUUGAUUGUUCUAUCUUAUGAUUACUCAAGACUUAUGCAAGAGUUGUAAAGCUCCAUGGUUAAAGGUAAAAUGGACAAGUUUGAAAGUUAGACCGGAGGAAAAUUUAUUUUAAAAAGCAAGUGUACUUAAAAGAAAUGAAGUAUUGUAGCAACUCUUGAUCCAAGUUUAUUAAUUGGGCUUGAGUUGUUUGCCAAGGGACUGGCAAAAGGUAAGCUUGGGGGAAUUGUUGACGACCGAUAACGUCAAUAUUUAUUAGAACUUUAGACACAAGGGAACACAUGAAAACACAUUAGUCUAGGAUUUAAUCUGACAAUUUCCAUGAGUUUUGCAUAUUCUGUAUUUCCUAGGGUUUAUUUCACAGAUAGCUGAAAAGAGGGAUUCUAGUGCAUAUUUACCACGAAACCCAUCAGCGACAAAAAACAUCACGAGAUGACUCAGGAAGAGUUUAGAGGACACCCAAAGGAAUGAGAGCCGCGGGGGAGAAAAGGUGGGGGCAGUGUUGACGGUCCUUAAUGCUCAUAUUAAACCAUCAACUAAUCAUGGAAAAGGAUCCAAAUGCAACCAACACCCAGACUUAGGGUUUUAUCUCACAGAAUUCCACGAGUUUUGGUGUUUGUCUAUUUCUGCAGGGGGUUAUCAGGAAAUACGGAGGAAAGGCCCACACGUCGGGUUUACAUAGAGAUAUUAACGUGCCGUGCAAUUUUCUAUCAUCUAGAAGACUCCAGAAGCCACGGGAACGAAGCGGAGGCCGAGAGGGCUCAGGCACAGGGCGCCCGCCCUAGUCCUGAGGGCGCCCGCCCUGCUACAGUGCUUAAUCAGAGUCCAAUUCGGGGACAACGCUCCACCGACCUAAAGGAUCAAGGAAAACCAUGCGAUUAAUGUUGGUUUGAUCCAACGGCCCAGAUUCAUCUGAAAAGACUAUAUAAGAAAGGCCCCCUGGCCCCUGGAGAUCAUACCUCUUCUGUAGAAUCAAAGUUAGGGUUUCAAUUCUUCAUCCAAGUAGAGAGGAUCCCUCUAGUUCUUCUAGUUCUACCUCUAGUUCAUCUAGAUCUAGUUCUAGUUCAUCUAGUUCUGUUCUAGUUCCUCUAGUUCUAGUUCUAGUUAGUUCUAGUUGUAAUCUAGAAAAUAGGGAGAGAGAAGAGGAGAGCGGAGGAGGAGGAGCCGGAUCUGUCAGAUCUUCCUCAACAUUGUACUUUUGCAGCAACUGUUUCGUUCUUCAUCGUUCUCCAGGUUCUUCAAUUCAUAAUUCCUGAGUUCUCUAAUUACUUUUAUUUACAUUCAAGUUAUUUAUUGGAUUCCCGCUUGCAUCAAGUGCUCUAAUCUUUGAAACAUUAGAGUAGUAAUUAAUAGAUUAGACGUGGUGUUUAGUCUUGCAAUUACGUGGAAUUGCACCCAAUCCUGCGGAUUGUUGUGGUAGCCUUAGGGUAGUGACAGCCCUAACGGUCGACGUAUUCCACCUCGUUCGGAUCGGUGUUUGUAGGACCGUAGUCGGAGCUUCCUAGCCCCCUUCUCAUCUCUUUCUGUGGUUAGUGUUCUGAUGUCCCGAAAUAGAUAAUCUUGAAGUAAUUCUUGAUUCUUACAUCAACUAGAGAACUCUCAGGAAACUUCCUCUCUUCCCACCAAAAAUAAUUAUGUAGUUAUCCUUGGGCGAUCUUGGAUCUUAAUUAGUACACUCAUGUUCUCUGUGGGAAAUCGAUACUCUGGAAUACUCCCGAGUGAAGCUACAUCGGUAUCCGUGCGCUUGCGGAUUUUUCUGUUUGCGUUUAAAAUACCCAACAAGCUUUCUGGCGCCGUUGCCGGGGCAUGGUAGCUGUGCUAGUUUCGAACCAAGUCGUCCGUGUAUCCUUUUUCUUUUCCUUUUUUACCACACUCACCUUAUCAUUUUCACCAUACCACAUGGAUUUCACUAUAAGCAUUAAUGAGCAUGGAAUUUAUUUCAUAGCCACUUCAUUUACUCCAUGCUCAUAUGCAACAUCUUCACAAUCCAUUGGUCUCUCCAACAUCACCACAUUCGAGAUCUCCAACCCCCUCUUCCUUUCUAUUCAUAAAAACUUUAAAAGGGCGGUUGUCGAUGCAUAUGUCUAUAUUAAAUAUUGCAGAUCUCGUUGAGUUGAUCUUGAUAUAGGUCAGCGUUGGAGGGGAAACCACUUCGCCGACAUAAAUUGAUGGUUUCCCAAGGACAAGCUUAGUGUCCUAAAACAAGCACUGAUCAGAUCGUAACAUGAGCUUUUAAUUAUUUGCAACACUACCUUGUGUAUUGAGCAUAUAACGAUAAUUGUAAAAAAAAUUCCUUCAGGUAUUCUUGUCACUAACCUUUCUAGGAUUUGAGCAAGAAGAUCGGAUGAAUGACAAGCACAAGGUAUGUACAACCAAUCAUCAUACAACAUUGAAUUAAAUUCAUCCAAACUUGAAUUUUGCAAAAUUCAAGCUUGGGGGAGUACUUUAUAUAAAAACAUCAUUUGCCAUGUUGCUAUGUUGGUUGUCCCUACCUUUGAGACAUGCUCAAUUUGUUAAAUAGAAAUCACACUACUUCGUCUCCACUUGAGUAGAUCUCUAUAAAAGCCAUCACACUACCUUUGUUUAUCCUAGUAAGUGUUAGUUUGGAAGUACUGUACAUACUUCUAUUGGUUUUUAAAUUAAGCAUGGUGCUUAGGUUAAACAGCCUUCCUUAAUCUAAUUAGACAUGGAGUCUAGUUUGGUUAUUGAACUAAAAACUGCUUGUGUAGACAUUGGUAUAUUUUGUUGGACUAACCCCUGUAGGAAAGCUUUCAAUAUCGACCUGGGAAGUCCUGAGAUAAACUCACAUUGGAGACAAAGAGAGACACACAUGAAGUUUAACAAUUUACACAAGGAAGGCAUAGCUCACAAGAGAUGAUCCAUGGAGGGUGCCACAAACACAAUGCACAACCGCUAAGAGAGGAAAGCUUCCACAAGGUGAUACUGUACCAUCACUCUUCAAGUAAGGUAACAUCUUGAAGUACUUGACUAUCACUUCUAUAAGCUUCUCCUUGGUUCUGGCGUUCACAUGAAUAAAAGAGACAAACAUGUAUGAUCUACAACUCUAGAUUAACCAACCCAAUCGAUUCAACAUGUUUAGUCCUUCCACCUUUGUGAUUCCACACUCCUAAUCAUAUUAGCUAAAAUGUUGCACACUCAAUCUUUGGAAGAUAUAAACAAAACAUAUAUAUAGAUAGAUUAUCUUUCCAUAAGGUUGAGCAAUCUAAUCUGACAAAUGUUAAAUACUACACUCAUGAUUUUAUUAUCCAUCAACUUUGUCUUGCUCACUACGCUUGAGGUUAGAGAAGAACAAAUACACUUUUGGUUCUGUUGGUGUUUUCCACCAACAGAGCCCAUGCACUUGAUCUCUACAAUGUCUCUAUGAGCAGGUACACUUUGAGCAAAAUAUGGAAGAGUUUUACAACUCCCAGACUCCACCAAGUGAAGAACCUAGAUCUACGAGCACAAACACACUAGAGAUACUGGACACUCAGGCAAUCACUGCCCUGAGAUGCUUGAGGACGUAACUACUGCAGUAACCUCGUUGUGGAAGUAAUUACUGACCUUCUACCGAUCAAGAGAGACAACCCAGGACGCCCCGUCAUCCCGAUCUCCAUUGGCAUGGUGGCCUUUCCAGAAGCACUCUGCGACUUUGGCUCCAGCAUCAACAUUAUGACCAGGGUAUUCUAUGAAAAAUUCUUUACACAUCCUUUAUUAGAAACAACCAUGGGUUUGCAGCUUGCAGAUCGGACGCUAAGUUUUCCAAAGGGAAUAUUGAAGAACCUCUGCGUCCGAGUUGGUACCUUGUACGCCCCAGCAGACUUCGUGGUGAUAGAGACUGGUAUUGAUGAGAGGGCACCCAUCAUCCUAGGGAGGCCAUUCCUGAACACCUCGGGAGCUGUCAUCUACGCUAGUGCUGCCAAGAUCAGUUUCUACAUCAAGGGGAGGAAGGAGACGUUUACCUUCAAGAAUAAGACUCCACAAAUCUCAGAGCAAUCCCGACAUGAAACAAGGAAGAGGACCAACAGGAGGAACAGGAACAAGCAAAUGUGGACCAAGUCAGCAAAGAUGGUCACUGCAGUUCAAGGAGGUCAAGAUCGUUGACUUAAGUCACCGUUCCUAACCAAAAAGGACGACCUAAGUAUGCCAAGCAUCCAGUGCUCCAUUGAUGGAUACAACUUCCAGAAGAUGCUUUGCGACACCGGGUCAGGCGUCAACAUAAUGGCCGCCAGUCACCUAUCAGCUCCUAUUCGGAACCAUGCCCCUAAAACCGACAUACAUUCAGCUUCAGAUGGCAGAUCCGACAUUCCAAAAGGUUGAAGGUUAUUGACAUGGGAGAAGACGAGCACGAUCCAGCCAUCAUCCUUGGAAGACCGUUCCUAAGCACUGUUAAAGCAAUCAUCUAGAUUGGAACCAGAGAAGUCCACAUGCACUUCCCCUCUAACAAGGUACGCCGCUAUUUUACUGACCUUAAUUAUAUAGUUGAAGACUCUAACCAGGUCAGGACAAGAAGAAGACGACGCAACCGUAACCAGAGAAGGCAAAAUCAUCAAGGACGGAUGGGUAGACUAUGAAGGAGAAGUUGUAAGGUCUGAAGACAUACAACUUGAACAGAACUAUCCUGAGGAGACCGUAGCACCGAGUUAGGUGUGUAGAGAGAAGAUAGUUAUACAUGAAGAGCAGGCGCCGCCGGAACCACCGACUACGCCAUCCAACGAAUCCCAGGACGACUGAGAAAACAGAGGGUCCCGUUCGGAGGACUUAAAAACACCGAACGCCUUGCCAAGAGGUAAACUUGGUAGUUAUCCUUUCCCUUUCAAUUAUUUUAAAAUGGUUUGCUUAGUUAAUCAGGUUCAUAUCAUCUUGAAAAGAAAAUAAAAAUAGUAAGCCCCAUGUGAUUAUGCUCAUGGCAUAAAACCCAUAAGUACAUUCACUGUGGUGGCAUAAAAAUGAAAUAAAUAUAUUCCUGUCCUAUAAAAAUAAAAUUGUAAAAAUAAGAUUGUGAUCCUACUAAAGAGUGUAACCUAUAUUGAGGAGGCUCAACAUGAUAAAGGCUAAAUAUUUAUGCUAACACUUAACUAGUUCCACAAAGCUUUGUUGUCUAUUUGAGCUCCAUAGAAUUCAAGGAUCAAAGAAGACUAGCAGACGGAGGACAUCCUAACCGCUGUCAGGAUGCUGCCGACAUUCAAAUACACCUCCGUCACCUGCUAGCUACAUCAGAAGAAAUUACGUCAAAAUCCAGCUUGGGGGAGAGCACUCCCAUUUAUCCAGCUAAGUGUUCUACUCAUGUUUAUACUUUACUCUAAUAAUAAAAAGAUGCAUAAUCAUAAAAACCCAAAUAAAGAUUUUUUGCUUAUAUCUUUGCUUAGUUUGCUAAAUAAAUAAAUAAAGUUUGCUAUGAACCCUCAUGAUAAGCUCUCACAUGGAAAUGAUGAAUAGUUGCUCUGCCAUGACUAAUUCUCAAAAUUGAAAUCUCUCUCAAGUUUAUGCAUGACUGGUAUUAAUUAAGAUUUUCUCUCAAACUGAACUUGUGGGGAGAGUACUUGAUCUAAAAGUCUAAGUCGUUAACGGAUAUGAUAUGGGAAGGUUGAGCUGCUGUUUAUCUGUUCCUAGAGAUGCUAGAAUUCUGGAGAAUUUUAUCUUUGAAAACCUUUAAAAUGUUGCAUGAUGAGUUCCUGUAUGAUGAGAGUUUAAAUUCCUACCACAGCCAUAUAUACAUGCUUGCUAGACUUUGAGCCACACAAUUAUCUUUUUACUGCUUAUGAGCAUUGAGUGUGGUCAAGCUGUAGACCCUUACGAGCUUGUCAUGUGGUUAAAUCAAGAUUCACUUGCACGUUCACUCAGACAUGCUGCUUCUACUCUGGAAGUACGCAUCCACAUAUAUCCACUCAUUUCCGUCUCCAGAACCACCCAAAAAUAUUCUACUCCUAAUCCGAGAGAGAAUAGCCAAAAAUAUUUCUGUUUUUCCCCUAUGAAAUAAAUGCUCAAGUUAUCUUGGUUACUACCACUUGCUAUAUUAUUUCAGGAAAUGAGUGCUCUGAAAAAAAAGUGAAUACGAGGAAAUAAAAAGGGGCAAAUGCCCGGAACCUCGAAAGAAAAGAAAAAGUGACACGAGAGGUAAAAAUAGACAAGUGUCCGAUAGUAGAAUUAGGGGUACAAGAUACCCACCUGAGAGGAAAGAAAAAAAUACAGAGCAUCUCAUUCUCCCCAAAAGUUUCAAAAGAGCAAGAAAGGUAUGUAUCCUCUCAAAAGAGCAAAAGUAGAAUUAGACUUUCACCAUUGUUAUCACCAUCAUCACCAUACACCAUUCAUUCGCCACACAUGCACAUCUUGAUUUGACUUAUUGACUUGUUCUUCUGGAUCCAUGGUUUGACUAUGGAAUAAAUGUCUUGUAAGUAUGUAUUAGCUGUCUCCCACCUAUGAGCUCCAGAUAUCAAAAGCCUUAUUAGAGUAGGGUGAGAGAGAAGGCAAUGCCACUAUGCCUUAUACCACAAAUACCACAUACUUUGAGAGAAGGCAUAUACCAUCACUGCCUUGGUAAGGAUCCAGAAAUACCACAAAAGAGAGACUAGAGAGAGUCAUACAAGGAAUCUCUGAGUUUUAUUUGAAAAUCUGCAAAAACUCCAGAGCUAUAGUUAAUCGAAGAACAAGAGACAUGGUGCUUGACUAGACUGUUCUAUCUUUUAACUGCUCAAGACACAAGUGACGGUUACAAGCCCCAUGGUGGAAGGUAAAACGAGUAAGUUUAAAUCUUAACAGUUUACCCUAACCCAGAUAUGAGAUCUUGUUUGAACGCAUGUGUAUCUUUAAGGUAUGAAACCACUGAAGAAACUCUUGAGUUCAUCUUUGCUCAGGGACGAGCAAUGGUUAAGCUUGGGGGAGCUUGUUGACGGUCCUUAAUGCUCAUAUUUAACCAUCAACUAAUCAUGGAAAAGGAUCCAAAUGCAACCAACACCCAGACUUAGGGUUUUAUCUCAUAGAAUUCCAAGAGUUUUGGUGUUUGUCUAUUUCUGCAGCGGGUUAUCUGGAAAUACGGAGGAAAGGCCCACACGUCGGGUUUACAUAGAGAUAUUAACGUGCCGCGCAAUUUUCUAUCAUCUAGAAGACUCCAGAAGCCACGAGAACGAAGCGGAGGCCGAGAGGGCUCAGGCACAGGGCGCCCGCCCUAGUCCUGAGGGCGCCCGCCCUGCUACAAUGCUCAAUCAGAGUCCAAUUCGGGGACAACGCUCCACCGACCUAAAGGAUCAAGGAAAACCAUGUGAUUAAUGUCGGUUUGAUCCAACGGCCCAAAUUCAUCUGAAAAGACUAUAUAAGAAAGGCCCCCUGGCCCCUGGACAUCAUACCUCUUCUACAGAAUCAAAGUUAGGGUUUCAAUUCUUCAUCCAAGUAGAGAGGAUCCCUCUAGUUCUUCUAGUUCUACCUCUAGUUCAUCUAGAUCUAGUUCUAGUUCAUCUAGUUCUAGUUCUAGUUCCUCUAGUUCUAGUUCUAGUUAGUUCUAGUUGUAAUCUAUAAAAUAGGGAGAGAGAAGAGGAGAGCGGAGGAGGAGGAGCCGGAUCUGUCGGAUCUUCCUCAACAUUGUACUUUUGCAGCAACUGGUUCAUUCUUCAUCGUUCUCCAGGUUCUUCAAUUCAUAAUUCCUGAGUUCUCUAAUUACUUUUAUUUACAUUCAAGUUAUUUAUUGGAUUCCUGCUUGCAUCAAGUGCUCUAAUCUUUGAAACAUUAGAGUAGUAAUUAAUAGAUUAGACGUGGUGUUUAGUCUUGCAAUUACCUAGAAUUGCACCCAAUCCUGCGGAUUGUUGUGGUAGCCUUAGGGUAGUGACAGCCCUAACGGUCGAUGUAUUCCACCUCGUUUAGAUCGGUGUUUGUAGGACCGUAGUCGGAGCUUCCUAGCCCCCUUCUCAUCUCUUUCUGUGGUUAGUGUUCUGAUGUCCCGAAAUAGAUAAUCUUGAAGUAAUUCUUGAUUCUUAGAUCAACUAGAGAACUCUUAGGAAACUUCCUCUCUUCCCACCAAAAAUAAUUAUAUAGUUAUCCUUGGGUGAUCUUGGAUCUUAAUUAGUACACUCACAUUCUCUGUGGAAAAUCGAUACUCUGGAAUACUCCCAGGUGAAAGCUACAUCGGUAUCCGUGCGCUUGCGGAUUUUUCUGUUUGCGUUUAAAAUAUCCAACAGGCAGCCGGCCCCACCCUGGGGCCGGUCGGUGCCCUGUUUCGUCCGAUGCCCGUCGCCUUCUGGAGUCUUCCUCCCUCGCAUCCUUGGAAGCCAAGCAAAGUAUCCCUCCAUCGAUUUUAAGUCAGUUUGCUCCGACGGUGCACACAAGAUGAAGACGUGGGUCGCUGACGUGGCGGUUCCUUGCCCCCCUACUCCACCUCGGCCUAUAUAAGGACGCCCAAUGCUCCCCCAAGAGGCAUUCUACACCCCGGCGCUUCAUAUUCUCCACAUAAUUAGGGUUAGGGUCCCUAUAGUUGAUCUAGUUCUAGUUGAUCUAGAUCUAGUUCAUCUAGAUGUAGCAAUUAGGAGAGACUAGUUCUUCUAGAUCUAGUCUUGUUUAGAGAUUAGAGUGAUUAAGUAGAGGAGUAGAGAUUCUAGAGGAGUUCUGUCAUGUUGGUGCUUCUUCAUGGGUGUAUUCUUCUGGAUUCAGUUCCCUCGGCCGGAGCUGCGUUCUCAAGUACUUUUGUACUUACCCUUCUGAUUUAAGUAUGUAACUUGUUCUUAUUCGUUCUUUGGUUCACAACUCAUAUUGAGUGCUUUGAUCUUGGUCGUAACUUGGUCGAAGUAGUAUUUUGUAGUGCAGGCGUGGUGCCUAGGCUAGGUUUACUUGUGAAUGUCCCCUGAUCAGCCGAUCAGUGGUAGUUCACGUAGGUGACUUUAUAGCUGCGUUGAUUCCUCUGUAGUCCACUUCCCAUUGAUAGGACUGAUAGGCUUAUAGGUGCUUGGUAGGACAUUACUCUGAUUCUUCUCCUAUUCGGGGUUAGACGAUAUUAUACAAAGUUUACUGAGUCAAAACCAGAGUGUAUUAGCUAUUUCCUUUUUCUUGAUAUGAUCUAGCCUAAGUCUAUAUACUAUGUCAUCAUCACAACUAUUCCCUGUGUAUACGAUAUUUAAAACCUCCGGGUAAAAUGUGACACUGAUAUGAUAUCUAUGCGCUUGCGGAUAAUCUUACUUAAAUCUAUUUAAAUGGAGUGCAGUUAAUUUAUACCAACACCGAGCCAAUAGGGCCAUCCCCGCCCAAGAAUGCCUCAUCGACAACCGAGACCCUCAGGAUGCAUGCCACGACACCAACAAAAACCGAUGGCACAAGUGCGGGAGCCAAGAAUUGAGGCUACAACGUGCAUCAAGGGGGACGCUGUGACAGCGACAAGGACUGUAGGGCUCUCGAGCUACCAGGGCAAUCCGUAGCACGCAGUUGCCUAAUCCCUUUUGACUGCCUACAAGCAUCAUUAAAUACAAUGGUGAAACCAAGCCCAAGCUCUAGCUCACCGAUUUCCAUCUCACCUGCCAGUUGGGCGGAGCUCGAGGCGAUGACUGCACCAUCAUUGAUCAGUUUCCCCUAUUCCUCUCCAACAUGGCUCGCAGGUGGCUUGAGGAACUCCAUCCCAACCAGAUCUACAGUUGGGCCAACCUAGUUCGGGUCUUUGAGGGGAACUUCAAGGGAACCUAUGUCGGUCCCCAGCAAAUCAUGGGACCUCAGCAAGUGCAAGCAGUGUCCUAGGGAGUCCCUCCAUGACUACACGCAAUGCUUCUCCAAGUAGCACACCAAGCUCCUACACAUCCCUAACCAUGAUGUCAUCCUACUAUUUGUUUCUGGCACCACCUGUAGGGAGUUAGUUUGGGAACUAGGGCACAACCACCCAAAGACCAACGAUGAGGUGAUGGACGUGGUUGCCAACUAUGUAGCGGGUGAAGAAGUAGUUGGAGCAUUCUUCAAUGAUGGGAAGGACAAGGCAUAGGAACAAGCGGAUGGCAGCGAGGGCCUAAGUAAGGGCUCCAAGAAGAAUAGCAAGAAGAAGAAGAAGGUCCAGCAAGGCAAGUAGGAGGCUGCGGAUGAUGAUCUCAUCACUGCGGUUGAGCGCAAGAAACCUCGAGGUCCCCCUGAGGGGGCUAUCUUCAACAAGAUGUUGAAGGAGCCCUGCUCUUAUCACAAGGGAGGGGCCAACCACAAGCUUGAGGAUUGCCGCAUGCGCAAAAACUACUUCAACAGCUUGGCCUUCAAGAAGGAUUACCAGAAAAAGGACAAGGGUGGCGACAGAGGUGACGAUAAAGAUGACAACAAGUUCCUCGAGGUCCUCGACUGCUACAUGAUCUAUGGCGGCCCCUCGACAUAGCUCAUGUCCUUAUAGCGCAAGAGGGAGCAUCGAGAGGACUUCUCGAUUCGGGUGGCUACACCCUAGUACCUCGACUAGUCUAAUGCGGCCAUCACAUUCGACCAUGAUGACCAUCCAGAUCACGUCAUCAAUCGUGGUGUCUACCCGCUCGUCGUUGACCCAAUCAACGUCAACAUUCGCCUCUUGAAGUUGCUCAUGGACGGUGGCAGCUGUCGACACUAGCUAACACCACUUGAAUACUAGGUUGUCAUCCUUAGCAUGGUGCCAGAGUGUACAAAGGUAUUUAUGAAUGUAAAGGCUCUCUAGAAAAUAAUCUAUUCUACCGCAAGCGCACGGAUAAAACACCUCAUUGUAGCAUUUCACCAGGAAAGUAUUCCAGGUAUCGUUAUUUAUAAUUUUGCUUAAGAGGACAGUGGAAAUGAAGAUAAGGAUAAAAUCUAUCAAGGCAUAGACUAGAGAUAAACUUGCAAGAACAUGAUUACUAAUGAGGAACUCGUCACACAGUCACUUACUUUGGCAGGGGGUAAGCCAUAAUAAUAAUGAUAAUGAAAUAUAAGCUCAUGGGUAAAUAACACAGCGAUUAGAAAAUAGACUACUCCUUAUAUAUGUAAGGUGACGUUGGAUUAGCUACAGAAUGGAUUCUAAGUUAUCUACUAUCUACUAAGUCACAAUCUACUCUAGUUAUCUACAAGAUCAUAUAUAGCAUAAAAGACUCUUCAUUCAUGCAUAAGGAACAUUGCUAAAGUAAAUCAGAGCAUCGCAAGACUUACUCCGCAAAACAAAUUCUGCGUGUCCUAUCAAUGGAGGGUGGACUAUAUAAGAAUCAACGAAGCUGUCACUAUCGCGAACUACCACACAACCCAGCCAAUAGGAUACAUUUGCAGGUAAAUAACAUCUAAGCACCACGCCCACAUGUGAUCUACCACUUAACUCCCGCGCGUCAAGAGCUAAGCGCUUUGCAAACUUUUACAUAAACUCAUUAUCAAUCAUAACUAUAUCAAAUAUAGAACUAGAGCAAACUAAGAUCAUAAUAAAUAGAGACAUAAUGCAAUUAGAAUAAAGUAGUAGAGAAAGAUAUGAAAUAAUACCAAUCUUUAUUAACGAAGAUCCGAAUCCAGAGCGCUAGGAUCUACUUCUCUAAUUCUAUCUAAUCACCUUUAUUCCGGAGUUUUGCAUAAGUUUUCAAAAAUAAAGCUCAGAGUUCCUAGCUAUGAUUCUCUCAAGUCUCUCUAUAUGUGGUAUUUAUGGAUCCUUACAAAGAUGUCACCUACCUAUAGCUAAUGGAAUAUUUAAGUGGAGCUCAUAGGAGUGAAAAACAGCUUAUACAUAUGUUGUCUAAUCGAGCCAUGGAUCCAAAGAAACUCAGCAUAUAAUUAAAUCAAGAUGUGCAUGUGUGGUGGAGUAAAUGAUAGUAAUGGUGGAAAUAUAAGUAAUGAUAAAACUUACUUCUCAUUGCUCCUCAUAUUGCUAUCUUUCCUCUUCUUUGAUCUUUACUUUGGGAGAACAUGGGCUAUCUUUUCUUCUUUUCUUUUUUUUCAGGUGGGUAGUAGAUACCCCUAAUUCUACUAUCGGACAAUUGUCCAUUUUUUCCACUCAAGUGGGCAUAUUUGUACGCCUAAUUCGACUCCGGACACUUGUCUAUUUUUACCUAUCGUCUCACUCUUUUUCUUUCUUUUUCGAGGUUCCGGGCACUUGUCCCUUUUUAUUUCCUCGCAUAUUUUUGCAUAACCCAUGCCUCUUCCGCAUUGAAUCUUUUUGGAGAGAGAGAAUAACAACACUUGGGACAGUGAGUGAUAAUAUUUUUAGCAAUUUUUAAUGAAUGGUGGUGAAUGGUGUAGUGGAUGUGUGCAAGUGAAUAUCUUAAUUUAACCACAUGAAAAGCUCCUAAGGGUCUACACAGCUCGAUCAAACUCAAUGCAAAUAUAAGUAGCAAAAGAUGUUAUAGCAAGUAUGGCUGUGAUAGGAAUUUUGUCAUGCUAGGAACUCAUCAUGUGAUUUGCAAGUUUUCAAAAUAAAUCUCCAGAACUUAGUGUAGUAGGAACAAGAUAAAUAGUAGCUCAAACUUUAUAUCAUGCCUUUCUCUUACCUAGACUUUAGUUUUAGGUUCAUGCUUCCCAUAAAUAUUAAAUUUUAGUUUUUAGUAAUUCCUGGAAGAACUCUAAUAUAAAAGCUAGGUACUCAAAAGUAAGCAAACAGAGCAACUCUUCAUCAUUUCCAUCAUGCAUCUUUUUGGUCUUUCAUUUUUCUAGAGAUUAACUUAGCAGGAAAAAUAAAGCACACUUAUCUACACACUCUUUUUAUGUGGUUUGUAUUUUUAUAGAAUGCAGUAAAUUAAGCAAGAAAAAUAUUUAUUGGUUUUUCUAAGUUUUUCUCCUUAUGAUAAAUAAAACACUAAAUUAGAAAAGAAUAAAUAAGAAGGGCAAAUAAAAAUUACUUGAUAAAAUGGGGAGAAACUCCCCCAAGCUGGAUGUUGUUGUCGGUCUUACACAAAGUUCUAGAAUCGCAUCAUGGUGGUGAUGUUGUCGUUCAUUGUCGUGGUGUCUUGCCUUAGUUCUUGCACUGCAGUGGCGUGGUCCUAGUUCCACUUUUGUUGCUGUUCCAGAAGUCGUCCAUGUUCCGCUUGCGUAUUCUGGAUGUCGAGGAGGGUGUUGUUGGUACGGGUGAAGAAAGCGCCGGCCUCUUGGUAGUAGUCGUUUGUGAAAGCAUAAGAGGCGUCGGAGUACCGUCCUGCAUCGAAUUGGGGCGGGGGUCUAGACCUUGAAGCUCCAUAUGGAUCAGUGGAGUACUUGCCCGUAUGGAAAGGCGGGUUUGUCCACUGGUGAUCUUGGCACUCCGACCAUGUCUCCUGUGUUGGCUCUUGUGGUUGAGCAUGUCGAACCCAUGGGUCCCGAAGGACUCGGAGGUUGUAUUCUCAAUAAUGCAGGUGCGCUGCUCCUUCUGGCCCGGGAUCAGCUCCAUACCAGGUGCGUUCUUGAUGGGUGGUCAUCCUUUUAGAUGCCACUCGUUGUGGAGCUCUCUGGUUUACCGGUGUCACUGCAAUCUCAGUCAAAUAAUUUUGAACGACAUAGAGGCCAAGGUUCGGGUUAGGUAACCGAAUCUUGCCUUUAUUAUUGUAUAACAUAUACAUUAUGUUCCCCUCUUUUUUGAACAUCCGAGCUUGCCUAAAUGUGUCAUAACCAUGAUAAAUUCGUAACUCGUCUAUGAAUUCCAAUGAUGAGUUUUCUAGCAAAUUAAGAUUAGAGGCUAGACGAGUGACGAGUGAAGUACAACCGACAGGUCCCUGAAGACUUGGUAUACUAAGCCAAUGAGAAACCAAAAGAGUAACAGGUGAAGUAGGUGUUUUAUUUAUAGCAGCAUAUAGAAGUUGUAAAUCUCCUACUCUUACUUUUCUAAUAUCAUCACGAUGGAAAAGAUUGUACCCGAGCCACUGUUGACGGUCCUUAAAGCUCACAUUUAACCGUCAACUAAUCACAGAAAAGGAUCCAAAUGCAACCAACACCUAGACUUAGGGUUUUAUCUGACAGAAUUCCACGAGUUUUGGUGUUUGUCUAUUUCUGCAGGGGGUUAUCAGGAAAUACGAAAGAAAGGCCCACACAUCGGGUUUACAUAGAGAUAUUAACGUGCCGCGCAAUUUUCUAUCAUCUAGAAGACUCUAGAAGCCACGGGAACGAACGAGAGGCCGAUCGGGCCCGGGGGCAGGGCGCUCGCCCAAGUCCCUUGGGUGCCCGCCCAGCUACAGUAACCAAUCAGCUUCAAGUUCGCGGAUCGUGCUCCACCGACCUAAGGGACCAAGGAAAACCGUGCGAUUAAUGUCGGUUUGAUCCGACGGCCCAGAUUCAUCUGAAAAGACUAUAUAAGCAAAGCCCCCUGGCCCCUGGAGAGCAUACCUCUUCUACAGAAUCAAAGUUAGGGUUUCAAUUCUUCAUCCAAGUAGAGAGGAUCCCUCUAGUUCUUCUAGUUCUACCUCUAGUUCAUCUAGAUCUAGUUCUAGUUCAUCUAGUUCUAGUUCUAGUUCUUCUAGUUAUAGUUCUAGUUCAUUCUAGUUGUAAUCUAGAAAAUAGGGAGAGAGAAGAGGAGAGCGGAGGAGGAACCGGAUCUGUCGGAUCUUCCUCAACAUUGUACUUUUGCAGCAACUGGUUCGUCCUUCAUCGUUCUCCAGGUUCUUCAAUUCACAAUUCCUGAGUUCUUUAAUUACUUUUAUUUACAUUCAAGUUAUUUAUUGGAUUCCUGCUUGCAUCAAGUGCUCUAGUCUUUAUAACGCUAGAGUAGUAAUUAAUAGAUUAGACGUAGUGUUUAGUCUUGCAAUUACCUGGAAUUGCACCCAAUCCUACGAAUUGUUGUGGUGGCCUUAGGGUAGUGACAGCUCUAACGGUCGACGUAUUCCACCACGUUCGGAUCGGUGUUUGUAGGACCGUAGUCAGACCUUCCUAGCCCCCUUCUCAUCUCUUUCUGUGGUUAGUGCUCUAAUGUCCCGAUAUAGAUAAUCUUGAAGUAAUUAUUGAUUCUUUGAUCAAUUAGAGAACUCUCAGGAAACUUCCUCUCUUCCCACCAAAAAUAUUCAUAUAGUUAUCCUUGGGCGAUCUUGGAUCUUAAUUAGUACACUCACGUUCUCUGUGGAAAAUCGAUACUCUGGAAUACUCCCGGGUGAAAGCUACAUCGGUAUCCGUGCGCUUGCGGAUUUUUCUGUUUGCGUUUAAAAUACCCAACAAGCUUUCUGGCGCCGUUGCCGGGGAACGGUAGCUGUGCUAGUUUCGAACCAAGUCGCCCGUGUAUCCUUUUUCUUUUCGUUUUUUUUACCACACUCACCGUACCAUUUUCACCGUACCACAUGGAUUUCACUCUAAGCAUUAAUGAGCAUGGAAUUUAUUUCAUAGCCACUUCAUUUACUACAUGCUCAUAUGCAACAUCUUCACAAUCCAUUGGUCUCUCCAACAUCACCACAUUCGAGAUCUCCAACCCCCUCUUCCUUUCUAUUCAUAAAAACUUUAAAAGGGCGGUUGUCGAUGCAUAUGUCUAUAUUAAAUAUUACAGAUCUCGUUGAGUUGAUCUUGAUAUAGGUCAGCGUUGGAGGGGUAACCACUUCGCCGACAUAAAUUGAUGGUUUCCCAAGGACAACCUUAGUGUCCUCAAACAAGCACUGAUCAGAUUGUAACAUGAGCUUAUAAUUAUUUGCAACAUUACCUUGUGAGUUGAGCAUAUAAGGAUAAUUGUAAAAAUAUUCCUUCGGGUAUUCUUGUCGCUAACCUUUCCAGGAUUGGAGCAAGAAGAUCGGAUGAAUGACAAGUACAAGGUAUGUCCAACCAAUCAUCAUACAACAUUGAAUUAAAUUCAUCCAAACUUGAAUUUUGCAAAAUUCAAGCUUGGGGGAGUACUUUACAUAAAUACAUCCUUUGCCAUGUUGCUAUGUUGGUUGUCCCUACCUUUGAGACAUGCUCAAUUUGUUAAAUACUAAUCACACUACUUCAUCUCCACUUGAGUAGAUCUCUAUAAAUGCUCUCAUGCUACCUUUAUUUGCUUUAGUAUAUGUCUAGGCUUGGAGUAGUUUCUUUUAUCUCUUAAUUAAGCAUGGUGCUUAGUUUAGGGCUGAUGAUCUUACUUCCAAAGGAUUUGAAAUUAAGCAUGGUUCUUAGGUUAAAAUUCCCUCCUAAAUCAAAUUAGACAUGGUGUCUAGGUUGAUCUUUGAGCCGAUAGAAUGCUAUAGUAGAUAUUGGAUAUUUUGUUGGACUAACCCCUGCAGGAAAACUUUCAAUAUCGACCUGGGAAGUCCUGAGACAAACUCACAUUGGAGACAAAGAGAGAGACACAUGAAGUUUAACAAUUUACACAAGGAAGACAUAGCUCACAAGAGAUGAUCCAUAGAGGGUGCCACAAACACGAUGCACAACCGCUAAGAAAGGAAAGCUUCCACAAGGUGAUACUGUACCAUCACUCUUCAAGUAAGGUAAUAUCUUAAGGUACUUGACUAUCACUUUUAUAAGUUUCUCCUUGGUUCUAGCGUUCACAUGAAUAAAGAGACAAACAUGUAUGAUUUACAAGUCUUGAUUAACCAACCCAAUAGAUUCAACAUGUUUAGUCCUUCCACCUUUGUGAUCCCACACUCCUAAUCUUAUGAACUAAAAUGUUGCACACUCAAUCUUUGGAAGAUAUAUUUUAUAAAAAAACAACAUAAAUAUAGAUAUAUUAUCUUUCCAUUAGGUUGAGCGAAUUGAUCUGACAAAUGUUUUAAAUGUUAUACUCAUGAUCUUAUUAUCCAUCAACUCUGUCUUGCUCACUAUGCUUAAGGUUAGAGAAGAACAAAUACACUUUUGGUUCUGUUGGUGUUUUCCACCAACAAGGCCCAUGCACUUGAUCUCUGCCUUGUCUCUAUGAGCAGGUACACUUCGAGCAAAAAUAUGAAGGACUUUUACAACUCCCAGACUCCACUAAGUAAAGAACCUAGAUCUACGAGCACAAACACACUGGAGAUACUGGACACUCAGGCAAUCACUGCCCAGUGAUGCUUGAGGACGUAACUACUGGAGUAACCCCAUUGUGGAAGUAAUUACUGACCUUCUGCCGGUCAAGAGAGACAAUCGAGGACGCCCCGUCAUCCCGAUCUCCAUCGGCAUGGUGGACUUCCCAGAAGCACUCUGCGACUUUUGCUCCAGUGUCAACAUUAUGCCUAGGGGAAUAUUGAAGAACCUCUGCGUCCGAGUUGGUACCUUGUACGCCCCAGCAGACUUCAUGCUGAUAGAGACUGGUACUGAUGAGAGGGCACCGAUCAUCCUAGGGAGGCCAUUCCUGAACACCUCAGGAGCUAUCAUCUACGCUAGUGCUGCCAAGAUCAGUUUCUACAUCAAGGGUAAAAAGGAGACAUUUUCAUUCAAGAACAAGACUACACAAAUCUCAGAGCAAUCCCGACAUGAACCAAGGACGAGGACCAACAGGAGGAACAGGAACAAACAAAUGUGGACUGAGUCAGCUAAGAUGGUCACUGCAGUUCAAGGAGGUCAAGAUCGUCGACUUAAGUCACCGUUCCUGACCAAAAAGGACGACCCAGAUGGCAGGUUAGACAUUCCGAAAGGUUGAAGGUUAUUGACAUGGGAGAAGACAAGUACAAUCCACCCAUCAUGCUUGGAAGACCGUUCCUCAGCACCGUUAAAGCAAUCAUCUACAUUAGAACCAGAGAAGUCCACAUGCAUUAGCCCUCUGAGAAGGUACGCCACUAUUUUACUGACCCUAACUAUAUAGUUGAAGACUCUAAGCAGGUCAGGACAAAAAGAAGACGACGCAACCGCAACCAGAAGAGGCAAAUCAUCAAGGACGGAUGGGCAGACUACGAACGAGAAGUGGUAUGGUCUGAAGACAUACAGCUUGAAUAGAACUGUCCUGAGGAGACCGUAGCUCCGAGUCAGGUGUGUAGAGAGAAGAUAGUUAUACACGAAGAGGAGGCGCCGCCGGAACCACCGACUACGCCAUCCAGCGAAUCCCAGGACGACUGAGAAAACGGAGAGUCCCGUUCGGAGGACUUAAAAAAACCGAACGCCUUGCCAAGAGGUAAACUUGGUUGUUAUCUUUUUCCUUUCAAUUAUUUAAAAUAGUUUGCUUAGUUAAUCAGGUUCAUAUCAUCUUGAAAAGAAAAUAAAAAUGUUAAGUAAGCCCCAUGUGAGUAUGCUCAUGGCAUAAAACCCAUAAGUACAUUCACUGUGGUGGCAUAGAAAUAAAAUAAAUAUAUUCCUGUCCUAUAAAAAUAAAAUAUAAAAAUAAGAUUGUGAUCCUACUAAAAAGAGUGUAACAUUUAUUGAGAAGGCUCAACAUGAUAAAGGCUAGGUAUUUAUGCUAACACUUAACCAGUUCCACAAAGCUUUGUUGUCUAUUUGAGCUCCACAGAAUUCAAGGAUCAAAGAAGACUAGCUUCUGACAUUCAAAUACACCUCCGCCAGGGUGCUUCUGACAUUCAAAUACACCUCCGCCACCUGCUAGCUACAUUAGAAGAAACUACGUCAAAAUCCAGCUUUGGGGAGAGCACCCCCAUUUAUCCAGCUAAGUAUUCUACUCAUGUUUAUACUUUACUCUAAUAAUAAAAAGAUGCAUAAUCAUAAAAACCCAAAUAAAGAUUUUGUGCUUAUUUAUAUCUUUGCUUAGUUUGCUAAAUAAAUAAAUAAAUAAAGUCUGCUAUGAACCCUCAUGAUAAGCUCUCACAUGGAAAUGAUGAAUAGUUGCUCUACCAUGACUAGUUCUCAAAAUUGAAAUCUCUCUUAAGUUUAGGCAUGACUGUUAUUAAUUAAGAUUUGCUCUAAACCUGAACUUGUGGGAAGAGUACUUGAUCUAAAGUCUAAGUUGUUAACGGAUAUGAUAUGGGAAGGUUGAGCUGCUCUUUAUCUGUUCCUAGAGAUGCUAGAAUUCUGGAGAAUUUUAUCUUUGAAAAUCUUUAAAAUGUUGCAUGAUGAGUUCCUGUAUGAUGAGAGUUUAAAUUCCUACCACAGCCAUAUAUACAUGCUUGCUAGACUUUGAGCCACACAUUUACUUUUUACUGCUUAUGAGCAUUGAGUGUGGUCAAGCUGUGUGGACCCUUAGGAGCUUGUCAUGUGGUUAAAUCAAGAUUCACUUGCACGUUCACUCACACAUGCUGCUUCUACUCUGGAAGUACGCAUCCACUUAUAUCCACCCAUUUCCAUCUCCAGAACCACCCAAAAAUAUUCUACUCCUAAUCCGGGAGAGAAUAGCCAAAAACAUUUCUGUUUUCCCCUGUGAAAUAAAUGCUCAAGUUAUCUUGGUUACUACCACUUGCUAUAUUAUUUCAAGAGAUGAGUGCUCCAAAAAAAGAGAAAAAAAAUAAUACGAGGAAAUAAAAAGGGGCAAGUGCCCGGAACCUCGAAAGAAAAGAAAAAGGGAGACGAGAGGUAAAAAUGGACAAGUGUCCGACAGUAGAAUUAGGGGUACAAGAUACCCACCUGAGAGAAAAGAAAAAAAAGAAGAAAAUAUAGAGCAUCUCAUUCUCCUCUUCAAUAGAGCAAGAAAGGUAUGUAUCCCCUCAAAAGAGCAAAAGUAGAAUUAGACUUUCACCAUUGUUAUCACCAUCAUUACCAUACACCAUUCAUUCGCCACAUAUGCACAUCUUGAUUUGACUUAUUGACUUGUUUCUCUGGAUCCAUGGUUUGACUAUGCAAUAAAUGUCUUGUAAGUAUGUAUACUUUAUCUCCCACCUAUGAGCUCCAGAUAUCAAAAGCCUUAUUAGAGUAGGAUGAGAGAGAAGGCAAUGUCACUAUGCCUUAUACCACAAAUACUACAUACUUUGAGAGAAGGCAUAUACUAUCACUGCCUUGGUAAGGAUCAAGAAAUACCACAAAAGAGAGACUAGAGAGAGUCAUACAAGGAAUCUCUGAGUUUUAUUUGAAAAUCUGCAAAAACUCCAGAGCUAUAGUUAAUCGAAGAACAAGAGACAUGGCGCUUGACUAGACCUUUCUAUCUUUUAACCGCUCAAGACACAGGUGACGGUUGCAAGCCCCAUGGUUGAAGGUAAAAUGAGUAAGUUUAAAUCUUAACAGUUUACCCUAACCCAGAGAUGAGAUCUUGUUUGAACGCAUGUAUAUCUUAAGGCAUGAAACCAUUGCAGAAACUCUUGAGUCCAUCUUUGCUCAGGGACGAGCAAAGGUUAAGCUUUGGGGAGCUUGUUGACGGUCCUUAAAGCUCACAUUUAACCGUCAACUAAUCAUAGAAAAGGAUCCAAAUGCAACCAACACCUAGACUUAGGGUUUUAUCUGACAGAAUUCCACGAGUUUUGGUGUUUGUCUAUUUCUGCAGGGGGUUAUCAGGAAAUACGAAAGAAAGGCCCACACGUCGGGUUUACAUAGAGAUAUUAAUGUGCCGCGCAAUUUUCUAUCAUCUAGAAGACUCCAGAAGCCACGGGAACGAACGGGAGGCCGAUCGGGCCCGGGGGCAGGGCGCCCGCCCAAGUCCCUUGGGUGCCCGCCCAGCUAUAGUAACCAAUCAGCUUCAACUUCGCGGAUCGUGCUCCACCGACCUAAGGGACCAAGGAAAACCAUGCGAUUAAUGUCGGUUUGAUCCUACGGCCCUGAUUCAUCUAAAAAGACUAUAUAAGCAAGGCCCCCUGGCCCCUGGAGAGAAAACCUCUUCUACAGAAUCAAAGUUAGGGUUUCAAUUCUUCAUCCAAGUAGAGAGGAUCCCUCUAGUUCUUCUAGUUCUACCUCUAGUUCAUCUAGAUCUAGUUCUAGUUCAUCUAGUUCUAGUUCUAGUUCUUCUAGUUAUAGUUCUAGUUCGUUCUAGUUGUAAUCUAGAAAAUAGGGAGAGAGAAGAGGAGAGCGGAGGAGGAGCCGGAUCUGUCGGAUCUUCCUCAACAUUGUACUUUUGCAGCAACUGGUUCGUCCUUCAUCGUUCUCCAGGUUCUUCAAUUCACAAUUCCUGAGUUCUUUAAUUACUUUUAUUUACAUUCAAGUUAUUUAUUGGAUUCCUGCUUGCAUCAAGUGCUCUAGUCUUUAUAACGCUAGAGUAGUAAUUAAUAGAUUAGACGUGGUGUUUAGUCUUGCAAUUACCUGGAAUUGCACCCAAUCCUGCGGAUUGUUGUGGUAGCCUUAGGGUAGUGACAGCCCUAACGGUCGACGUAUUCCACCACGUUCAGAUCGGUGUUUGUAGGACCGUAGUCAGACCUUCCUAGCCCCCUUCUCAUCUGUUUCUGUGGUUAGUGCUCUGAUGUCCCGAUAUAGAUAAUCUUGAAGUAAUUCUUGAUUCUUAGAUCAAUUAGAGAACUCUCAGGAAACUUCCUCUCUUCCCACCAAAAAUAUUCAUAUAGUUAUCCUUGGGCAAUCUUGGAUCUUAAUUAGUACACUCACGUUCUCUGUGGAAAAUCGAUACUCUAGAAUACUCCCGGGUGAAAGCUACAUCGGUAUCCGUGCGCUUGCGGAUUUUUCUGUUUGCGUUUAAAAUACCCAACAACCACUUGUGGAACAUCCUAAGAGUGGGGUGUUCCAUGUCACUAGUUCGGGCUUGACUAUAAAACUCAUCUCUAUAUAUCUCUCUCCAGAAUCGGUGUCUCUCAAAAUUGGGUAAGUCGGAGUCAAUGUCCAGGAUGCAUCUUGAAGAGAAACCGAGAUGGUCGCUCAGUUCUCUCCAAGACAACAUAAUGUCCUAUUUGAACAUCCGAAAAGCGAUUCCCCGCUCAUAAUAUUGUAAAGUGCAAAGAAAUUCAAGGCUGAGAAGACGAGAACCCAGCUCAGUUAUGUUCCAAAAAUUUGUCCAUCCCACCAUCUGAAAAAUCAAAUCGAAUUCAGUAUCCAUACCUGUUUCUUGUAGCAAGAUGGGAUCAAGAGUGGGGGCGUGAAUGAAAUCCUUAUUCUUUAGCUACUGGUAAACUUCCUUCUCCCUGCGGGUCUUCAGUCCAAGGUCUCCUAUGUUGAGGAGGACCUUGACUCGCAGAUCAGAUGAAGAUGAUGGAGCUUGCGGGGGUGUCGGGUCGAUGCUCAUCUCUGACUGGUGUGAGGAGUGUCGGGAUGAACUCCUCGUACCUAUGUUCUUGAAGGCCUUGCUUACGUUCUUUACCUUUUUGAACAUCCUGCAAACAAAAUUUGACACAAACACAACUAGUGGAAAAUGUGAGAGAAAAUGUUAGUGGUCAGCUGUCCGAAAUGUCAGUAGUCUAGGGGUUAGUCGUUCAAGACAAGUUUUUGUUUUGGCAGCACCUCCCCCUAAACAACUUUUACUUCCGCUCUGGACAGCGGGAUCACUACUUACUAGGUGAACCUUACUCUCUCACUCAAAGACUACCAACCUCUCUUCCACUCUUCUCUUCCUCUCUACUCUUCUUCUCACUUCACUACAAGAACUCCUUCUCUGGAACAUAGCAGUGCACCUAUAGUAUCUCCAUCUAAUCCAUCCAUAUUUUUCGCGCACAAAUAACAGCGAGUACCAGAAAGUUAAAUGCAAGAAAACAUAGCAGUGCACCUAUGUUGGGUAUUUUAAACGCAAACAGAAAAAUCCGCAAGCGCACGGAUACCGAUGUAGCUUUCACCCGGGAGUAUUCCAGAGUAUCGAUUUUCCACAGAGAACGUGAGUGUACUAAUUAAGAUCCAAGAUCGCCCAAGGAUAACUAUAUAAUUAUUUUUGGUGGGAAGAGAGGAAGUUUCCUGAGAGUUCUCUAGUUGAUCUAAGAAUCAAGAACUACUUCAAGAUUAUCUAUAUCGGGACAUCAGAGCACUAACCACAGAAAGAGAUGAGAAGGGGGCUAGGAAGGUCUGACUACGGUCCUACAAACACCGAUCCGAACGAGGUGGAAUACGUCGACCGUUAGGGCUGUCACUACCCUAAGGCUACCACAACAAUUCGUAGGAUUGGGUGCAAUUCCAGGUAAUUGCAAGACUAAACACCACGUCUAAUCUAUUAAUUACUACUCUAGCGUUAUAAAGACUAGAGCACUUGAUGCAAGCGGGAAUCCAAUAAAUAACUUGAAUGUAAAUAAAAGUAAUUAGAGAACUCAGGAAUUAUGAAUUGAAGAACCUGGAGAACGAUGAAGAACGAACCAGAUGCUGCAAAAGUACAAUGUUGAGGAAGAUCCGACAGAUCCGGCUCCUCCUCCGCUCUCCUCUUCUCUCUCCCUAUUUUCUAGAUUACAACUAGAACUAACUAGAACUAGAACUAGAGGAACUAGAACUAGAACUAGAUGAACUAGAACUAGAUCUAGAUGAACUAGAGGUAGAACUAGAAGAACUAGAGGGAUCCUCUCUACUUGGAUGAAGAAUUGAAACCCUAGCGUUGAUUCUGUAGAAGAGGUAUGAUCUCCAGGGGCCAGGGGGUCUAGUUAUAUAGUCCCUUCAAGUGAAUCUGGGCUGUCGGAUCAAACCGACAUUGAUCGUGCGGUUUUCCUUGAUCCUUUAGGUCGGUGGAGCAUAAUCCGCGAAACGUGUCCUGAUUGGGCACUGUAGCUGGGCGGGCGCCCUGCCUCCGAGCCCGAUUUCCUUCCCGUUCGUUCCCGUGGCUUCUGGAGUCUUCUAGAUGGUAGAAAAUUGCGCAGCACGUUAAUAUCUCUAUGUAAACCCGACGUGUGGGCCUUUCUUUUGUAUUUCCUAAUAACCCCCUGUAGAAAUAGACAAACACCAAAACUCGUGGAAUUCUGUCAGAUAAAACCCUAAGUCUAGGUGUUGGUUGCAUUUGGAUCCUUUUCCAUGAUUAGUUGAUGGUUAAAUAUGAGCAUUAAGGACCGUCAACAAGCUCCCCCAAGCUUAACCUUUGCUCGUCCCUAAGCAAAGAUGAACUUAAGAGUUUCUGCAGUGGUUUCAUACCUUAAAGAUACACAUGCGUUCAAACAAGAUAUCAUCUAUGGGUUAGGGUAAACUGUUAAGAUUUAAACUUACUCAUAUUACCUUCCACCAUGGGGCUUGCAACCGUCACUUGUGUCUUGAGCAGUUAAAAGAUAGAACGGUCUAGUCAAGCGCCAUGUCUCUUAUUCUUGAUCAACUAUAGCUCUGGAGUUUUUGUAGAUUUUCAAAUAAAACUCAGAGAUUCCUUGUAUGACUCUCUCUAGUCUCUCUUUUGUGGUAUUUCUGGAUCCUUACCAAGGCAGUAAUGGUAUAUGCCUUCUCUCAAAGUAUGUGGUAUUUGUGGUAUGAGGCAUAGUGGCAUUGCCUUCUCUCUCACCCUGCUCAUAGGUGGGAGACAGCUAAUACAUACUUACAAGACAUUUAUUGCAUAGUCAAACCAUGGAUCCAGAAGAACAAGUCAAUAAGUCAAAUCAAGAUGUGCAUGUGUGGCGAAUGAAUGGUGUAUGGUGAUGAUGGUGAUAACAAUGGUGAAAGUCUAAUUCUACUUUUGCUCUUUUGAGAGGAUACAUACCUUUCUUGCUCUUUUGAAACUUUUUGAAGAGAGUGAGAUGCUCUGUAUUUUCUUUUUCUUUUCUCUCAGGUGGGUAUCUUGUACCCCUAAUUCUACUGUCGGACACUUGUCCAUUUUUACCUCUCGUCUCACUUUUUUUUCUUUUCUUUCGAGGUUCCGGGCACUUGCCCCUUUUUAUUUCCUCGUAUCUUUUUUUUUCUUUUUUUUUCUUUUUUUUUCUCUUUUUUUUAGAGAGCACUCAUCUCAUGAAAUAAUAUAGCAAGUGGUAGUAACAAGAUAACUUGAGCAUUUAUUUCAUAGGGGAAAAACAGAAAUAUUUUUGGCUAUUCUCUCCCGGAUUAGGAGUAGAAUAUUUUUAGGUGAUUCUGGAGAUGGAAAUGGGUGGAUAUAUGUGGAUGCGUACUUCCGGGUAGAAGCAGCAUGUAUGAGUGAUGGGUGGAUAUAUGUGGAUGCGUACUUCCGGGUAGAAGCAGCAUGUAUGAGUGAACGUGCAAGUGAAUCUUGAUUUAACCACAUGACAAGCUCCUAAGGGUCUACACAGCUUGACCACACUCAAUGCUCAUAAGCAGUAAAAUGUAAAUGUGUGGCUCAAAGUCUAGCAAGCAUGUAUAUAUGGCUGUGGUAGGAAUUUAAACUCUCAUCAUACAGGAACUCAUCAUGCAACAUUUUAAAGAUUUUCAAAGAUAAAAUUCUCCAGAAUUCUAGCAUCUCUAGGAACAGAUAAACAACAACUCAACCUUCCCAUAUCAUAUCCGUUAACGACUUAGACUUUAGAUCAAGUACUCUUCCCACAAGUUCAGGUUUAGAGCAAAUCUUAAUUAAUAACAGUCAUGCCUAAACUUGAGAGAGAUUUCAAUUUUGAGAACUAGUCAUGGCAGAGCAACUAUUCAUCAUUUCCAUGUGAGAGCUUAUCAUGAGGGUUCAUAACAAACUUUAUUUAUUCAUUUAUUUCGCAAACUAAGCAAAGAUAUAUAAGCACAAAAUCUUUAUUUGGGUUUUUAUGAUUAUGCAUCUUUUUAUUAUUUGAGUAAAGUAUAAACGUGAGUAGAAUACUUAGCUAGAUAAAUGGGGGUGCUCUCCCCCAAGCUGGUUUUCGACAUAAUUUCUCUUGAUGUAGCUAGCAGGUGGCGGAGGUGUAUUUGAAUGUCGGCAGCACCCUGGUAGCGAUUAGGAUGUCCUCCGUCUGCUAGUCUUCUUUGAUCCUUGAAUUCUGUGGAGCUUAAAUAGAAAACAAAGCUUUGUGGAACUAGUUAAGUGUUAGCAUAAAUAUCUAGCCUUUAUCAUGUUGAGCCUCCUCAAUAAAUGUUACACUCUUUAGUAGGAUCAUAAAUUUAUUUUUAUAAUUUUAUUUUUAUAGGACAGGAAUAUAUUUAUUUUAUUUUUAUGCCACCACAGUGAAUGUACUUAUGGGUUUUAUGCCAUGAGCAUACUCACAUGGGACUUACUAUUUUUAACAUUUUUAUUUUCUUUUCAAGAUGAUAUGAACCUGAUUAACUAAGCAAACUAUUUUAAAAUAAUUGAAAGGAAAAAGAUAACUACCAAGUUUACCUCUUGGCAAGGCGUUCGGUUUUUUUAAGUCCUCCGAACGGGACUCUCCGUUUUCUGAGUCGUCCUGGGAUUCGCUGGAUGGCGUAGUCGGUGGUUCCGACGGUGCCUGCUCUUCAUGUAUAACUAUCUUCUCUCUCCACACCUGACUCGGUGCUACGGUCUCCUCAGGACAAUUCUGAUCAAGCUGUAUGUCUUCAGACCUUACUACUUCUCCUUCGGAGUCUGCUCAUCCGUCCUUGAUGAUUUGCCUCCUCUGGUUGCGGUUGCAUCGUCUUCUUCUUGUCCUGACCUGCUUAGAGUCUUCAACUAUAUAGUUAGGGUCAGUAAAAUAGCGGCGUACCUUCUCAGAGGGGAAGUUCAUGUGGACUUCUCCGGUUCCAAUGUAGAUGAUUGCUUUAACAGUGCUGAGGAACGGUCUUCCAAGGAUGACGGGUGGAUUGUACUCGUCUUCUCCCAUGACAAUAACCUUAAAAUCUUUCGGAAUGUCUGAUCUGCCAUCUGAAGCUGAAUGUAUGUCGGUUGUAGGGACAUGGUUCCAUGCAGGAGCUGAUAAGUGACUGCGGCCAUUAUGUUGACGUUAGAUCCGGUGUCGUAGAGUGUCUUCUAAAAAGAAUAUCCGUUGAUUGUGCACUCGAUGCUUGGAACACCAGGGUCGUCCUUCUUGAUCAAGAAAGGUGACUUGAGUUGACGAUCUUAACCUCCUUGAGCUGCAGUGACCAUCUUAGCUGACUCGGUACACAUUUGCUUGUUCCUAUUCCUCCUGUUGGUCCUCUUCCUUGGUUCAUGUCAGGAUUGCUCUGGGAUUUGUGUAGUCUUUUUCUUGAAGGAAAACGUCUCCUUCCAUCCCUUGAUGUAGAAACUGAUCUUGGCAGCACUAGCGUAGAUGACAACUCCUGAGGUGUUCAGGAAUGGCCUCCCUAGGAUGAUGGGUGCCCUCUCAUCAGUACCAGUCUCUAUCACCACGAAGUCUACUGGGGCGUAUAAGGUACCAACUCGGACGUAGAGGUUCUUCAAUAUUCCCUUUGGGAAACUUAGUGUCUGAUCUGCAAGAUGCAAACACAUGGUUGUUUCUAGGAAAGGAUGUGUAAAGAAUUUUUUCAUAGAGUACCCUGGGCAUAAUGUUGACGCUGGAGCCAAAGUCACAGAGUGCUUCUGGGAAGUUCACCAUGCCGAUGGAGAUCGGGAUGACGGGGCGUCCUGGAUUGUCUCUCUUGACCGGCAGAAGGUCAGUAAUUACUUCCACAACGGGGUUACUCCAGUAGUUACGUCUUCAAGCAUCUCAGGGCAGUGAUUGCCUGAGUGUCCAGUAUCUCCAGUGUGUUUGUGCUCGUAGAUCUAGGUUCUUCACUUGGUGGAGUCUGGGAGUUGUAAAACUCCUUUAUAUUUUGCUCGAAGUGUACCUGCUCAUAGAGACAAGGAAGAGAUCAAGUGCAUGGGCCCUGUUGGUGGUAAACAUCAACAGAACCAAAAGUGUAUUUGUUCUUCUCUAGCCUUAAGCAUAGUGAGCAAGACAAAGUUGAUGGAUAAUAAGAUCAUGAGUGUAGCAUUUAUAACAUUUGUCAGAUCAGAUUGCUCAACCUAAUGGAAAGAUAAUCUAUCUAUGCUUAUGUGUUUUCUCUCUUUUUUCAUAUAUAUCUUCCAAAGAUUGAGUGUGCAACACUUUAGGACAAAACAUGUUGAAUCCAUUGGGUUGGUUAAUCUAGAGUUGUAAAUCAUACAUGUUUGUCUCUUUUAUUCAUGUGAACGCUAGAACCAAGGAGAAGCUUAUAAAAGUGAUAGUCAAGUACCUUAAGAUGUUACCAUACUUGAAGAGUGAUGGUACAGUAUCACCUUAUGGAAGCUUUCCUUUCUUAGCGGUUGUGCAUCGUGUUUGUAGCACCCUCCAUGGAUCAUCUCUUGUGAGCUAUGCCUUCCUUGUGUAAAUUGUUAAACUUCAUGUGCCUCUCUCUUUGUCUCCAAUGUGAGUUUAUCUCAGGGCUUCCCAGGUCGAUAUUGAAAGUUUUCCUGCAGGGGUUAGUCCAACAAAAUAUCCAAUAUCUACUAUAGCAUACUAUCGGCUCAAAGAUCAACCUAGACACCAUGUCUAAUUUGAUUUAGGAGGGCAUUUUAACCUAAGCACCAUGCUUAAUUUAAAACUCCUUGGAAGUAAGAUCAUCAUUCCUAAACUAAGCAACAAGCUUAAUUAAGAGAUAAAUGAAACUACUCCAAACCUAGACAUAUACUAAAGCAAAUAAAGGUAGCAUGAGAGCAUUUAUAGAGAUCUACUCAAGUGGAUAUGAAGUAGUGUGAUUAGUAUUUAACAAAUUGAGCAUGUCUCAAAGGUAGGGACAACCAACAUAGCAACAUGGCAAAGGAUUUUUUUUAUGUAAAGUACUCCCCCAAGCUUGAAUUUUGCAAAAUUCAAGUUUGGAUGAUUUAAUUCAAUGUUGUAUGAUGAUUGGUUGGACAUACCUUGUGCUUGUCAUUCAUCCGAUCUUCUUGCUCUAAUCCUGAAAAGGUUAGUGACAAGAAUACCCGAAGGAAUUUUUUUACAAUUAUUCUUAUAUGCUCAAUACACAAGGUAAUGUUGUAAAUAAUUAAAAGCUCAAGUUACGAUCUGAUCAGUGCUUGUUUUAGGACACUAAGCUUGUCCUUGGGAAACCAUCGAUUUAUGUCAGUGAAGUGGUUUCCCCUCCAACGCUGACCUAUAUCAAGAUCAACUCAACGAGAUCUACAAUAUUUAAUAUAGACAUAUGCAUCGACAACCGCCCUUUUAAAGUUUUUAUAGAUAGAAAGGAUGAGGGGGUUGGAGAUCUCGAAUGUGGUGAUGUUGGAAAAACCAAUGGAUUUUGAAGAUGUUGCAUAUGAGCAUGGAGUAAAUGAAGUGGCUAUGAAAUAAAUUCCAUGCUCAUUAAUGCUUAGAGUGAAAUCCAUGUGGUAUGGUGAAAAUGAUAAGGUGGGUGUGGUAUAAAAGGAAAAGAAAAAGGAUACACGGACGACUUGGUUCGAAACUAGCACAGCUACCGUUCCCCGGCAACGGCGCUAGAAAGCUUGUUGGGUAUUUUAAACGCAAACAGAAAAAUCCUCAAGCGCACGGAUACCGAUGUAGCUUUCACCCGGGAGUAUUCCAGAGUAUCGAUUUUCCACAGAGAACGUGAGUGUACUAAUUAAGAUCCAAGAUCGCCCAAGGAUAACUAUAUAAUUAUUUUUGGUGGGAAGAGAGGAAGUUUCUUGAGUGUUCUCUAGUUGAUCUAAGAAUCAAGAAUUACUUCAAGAUUAUCUAUAUCGGGACAUCAGAGCACUAACCACAGAAAGAGAUGAGAAGGGGGCUAGGAAGGUCUGACUAUGGUCCUACAAACACCGAUCUGAACGAGGUGGAAUACGUCGACCGUUAGAGCUGUCAGUACCCUAAGGCUACCACAACAAUCCGUAGGAUUGGGUGCAAUUCCAGGUAAUUGCAAGACUAAACACCAUGUCUAAUCUAUUAAUUACUACUCUAGCGUUAUAAAGACUAGAGCACUUGAUGCAAGCGGGAAUCCAAUAAAUAACUUGAAUGUAAAUAAAAGUAAUUAGAGAACUCAGGAAUUAUGAAUUGAAGAUCCUGGAGAACGAUGAAGAACGAACCAGAUGCUGCAAAAGUACAAUGUUGAGGAAGAUCCGAUAGAUCCGGCUCCUCCUCCGCUCUCCUCUUCUCUCUCCCUAUUUUCUAGAUUACAACUAGAACUAACUAGAACUAGAACUAGAGGAACUAGAACUAGAACUAGAUGAACUAGAACUAGAUCUAGAUGAACUAGAGGUAGAACUAGAAGAACUAGAGGGAUCAUCUCUACUUGGAUGAAGAAUUGAAACCCUAGCUUUGAUUCUGUAGAAGAGGUAUGAUCUCCAGGGGCCAGGGGGUCUAGUUUUAUAGUCCCUUCAAGUGAAUCUGGGCUGUCGGAUCAAACCGACAUUGAUCGUGCGGUUUUCCUUGAUCCUUUAGGUCGGUGGAGCAUAAUCCACGAAACGUGUCCUGAUUGGGCACUGUAGCUGGGCGGGCGCCCAGGAGAGUUGGGCGGGCGCCCUGCCUUCGAGCCCGAUUUCCUUCCCGUUCAUUCCCGUGGCUUCUGGAGUCUUCUAGAUGGUAGAAAAUUGCGCAGCACGCUAAUAUCUCUAUGUAAACCCGACGUGUGGGCCUUUCUUCUCUAUUUCCUGAUAACCCCCUGCAGAAAUAGACAAACACCAAAACUCGUGGAAUUCUGUCAGAUAAAACCCUAAGUCUAGGUGUUGGUUGCAUUUGGAUCCUUUUCCAUGAUUAGUUGAUGGUUAAAUAUGAGCAUUAAGGACCGUCAACAACCUACACGAAUAUAUAUCUCAUGCAUGCAUGCAGGACAUGCCACCGUCCAUUUGCAUGCACUUGCAUGCAAGGACAUGGUGAUUAGGCACCGUCCAUUUGCAUGCAUCGUGCAUACAAAUUAGGCACCGACCAUACGCUACAGUAGCAUUUUUAAUGGCACGCAGCUGAGCGCUUUGGCCUAUAAAAAGCCAGCCUCAGGUGCUCACUCUCACCACCCGAGAAGCACGUUCACUCACUCGCUCACUCACUCUCACUUUGCGUAUACUGUAUACGGCCAUACGCACAAGCUGAGCUCGACUGUCGUCGCAAGACGAGGUGAGCAGCUCAUGAGCAUCUCCUUGCUCUUCUCUGUCUUUCUGUAGUAUUUUUCCUGUAUUUUUUCCUUGUAUUUGUCUCUACUGAUUCACUGCCAAGAACUCCACGAAUAGAACCAUGACAUACAGAAGAGCUCUAAUGACCCCUGCUAAUUUCUCUCUAACCAUGCAUGCGUGGGCCAUAAGCAUUAAUUUCACCAAAUAGUACAUGCAUGCAUGCACUACCAGCCAAGCAAAUGCCCACGUGAAACAUCUAUUCCUUAAUCAUUGUUAGUCUUUUUCGCAUGAUUAAAUUUCGAUCAUUUUACAAAUACCACAUGCUAACUCUGAUUUCAAUAAUUAUUUUUCCUAAAUUCAUCCAAAAUCAUGAUCUACCUCCCAUAUUAAUUUCAUGAUUUUUAGAGCUUAUUUGAAUUAUGUAAUUAUUUAUCUGAGCUUGUUGUCUGUGUCGGUCAUCGCGUAUUUUAGCUGACGGAGUGAACGAGCCGGAAAACGAGAACGUUGGAGACGAGUACCGCGAGUUUGACACCGAGGACCUGGACUGUCAGCAGGAGUUUGCCGAGGACGCCGACGGAGGCAAGUCCAACCGAUCCCCUUUGAUGCAUAUUGAUCCUAUUUUUAAACACAACCCGUAGAAGCCGUUUUAAAUAUUGCAUGUACGAUAUAUGUACGAAGUAUUUUUGCUGCUUAGUUAAAACCUGUUGAAUAGCCAUCCUUGAAUUGAUAUUACCUGAUAAUUGUCUUGUUCGAACCUAGGAACAAAUAAUAUGCUAUGACAGAAAUAUUAUUAUUUAGUAUGCUUAGGACUUGUUACUCAUCCUGGAUACUCAUCGCUAUAUUUUUCCAAAUAUAAUGAUUUUAAAAGUAAAAGGUGUGAGUGGUGAAAAUAAAUUGUGGGUAUGGUGAAAGGGUUAAUGAACAAGUUAUAGAUGUGAUUACUAUGGAGAUGGGGCGGAUGAGAUCUCUUUUGGGGAUGCCCUGGUGUUGUGGCUUAUACCUUACGGGUUAAGCGUGAAGAUAUCCGCCUUGUCUCGAUUAAGGACUGAGUUGAUGAUUCAUCUUGCCUAACUCAUUUAUCGUACAACCACUCGUCUUGCAUGGGAAAGGCUUAGUCUAAAUCUAUCUAGUUAUUAUGGCAAUCACCUGGAGGCAGGUGUGCAACGGGACACUAAGUGAUGUAUGUGAAAUUGUGGAAAUAUAUGAAAAGAGCUUUGUGAAUUAUUGUGGUAUCAUGAGAUGUGGCCUUAGUGUUCCCGUGGUGAGCGCCAAUACUUAGCUAUAGAGGGUAAUGACUUUGAUGGAUCUGUGCUUGCACGACGGUGUAAGUUAUGGUAUCCUACUUGUGGGAAAAGUGUACAACCUCUGCAGAGUGUAAAUCUAUCUAGAUAGCCGUGUCCGUGGUCUCGGAUGGGUUAUGGUUUGGUUUCAACAACUAGAUGGGUUCGGAUGAGUGAAAACAUGAGAGUGAGUGUGAUUUUGGAAAUAAAUGGUUGACUGCCAUUGUGUUGUGGGAACAAGGGUUCAACAACACUUAAAAUUGUGAUCAAACCCCCAUUUUUAGAAAUACUAUCAUAUGUGCAAAAAGAGUUCUUUUACAACAGUAUUUGUGAAAUGAAACCUUGCAUGUGUAAAAAGAUAGCUUUAUGCAAAUAAAACUAAGCCUCAUCCUUGAUUUAUCCAUAUGCAUAUAUAUUGUUAUCCCCUUCCGCAGGGUAAGGUUGGAUUUGCUGAGUACUUUGUACUCACCCUUGCUUUAUUAAACAGAGGAAGAUCCGGACUUUGAUCCCGAAGUGGCGUUCGAGUAAGGUCGUGUCUGCACCCAACUAAGCAUGUGGGAUUGGGACUCGUCAGAUGUUCGAUUGUGAUAUCAUUUGUUUCUGGGUCCUUUGGACCAAUGUUGUAUUUUGGUGUCUUAUUAUUAUAGCGUGCCUUCCUUGUCCACGCUUUCCGAGACUACUGUGCUGAAACUUAUCUGAUGUAAUAAAUGUGUUACUAGCCUCCUGAGACUAGUAUUGUAUCACAUUUAAGUUCCUGGUUUACCAGGGGCGCUUCAGGUGGUAUCAGAGCCGUAGUUGGCUGUAGAACGCGACCUUAGGCUUUUCUGGACCAGUAUUUUACUAAAUAAACGUAUUUUACAAAAGUUCUUACCCUCUUCCCUCAAUUUGAAAAAAAUAUUUACUCUCAUCUAUGUCUCUCAGAUGGCAGAAGGAGUUUGGACCAGCAGUUACUGUCUAAGUGUAGAAGGCUUUCCCAAGCUCUUGUAUGCUACCAUGCAGAAACUUGGAAUCAAGGAUGGUCCAGAAUAUGAAGGUAGAGAAUAUGAAGAGCAUGAGACCGAGCGGUGUGAAGUUACCGUCUAUAUUGGGAAAAGUGAGGACUUCCCUAACAUAGCCGAAGCUUGGAGUAUGACUGCGACCAGAUUUCGGUUUGCAGAUACAGAUCAAGCCGUCGUCCGCAAAGCCUUGAGGUACCUAUGCUAGAUCUACGAGAAGCCCAUCACCCGUACACCCAUGAGGUUCUUUCCACCUGACGAAAAAGACCGACCAGUUUGGAGGACCCGCAUGGAGCUCUUGCAAUGACGCUACUCACUUGAAGAUGACCCAACUGUGGUAUUCAUGACCACAUACCUACUUGCUCUAGAUAAGCAAUAUGAUGAGCAGGCCUCAGAGUUAAGGAAGUGCAUCCAUCGUGCGGAGGAAGCCAAGAUCAUAGUUAGAAAGCUCCAUGUGCAGCUUGUAGAAGCUCAGGCCCAAGCAGCUGCAGCCGAGAGUCGUGAAACUGCCAUUGCUGAAGUCUUGAAGGCAGCUGAAGACCGCCAUGCUCAGGAGUUGAAGGAUGCCUACCUUAUCACCAGGAUCAAAAGAAGGAUGUUAGCAGUGGAAGACCAAAACCCCGUAAUCCUAGAAGGAAUCCCAAUCAUGUCCCUAAAAACCAAAAGAAAGAUGGACAUAGAAGGGCCAUCAGCUCCCCCACCCACAGAAGCCUCUCAUGAAGCUUUAGAGUUGGAGUCCACUAAGGAAGAAGGAUUUCCCCUCCUCACCCAGCCGGCACCAAAAGAAGACAGUGACCCACCUCUUAGUCCAAAGGAAGAACCACAGAUGUCAGAAGCAUGAUCCUCCUCAACACCAAGGGAAUGAAGUUGUUCUGUCCGAAGAAGUUGAAGAAUAGUAGCACCUAGUUCCUCCUUUUGUCUUGGGGAAGUGAAGUUUACUUAACUUUUGUUCAACCCCCAAAGUAGAUGAACUGUAUUGUAGUACGCUUAUUUCCUCCAUUACUAUGUUGUAAACCGCCUGAAAGCCCUAGUUUGGUUUUGGAUAAUUGAUGAAACCUAUGUGUACUAACCUUUGUCAUGAGUGAAAUAUAAAGAUAGGUUGGUACACACUAGGUGAUGGAGCUAGAUGAUGGUCAUGGUGAUGGAGGUGAUCAAAAGAUGAUAUUCAAGUGCUCCAACUUGGAAAAGAAGAAUGAGAAAAACAAAAUGGGCUCAAGGCAAAGGUAUUUUUAAUAGGGCCAUUUUGUUUUGCCACUCAAGACACCUAGUGGUUGUGAGUGGAUUUAGGAUAGAUAACCGUACUAUAAAGAGGGGAAAUCUUUAAUUGCAAUGGUUAUCUAGUGCCACUGAAUAGGUUUCUCAUUUGCAUUUACCUAGCGCUUAGUGACGUGGUGAGCUGCUUGAGAAAGCCUAUAAAAAUAUUUGUGAAAGGCUAAUUUAAAUGUCCAAUUUAUUUUGGAACAUUUUAGUGAAAUUAGCUACUUUAAAAGGUGCUGAAAAUUCAUAGAAUGUGAGCUGCUGUCCAGACGUAAAAGAACUGCAAGCUGCUGAAACAAACUGAAAGUUUUUGUAAGUAGCUGAAUCAAGUUGGAAGCAGUUGCAAUCAGUUAAAACUAGUGGACAGUUCAAACAGCAAGCGGGUGAAUAUUUUUGCAAGAAGCUGGAAGCAGUUGCGACCAGUUGCAACCAGUUGAAAUCAGUGCACAGCUCAACAGCAAGCAAAUGAGUGUGGUUGCAAGUAACUGGAGGCAGUCGCAACCAGUCAAAUCCAGUGUGCAGCCCAACAGCAAGCAGGAGAAAGAGAGCUGAAAGCAGUUGCAGCUAGUUGGAACCAGUUGUAAGAAUUUACAAACGUUGGCUGCUGUCUGUCUUGUUCGAAAGAAGGAAAGAGCAGAGACUUUGUUUGCAUACGUUGCAUGUGGUGGAGCUCUUGCCUUAAUAAAUGAAAGAGAGAAAGAGAAAAGUGAUUUGCAUGCAUGCAUGCAAGUGUGAACACACCUUAAUAAAAGGAGGCAGCCAUUGACCUUUGCUCUUCAUAGAGUUGUCCACUCAAGUACAAGGAGGUACUAAUUUGCUCUGUUGUGCAGCUCGUCCCAUUUGAAGUGGAGAAGUGGCAGGAGUGCAUGCGCAUGGACUGCAGGGUUGCAGCUCUUUGCCACUUGCUCAUUUAAUUGAUGGGACCCAUUGCUGAGAAAAUACAGAGAGCCACUCAAUGCCUGUGCUGCUGCCCGUUGUGGAAAACGGUACUAUUGUUUUGCCCGUUGGAGAGCUGGCUGGCCAAAUAAUUUAGGCCGAGUGCUCCACUUCCUGACCCUCUCUCUCGCGGAUACAGAACGCUUCACUUCUUUCUUUCCAGAGAACAGAAAACUCGAGCUCCCCUCUCCCAUCUCUCCCAAGUGCUAAUCCUACGAGAGAUUUUUGAGAGGCCUGCGUGAUUGAUCCAGUGAGCUCGUGAGCAUCUCCUCCCUCUCCUCUCCCUCUCAUAGCUUGGUGCUCAUCUGAGAGAGGAUUGAGGGUAACCCUAGGUGCAUUUGAAACUGCAUUUUCUUGUGGCACUAGGUGAUUAUUGUGAUUGUGGAUUUCUUAUUACUCUUGGUGAUUGCCGUCACCUAGACGGUUGUGGAUUUGUUGAUUGGUGAGGGGAUUUGGUGAUUGUGUCCGCCCCCAAUCAAGGUGAUAUUUGUGAGGGGUUCUUGGGCUUAUUCCCCGGCAGAGUGCCAAAAGUCACUCUAGUGAAUUGCUCGUGUCAUUGAGCUACCUCACUUGUGGGUAGGUUCUUGUGGCGCCCAUUUGUUGGGCUAGGUUUGUGAAACACCUAUUAGCCGCCGAACCACUAAGUGUUGGUCGACACAACGGGGACUAGCGUGCCGGCAAGCACGUGAACCUCGGGAGAAAAAUAUUGGUGUCAAUAUUAUGAUUGGUAUUCUCCCGGUGAAUAUAUUGAUAUACAUUGUGAUUGGUUCAUCCUCUACACAUCGGUAUAAUUAUCACUCAUCUCUUUACUUUCUUGUAAACUAGUUGUAACUAGUAGUACCUAGUUUUAGCUGGUUGUAACUAGUUGUAGAGAGUAGUGACUUAGCCGUUGUUUGUCCUUAGUGAUCAUAGUAACUAGAAUUAUUGAAUAGGUGGCUUGCAACUUUUGUAGAGCUAGAGCAAAAUUGCUUUACGCCUUUUGUUAUACUAAUCCUUUGCUCUAGUGUCUUGUAGAAUUUUUAAAUAGGCUAUUCACCCCCCCUCUAGCCAUAUUAGGACCUUUCAAGUGGUAUUGGAGCCGUGGUCACCGUUUAAUCAAGGCUUAACAACCUUCGGUGUCAAAAGAUGGCUCAAAUUGUAUUCAACCAUGUGGGGGGCAAACCACCGUUCUUUGAUGGUACAUGCUAUGAUUAUUGGAAGAGAAAAAAUGAAGAUGUAUUUGGGUUCAAUCAAUGAUCAAGUGUGGGAUGUGACAGAAAAUGAUUUUGUGAUUCUUGAUCCCACCAAUCUCACCAACCAAGAUAAAGCAAACAAGCAAUGCAAUACUAUGGCUCUCAACAUUAUAUAUAAUGCAAUUGAUUCAAAAGUGUUUGAGCAAAUCAAGGAUUGUGAUAGGGCAAGUGAAGUGUGGAAGAGAUUGGAGGAAACAUAUGAGGGCACACCGGCGGUCAAGAGUGCAAAAUNNNNNNNNNNNNNNNNNNNNNNNNNNNNNNNNNNNNNNNNNNNNNNNNNNNNNNNNNNNNNNNNNNNNNNNNNNNNNNNNNNNNNNNNNNNNNNNNNNNNGAUGUUCAUUCAUCACACAAAUGAUAAUGAUGGAAUUCAUAGUAUAACAUUUGGUGAUAAUGGCAAAGGCAAGGUCAAAGGGCUUGGUAAGAUUGCAAUAUCCAAUGAUUUGAGCAUUUCCAAUGUGCUACUAGUAGAGAGCUUGAACUUCAACCUAUUGUCAGUAGCUCAACUUUGUGAUCUUGGUUUCAAGUGCAUAUUUGGUGUGGAUGAUGUAGAGAUUAUAAGUGUAGAUGGCUCUAACUUGAUAUUCAGAGGAUUUAGAUAUGAGAAUCUAUACUUGGUUGAUUUCAAUGCUAGUGAAACUCAAUUAUCAACAUGCUUGCUCACUAAAUCUAGCAUGGGUUGGUUAUGGCAAAGAAGGCUUGGUCAUGUUGGAAUGAAACAAUUGAACAAGUUGAUAAAGCAUGAUCUAGUUAGAGGCUUGAAAGAUGUCACAUUUGAGAAAGAUAAGCUAUGUAGUGCAUGUCAAGCCGGAAAGCAAGUUGGUAACACACAUCCUAAGAAGAGCAUCAUGAGCACAUCUAAGGCAUUUGAGCUAUUGCACAUGGAUUUAUUUGGGCCAACAACAUACACUAGCAUUGGUGGAAAUAAAUAUGGCUUUGUGAUAGUGGAUGAUUUUACAAGAUAUACAUGGGUAUUCUUUCUUGUUGAUAAGAGUGAUGCUUUUGCAACUUUCAAAUCAUUUGUCAAAAGAGUUCACAAUGAGUUUGAAACAACCAUCAAGAGAGUAAGAAGUGACAAUGGUAGUGAGUUCAAGAAUACAAGAGUUGAUGAGUUAUGUGAUGAUUUUGGAAUUAGGCAUCAAUUCUCGGCUAAGUAUACUCCUCAAUCAAAUGGCCUUGUUGAGAGAAAGAAUAGAACUUUGAUUGAUAUGGCAAGGUCUAUGCUUAGUGAAUACAAUGUAAGUCAUUCUUUUUGGGCCGAAGCUAUCAACACGGCUUGCUACUAUAGCAACCGCCUAUAUUGCCAUCCUAUGUUGGAGAAUACACCAUAUGAGAUCUUGAAUGGUAGAAAGCCCAAUAUUGCAUACUUUCGGGUCUUUGGCUGCAAAUGCUAUAUAUUGAAGAAAGGCACUAGAUUGAGCAAAUUUGAGAAGAAAUGUGAUGAAGGCUUCUUGCUUGGUUACUCCACUACUAGUAAGGCUUAUAGAGUUUGGAAUUUGGCUAAUGGUACUCUUGAGGAAGUUCAUGAUGUUGAAUUUGAUGAAACAAAUGGUUCCCAAGAUGAAGAUGAGAAUCUAGAUGAUGUGAGAGGUACUCAAUUGGUCAAUGCUAUGAAGACCAUGGAUGUUGGUGAUAUAAGGCCUAGAGAGAUGAUUGAUGUUGAAGAUGACAAAAAUCAAGUGCUCUCUAACUCAAAUGUGAAAGCUAGUGGUUCUCAUGAUAUAUCUCAAGCUAGUACAAGUGGUGCUCAAGAAANNNNNNNNNNNNNNNNNNNNNNNNNNNNNNNNNNNNNNNNNNNNNNNNNNNNNNNNNNNNNNNNNNNNNNNNNNNNNNNNNNNNNNNNNNNNNNNNNNNNNNNNNNNNNNNNNNNNNNNNNNNNNNNNNNNNNNNNNNNNNNNNNNNNNNNNNNNNNNNNNNNNNNNNNNNNNNNNNNNNNNNNNNNNNNNNNNNNNNNNNNNNNNNNNNNNNNNNNNNNNNNNNNNNNNNNNNNNNNNNNNNNNNNNNNNNNNNNNNNNNNNNNNNNNNNNNNNNNNNNNNNNNNNNNNNNNNNNNNNNNNNNNNNNNNNNNNNNNNNNNNNNNNNNNNNNNNNNNNNNNNNNNNNNNNNNNNNNNNNNNNNNNNNNNNNNNNNNNNNNNNNNNNNNNNNNNNNNNNNNNNNNNNNNNNNNNNNNNNNNNNNNNNNNNNNNNNNNNNNNNNNNNNNNNNNNNNNNNNNNNNNNNNNNNNNNNNNNNNNNNNNNNNNNNNNNNNNNNNNNNNNNNNNNNNNNNNNNNNNNNNNNNNNNNNNNNNNNNNNNNNNNNNNNNNNNNNNNNNNNNNNNNNNNNNNNNNNNNNNNNNNNNNNNNNNNNNNNNNNNNNNNNNNNNNNNNNNNNNNNNNNNNNNNNNNNNNNNNNNNNNNNNNNNNNNNNNNNNNNNNNNNNNNNNNNNNNNNNNNNNNNNNNNNNNNNNNNNNNNNNNNNNNNNNNNNNNNNNNNNNNNNNNNNNNNNNNNNNNNNNNNNNNNNNNNNNNNNNNNNNNNNNNNNNNNNNNNNNNNNNNNNNNNNNNNNNNNNNNNNNNNNNNNNNNNNNNNNNNNNNNNNNNNNNNNNNNNNNNNNNNNNNNNNNNNNNNNNNNNNNNNNNNNNNNNNNNNNNNNNNNNNNNNNNNNNNNNNNNNNNNNNNNNNNNNNNNNNNNNNNNNNAUAAGAGGAGGAUUGAAAGAACUAACCCCUACCCAAGUACUAGGUGAUGUCAUGACACAAGAGACAUACCGUGUAGAAAGGGAAGAGGUUGACCAAGAUGAGAAGAAGGAUGAAGACAAGAAAAAGAAAAGUGUGGCAUUCAAGGCUAGUUCAUUCAAGAGCAAGGGCAAAGCAAAGAAAGAAGAACCAAGUGAAGAUGAGGAAGCUAGUGACAUUGAUGAUGAAGCACUAGCUCUCUUUGUGCGCAAAUUUGGCAAAUUUAUGAAAAAGAAGGGCUAUGGUGCAAGAAAAAGAAGAGAUCAAAAUAAGAGCAAAGAAUAUGUGAGAAGAUGCUACAAAUGCAAGAGCAAGGAUCAUGUUGUAGCAAAUUGUCCAUAUAAUAGUGAUAAUGAUGAGAAUGAGAAGAAGGAAAAGAAAGAAAAGAAGGAGAAGAAAAUGAUAUUCCAAAAGAAGAAAAAGGGUGGCGGCUAUGUGGUAACUUGGGAUAGUGAUGCUUCUUCGGAUAAUGAUGAUUCUAGUAAUGAUGAUGAUAAGAAAUCCAAGAAGAAGGCACUUGCAAGCAUCGCCAUCAACAACAAGACUUCUCUCUUCAACACUCCUUCGACAUGCCUCAUGGCUAAACCCACUAAGGUACAAUAUGAUGAAAGUGAUGAUGAUUGUGAAAGUGAUGAUUGUAGGAGUGAUGAUGAUAGUGAUGAUGAGUCAAAGGAGGAACUCAUGGACAUGUUGGAAAAUGCCCACACAUGUCUUGAGAUGAAGAGAAAGGAGUGCAAAGAGUUGCAGAAAGAGCUUAAAGCUCUUAAGCAAUCUUUUGAUGAGCUCCAAGCGUCUCAUGAGAGUCUAAAGGAAGACCAUGAGGAGCUUAGCAAUGCUGACUAUAAGCUUGAAAAGGCUCACUCCUUACUCCUCGAGCAAGCUAAGAAGGAGGAAGUUAUUGUGACUUGUGACAAGGGCUCUACUUGUGAUUUAAUUAAUGAAUCUUUCUUUGAGCCUAUUAUUAUUGCCUCCACUAACUCUUCUUGCAGCACUUCCACUUCUACCUCAUCUACUAGUGAUGGUUUCACUUGUGAUGCCACAUUAAUUAAUGAAAAUGAGACCCUCAAGAAGGAGGUCAAUGAGCUCACUCGCGCCUUAGGCAAUGCCUAUGGUGGUGAGGCCCGCUUGCUAAAGUGCUUGGGUAGCCAAAGGUUUUCUCUCAACAAAGAGGGAUUAGGCUAUACCCCCAAGAAAGGCAAGGCGGCCUUUGCUACUCAUAAAGCUAGCUUUGUGAAGGGCAAUGGUCGGUUUUGCACUAGAUGCAAGCAAGUUGGGCACAUAGAGCAAUAUUGCAAGAACAAGAACAAAACAAAUAAUGUAUCCUCAAUUAAAUUUGAUUCUUGUUAUAUGCUUACCAAAGGUGUUAAUGGGGUGCAACCUAAGUUCAUUGGUGCACCAAUUGUGGGCUCAAAGAAGAAAGCUAUGUGAUNNNNNNNNNNNNNNNNNNNNNNNNNNNNNNNNNNNNNNNNNNNNNNNNNNNNNNNNNNNNNNNNNNNNNNNNNNNNNNNNNNNNNNNNNNNNNNNNNNNNGUGAUUGGGUAAUGCUAUGCAUGAAGAGCUAAACAAUUUUACUGGAAAUCAAGUAUGGGAGUUAGUAGAGAGGCCUAAGGAUAAUAAUGUGAUUGGAACCAAAUGGGUCUUUCGAAACAAGCAAGAUCAAGAUGGGAUAGUGAUUAGGAACAAAGCAAGAUUGGUAGCACAAGGUUACACACAAAUUGAAGGUCUUGACUUUGGAGAAACAUAUGCCCCGGUUGCAAGAUUGGAAGCAAUUAGGAUCUUGUUAGCCUAUGCUUGUGCUCAUAAUAUCAAGUUAUAUCAAAUGGAUGUGAAGAGUGCAUUCUUGAAUGGGUACAUAAAUGAGUUGGUUUAUGUUGAGCAACCUCCCGGUUUUGAAAAUGACAAGAAGCCCAACCAUGUUUACAAGUUGAAGAAAGCAUUGUAUGGUUUGAAACAAGCACCUAGAGCAUGGUAUGAGAGGUUAAGGGAUUUCUUACUCUCUAAAGGGUUUCUUAUGGGUAAGGUUGACACCACUCUCUUCACUAAAAAGAUAGGCAAGGACUUAUUUGUGUUGCAAAUCUAUGUUGAUGACAUUAUAUUUGGCUCAACCAAUCAAGAAUUUUGUAAAGAAUUUGGAAAUAUGAUGGCAAAAGAGUUUGAGAUGUCCAUGAUUGGAGAGCUUAGUUACUUCCUUGGUCUUCAAAUUAAGCAAAUGAAGAAUGGUACAUUUGUGAGUCAAGGCAAGUACAUUAAAGAUAUGCUCAAAAAGUUUGGCAUGGAUGAUGCUAAAGCUAUUAGUACACCUAUGGGGACAAAUGGAAACUUGGAUAGUGAUGCUAGUGGCAACAUGGUGGAUCAAAAGUUAUAUCGGUCUAUGAUUGGAAGCCUACUCUAUGUGACUGCAUCAAGACCGGAUGUGAUGUUUAGUGUAUGCAUGUGUGCUAGAUUUCAAGCAUCACCAAGAGAAAGUCAUUUGAAGGCAACAAAAAGAAUAUUGAGGUACUUGAAACAUACACAAAAUGUUGGAUUGUGGUAUCCCAAAGGAGCAAAUUUUGAGUUGAUUGGUUAUUCUGACUGUGAUUAUGCGGGAUGUAAAAUUGAGAGAAAGAGCACAUCAGGCACAUGUCAAUUAUUGGGAAGGUCACUUGUAUCUUGGUCAUCAAAGAAGCAAAAUAGUGUAGCACUUUCAACCGCCGAAGCUGAGUAUAUUUCAGCUGGUAGUUGUUGUGCUCAAUUACUUUGGAUGAAGGCUACUUUGAAUGAUUUUGGAAUCAAGUUCAAACAAGUGCCAUUGCUAUGUGAUAAUGAGAGUGCAGUGAAGCUUACUAACAACCCAGUUCAACAUUCAAGAACAAAGCAUAUAGAUGUCCGUCAUCAUUUCAUAAGAGAUCAUCAACAAAAAGGGGACAUUUGUAUUGAGAGUGUGGGAACUGAAGAUCAACUUGCCGAUAUAUUCACCAAGCCACUUGAUGAGAAGAGGUUUUGCAAGCUAAGGAAUGAAUUGAACAUACUUGACUUCUCAAAUAUGUGUUGAUGCACCCCAUAAUAUGACAUGCCUCACCUUCGAGCAAAGCAAGGUAAAAUUAUUUGACAUGUCAUCCAUCCUUUGCUAAGGACUUGUUUAGUGCAUCUAGUCAUUCCUCACAUAUCCUAGACUCAUUUAUGAAAAUAAAAUGAAUUUGAUGCUUGUAUGGUACCACUAUUGCUUCUAUGUUUGAAAUGAUCUAGUGGUAGCAUAUGACAUGUUUGUGGGCUUGCAAUCCUAGUGUUUGAUCUAGAAAAUGAGCUAUAGGUGUUUAACUCAACAUUGUCAAGAUAACCCUUGAAAUGAGGUGUGAAAAAGCUUGUCAUUGGAUCAAACCGAGUUAAAUAUCUUAGACAAGCAAUCUAGAUUGAACCAAAUUUGGCAAAAUAAUCCUUACAUAACAUGGUUUCACAUACAACCUAUCUAAAAUUUGAGCUCACCUUUUGUGGUCAUUGAUGACAAAGGGGGAGAAGUAAUUCACAAAGAUAGGUUUUCCUAAAAGAAGGGAAUCAAUUUUUUUAAGCACACAAGUAGGGGGAGCAAGCUCAUAAACUUGUAUGUUGCAUUUGGAUGUGCAUUACAUAUGUUUGCAUGCAUAGCAUUUUUUUUUGAUACCUUGCUUGUGUGAUGUAUGCUAGUUGUAAAUUGAUUGAUGAAAUGAAAAACUAACAUGUAUAGGAUGAUAGUUAGAUGUACCUUGCAUGUUUUAUGUUUUACAAGUGGUACAAGAGCCUUGUUUAUAAUAUUGAUCUCACGAGGUAUCUAGUGUUUAUGUUUGCAAGAGCUAUCUAACUAACCAUGGUGCUAAGGAUGGUGUUCAAAUGGCAACUCCGAUUGGUAUCACGCUUCAAAGGUCCAUUCUUUACACCUUAGCAUCAUUUGGUAGUUAUUGUCUCCUAUGUUUCCUAUCUAAGCAUAUGUGCAAGCUUUCAAAUCCAAACUCUUAGCACAUAUGUAGGGGGAGCCAAUGCUACCAAUUUGGGUUUAUGAAACUUGUCCAUAUCUUUUACACAUGGUAAAUUGCUUGGGCAAGCAACAUGAAUCUAAAAAUUUUAUUGAAUAUCUUUGUGAAAAGGUUGUCAUCAAUUACCAAAAAGGGGGAGAUUGAAAGCCCUAGUUUGGUUUUGGAUAAUUGAUGAAACCUAUGUGUACUAACCUUUGUCAUGAGUGAAAUAUAAAGAUAGGUUGGUACACACCAAGUGAUGGAGCUAGAUGAUGGUCAUGGUGAUGGAGGUGAUCAAAAGAUGAUAUUCAAGUGCUCCAACUUGGAAAAGAAGAAUGAGAAAAACAAAAUGGGCUCAAGGCAAAGGUAUUUUUAAUAGGGCCAUUUUGUUUUGCCACUCAAGACACCUAGUGGGUGUGAGUGGAUUUAGGAUAGACAACCGUACUAUAAAGAGGGGAAAUCUUUAAUUGCAAUGGUUAUCUAGUGCCACUGAAUAUGUUUCUCAUUUGCAUUUACCUAGCGCUUAGUGACGUGGUGAGCUGCUUGAGAAAGCCUAUAAAAAUAUUUGUGAAAGGCUAAUUUAAAUGUCCAAUUUAUUUUGGAACAUUUUAGUGAAAUUAGCUACUUCAAAAGGUGCUGAAAAUUCAUAGAAUGUGAGCUGCUGUCCAGACGUAAAAGAACUGCAAGCUGCUGAAACAAACUGAAAGUUUUUGUAAGUAGCUGAAUCAAGUUGGAAGCAGUUGCAAUCAGUUAAAACUAGUGGACAGUUCAAACAGCAAGCGGGUGAAUAUUUUUGCAAGAAGCUGGAAGCAGUUGCGACUAGUUGCAACCAGUUGAAAUCAGUGCACAGCUCAACAGCAAGCAAAUGAGUGUGGUUGCAAGUAACUGGAGGCAGUCGCAACCAGUCAAAUCCAGUGUGCAGCCCAAAAGCAUGCAGGAGAAAGAGAGCUGAAAGCAGUUGCAGCUAGUUGGAACCAGCUGUAAGAAUUUACAAACGUUGGCUGCUCUCUGUCUUGUUCGAAAGAAGGACAGAGCAGAGACUUUGUUUGCAUACGUUGCAUGUGGUGGAGCUCUUGCCUUAAUAAAUGAAAGAGAGAAAGAGAAAAGUGAUUUGCAUGCAUGCAUGCAAGUGUGAACACACCUUAAUAAAAGGAGGCAGCCAUUGACCUUUGCUCUUCAUAGAGUUGUCCACUCAAGUACAAGGAGGUACUAAUUUGCUCUGUUGUGCAGCUCGUCCCAUUUGAAGUGGAGAAGUGGCAGGAGUGCAUGCGCAUGGACUGCAGGGUUGCAGCUCUUUGCCACUUGCUCAUUUAAUUGAUGGGACCCAUUGCUGAGAAAAUACAGAGAGCCACUCAAUGCCUGUGCUGCUGCCCGUUGUGGAAAACGGUACUAUUGUUUUGCCCGUUGGAGAGCUGGCUGGCCAAAUAAUUUAUGCCGAGUGCUCCACUUCCUGACCCUCUCUCUCGCGAAUACAGAACGCUUCACUUCUUUCUUUCCAGAGAACAGAAAACUCGAGCUCCCCUCUCCCAUCUCUCCCAAGUGCUAAUCCUACGAGAGAUUUUUGAGAGGCCUGCGUGAUUGAUCCAGUGAGCUCGUGAGCAUCUCCUCCCUCUCCUCUCCCUCUCAUAGCUUGGUGCUCAUCUGAGAGAGGAUUGAGGGUAACCCUAGGUGCAUUUGAAACUGCAUUUUCUUGUGGCACUAGGUGAUUAUUGUGAUUGUGGAUUUCUUAUUACUCUUGGUGAUUGCCGUCACCUAGAUGGUUGUGGAUUUGUUGAUUGGUGAGGGGAUUUGGUGAUUGUGUCCGCCCCCAAUCAAGGUGAUAUUUGUGAGGGGUUCUUGGGCUUAUUCCCCGGCAGAGUGCCAAAAGUCACUCUAGUGAAUUGCUCGUGUCAUUGAGCUACCUCACUUGUGGGUAGGUUCUUGUGGCGCCCAUUUGUUGGGCUAGGUUUGUGAAACACCUAUUAGCCGCCGAACCACUAAGUGUUGGUCGACACAACGGGGACUAGCGUGCCGGCAAGCACGUGAACCUCGGGAGAAAAAUAUUGGUGUCAAUAUUAUGAUUGGUAUUCUCCCGGUGAAUAUAUUGAUAUACAUUGUGAUUGGUUCAUCCUCUACACAUCGGUAUAAUUAUCACUCAUCUCUUUACUUUCUUGUAAACUAGUUGUAACUAGUAGUACCUAGUUUUAGCUGGUUGUAACUAGUUGUAGAGAGUAGUGACUUAGCCGUUGUUUGUGCUUAGUGAUCAUAGUAACUAGAAUUAUUGAAUAGGUGGCUUGCAACUUUUGUAGAGCUAGAGCAAAAUUGCUUUAAGCCUUUUGUUAUACUAAUCCUUUGCUCUAGUGUCUUGUAGAAUUUUUAAAUAGGCUAUUCACCCCCCCUCUAGCCAUAUUAGGACCUUUCACCGCCCUCUUAUUCAAAAUAUAUAUUUGUGCUUGUUGGUUGUGCUAAAUAAUUGAGUGCUCUAUGUUGUUCCCUUACGGCAUAGCAAGUGUUAAAACUUGCACCUUUUUAAAAUAUAACGCCAUAACAAAAAAAACAACAUCACUCAAUAGAUCUAACCCUUAUCUAAUGCUUUCUCAUCUUAACCAAUAGAUGCCUCCCAAACCAGCUACCCACUCUCAACCAAGUGGUCGUGCAGCUAGUAGACAAAGCCAAAAUCCAAAUGGAAGUCAAGCCAAUGCAAAUGUGGAUGGUAUUCAUGAAGAUGAAGUGAGUCAGACUAGGAACCAUAAUGAAGGAGAUGACUUGCCCCCUCCUCCAGUAAUUGACUUAGCACAAGUCAUGGCAACUCAGACUCGCCUUCUAGAGACCUUGGCUCAAGGCAUGAACCGCCCUAGGAACAACCGUGGAGCCGAAGUCCAAGAUAAGAUGACUGAGUUCAUGAGGCUUAAGCCACCCACCUUUACUGGAUCUGACAACCCCAUGGAAGCAGAUGAUUGGCUUAAGGUGAUUGAAAGGAAGUUGGACACAAUCCACUGCGAUGGAAGGGAUAGAGUUCUACUAGCAUCUCAUCAGCUGACAAGAAUUGCCCUUUCUUGGUGGGAAGCCUAUAGUGGAGCUGUGGACAAUGCCAACACGAUCACAUGGGAAGAAUUUGUGGACGAAUUCCGCCGGUACCACAUUCCCGAUGGGAUCAUGAAGCUGAAGGCUGAUGAAUUUCGCAACUUGAAGCAAGGAAAUAAAACUCUGAGUGAAUACAUCUUCCAAUUCACUGAGUUGUCUUGCUAUGCCCCAGAAUUGGUCAACACUGAUGCCAAGAAGCAGACAAAGUUCAUAGAAGGAUUGACCUGUGAGCUUAGAACCCUCAUGACCCCACAGAUCUAUCUAGACUUCAACACCUUGAUGAACAGGACCAUUCUGACUGAUGUGGCCAAAACCGAAGAAAGGAAAGAAAACAAGCGCAAGUUUCUAGAGCGCAAGGUUCAAGAUGGUGCUAGAUCCCAGAGGCUAAAAACCUUUAGCCAACCAAGCCAGCGGACUCAAGCCCCAAUGCAGUUUCGCUCUCCUGCUAGUGUCUCCAAUAAACAAAUGCAGUCAUCAUAUCAUCCUAAGACAACCUAUCAGAAUCAAACUUAUGGCAAGACUCAACAGAACAGCACUGGUCAAGUCACAAACAAUGUUAGGACUUGCUUUAAUUGCCAUGAGACUGGACACUACAUCGCCAACUGUCCCUACAAGAACAACCCACCAGCAGUGUCCACUCAGUCCCACACCGUUAAUGGACCAAGACCUACAGUGUCUGGAGUCAACCGUGGUUUCCCUCGCAACAAUAGCAACACCAACAAUAAUAGCCAGAUGAUGAAGCAACCUCAACAAUCCUAUGGUACAGCUCGUGUCAACCAUAUUCAUGCUCAGGAUGCUCAGACUGCUUCAGGAGUGGUACUUGGUGAGUUCUUAGUCGAUUCAGUACUUGCAACAGUAUUAUUUGAUUCUAGAGCAUCACAUUCAUUCAUAUCAUCAAGUUUUGUUGAGAAGCAUCAAAUACCCACAGUACUACUAAAGUUACCCCUAAUAACCCGAACGCCUGGGUCUGACAUCAAAUGUCAUCUAGGUUGUUCAAAUGUAAGGAUCAUUCUAAGUGGGGUAGUUUUCUUAGCAGACUUAGUAGUGCUCAAGUCCAAAGGAAUAGAUGUUAUCCUUGGAAUGGAUUGGUUAACCAGACACAAUGGAAUUAUUAGUUGUGCAACCAAGGAAGUAUCGUUAGUGAACCAUGAAGGGAUUAAAGUGAAAUGCCAAACCAGAGGGUCUAAAGUUAAUCCAAUGGUCUUCAACUUGGAUGCAAGGACCAUAGAGGAAGUACCAAUAGUGCAAGAAUACCCUGAUGUAUUCCCUGAGGAACUACCUGGAAUGCCACCAGACAGGGAUAUAGAGUUCAUCAUUGAUCUUAUCCCCGGGACUGCCCCCAUAGCCAAGAGACCUUACAGAAUGGCUCCGGCAGAGUUAGCUGAACUGAAAGAGCAGCUAAGAGACUUGCAGCAGAAAGGUUAUAUUAGACCUAGUUCUUCACCAUGGGGAGCCCCAGUCUUGUUUGUGAAGAAGAAAGAUGGAAGUAUGAGGAUGUGUGUGGAUUAUAGGUCCCUAAAUGAAGUCACCAUCAAGAAUAAGUAUCCCCUACCAAGGAUAGCUGACCUUUUUUAUCAGCUUAAAGGAGCCAAGUAUUUCUCUAAGAUUGAUUUGAGAUCAGGUUAUCACCAACUCAAGAUCAAGAAUAGUGAUGUCCCCAAGACAGCCUUUGUAACCAGAUAUAGACAAUAUGAGUUUACAGUGAUGUCCUUUAGAUUAACCAAUGCCCCUGCCUAUUUCAUGAACCUCAUGAAUAAGGUAUUCAUGCAAGAGUUAGAUAAGUUUGUUGUAGUAUUCAUUGAUGACAUACUUAUCUACUCUAAGAGUGCUGAGGAACAUGGGCAACACUUGAGAGUAGUGUUGGAAAAGCUAAGAAGACACAAGUUGUAAAUUCAGCAAGUGUGAAUUUUGGCUUGAGAAGGUUGCAUUUCUAGGUCAUAUCUUGACAGCUGAAGGAGUUGUAGUUGACCCUGAGAAAGUAGAAGCUGUCUCCCAUUGGCAGUAACCCACCAAUGUGAGUGAGGUUAGAAGUUUUCUUGGAUUAGCUGGAUAUUAUCGAAGGUUUAUAGAAGGAUUUUCCAAGAUAGCCAUACCCAUGACAGAGCUUCUUAGGAAGGACAAGAAAUUCACUUGGACAGAAUCAUGUGAGAAGAGUUUCCAAGAGUUGAAGAAGAGACUGACAACAGCACUAGUUUUAAUUUUGCCAGACAUUCACCAAGAUUUCAUCAUAUACUGUGAUGCCUCAAGACAAGGUUUAGGAUGUGUUCUCAUGCAAGGAGGAAAAGUGGUUGCUUAUGCAUCCCGUUAGCUUAGACCUCAUGAGCAAAAUUACCCUACCCAUGAUUUGGAGUUAGCAGCUAUAGUACAUGCUCUCAAGAUUUGGAGACACUACCUUAUUGGAAACAAGUGUGAAAUCUACACUGAUCAUAAGAGUUUGAAGUACAUCUUCACACAGUCAGACUUGAACCUAAGGCAAAGAAGAUGGUUAGAAUUAAUCAAUAUAACCUUGAGAUUCAUUACCACCCAGGAAAGGCCAACGUGGUAGCAGAUGCCCUAAGAAGAAGGUCAUAUGGUCAGCAGUUGGUGCCUAAGAACACUCACCUACAAGAAGAGAUAGCACAGUUGAACAUGCAUAUAGUACGCCAACCUCAAAAUGGCUGUCUAAUGGUGCAGCCAACUCUUGUGGAAGAAAUCAAGCAGACACAACAUAAGGAUAAGGAUCCGAUGAAGAUUCGUGAGCAAACUAGAGAAAAUAAAGCUCCAUACUUCAGAGUGGAUAACAAAGGAGCAUUGUGGUAUAAAAACAGGAUUUGUGUGCCCAAGGAGGGAAAGUUUCAAGAAUUAAUCCUUGAUGAAGCCUAUAACUCAGCUUAUUCUAUCCACUCUGGUGCCACCAAGAUGUACAUGGACCUAAAAAAAGAUAUUGGUGGAAUGGCAUGAAAGCUCAUGUGGCACGAUUUGUUGCACAAUGUGAUGUAUGCCAAAGGGUUAAAGCAGAGCAUCAGAAACCAGCAGGCUUGCUCCAGCCAUUGCCUAUUCCCGUUUGGAAAUGGGAUGAGAUAGGCAUGGAUUUUGUGAAUGGAUUACCCAAAACUCUGAAAGGAAAUGAUUCAAUAUGGGUAAUAGUGGACCGCCUUACCAAGGUUGCUCACUUCAUACAUGUGUGCACCAAAUAUAGUGGAGACAAGUUAGCCCAGUUAUAUGUGGAUAACAUAGUCAAAUUUCAUGGUAUGCCAAGUAGGAUUGUAUCUGACCGAGGUACCCAAUUUACCUCUAUGUUGUCGAAAAGUUUGCAUGAAGCUAUGGGAACCAAGCUAGAUUUUAGCUCAGCUUAUCAUCCUCAAACAGAUGGUCAGACUGAAAGAAUAAAUCAGAUUAUGGAAGAUAUGCUAAGAGCAUGUGUGCUCACAUAUGGUAAAGAUUGGGAGAAAAGCCUAACUUAUGCAGAGUUCUCCUAUAAUAACAGUUACCAAGCUAGUUUGGGCAUGUCACCUUUUGAGGCCCUAUAUGAAAGAAAAUGUAGAACCCCACUGAUGUGGUCAGAAGUUAGAGAACGAACCUUGCUUAGACCAGCCCUUAUAAAAGAAGCAGAAGAUCGUGUAGCUUAAAUCAGAGAAAAAUUGAAAGAGGCACAAUCACGUCAAAAGAGCUAUUCUGAUAAAAGAAGGCGGGAGUUAAGUUUUGCAGUUGGAGAUUUUGUGUAUAUCAAAGUCUCUCCUAUUCGAGGAACUCGAAGGUUCCAAGUCAGAGGCAAGCUAGCACCUCGGUAUAUUGGACCAUAUCAAGUAUUACAGAGGAUUGGAGUUGUAGCCUAUCGUUUUCGGCUACAUGAAGAAAUGUUAGAUAUACACAAUGUGUUUCAUGUCUCCCAAUUGAAGAAAUGUCUCAGAGUACCAGAGGAACAAAUAUUGCCAGACACAGUUGAUUUACAAGACGACCUAAGAUAUCAAGAAGUGCCAAUAAAAAUCCUAGAUACAGUCACCAAGCAAACUCGAACGACAACAGUCCGAAUUUGUCGUGUUUAGUGGAGUAGACACACUGAAGCGGAAGCAACAUGGGAAAGAGAAGAUGCCCUGAGAAAAGAAUUUCCUCACCACUUUAGAACCCAGCCGAAUCUCGAGGACGAGAUUCCUUUUAAGUGGGGUAGGUUUGUAACAUCCCAAAAAUUCACAUUCAAAAAUCACUCGCAUUAAAAAUUAUUUUCAAAAUGUAUUUCAAAAACUAUAAAAUAAUUUGAGCUCUAUAGUAUCUCCAUCUAAUCCAUCCAUAUUUUUCGCGCACAAAUAACAGCGAGUACCAGAAAGUUAAAUGCAAGAGAACAUAGCAGUGCACCUACACGAAUAUAUAUCUCAUGCAUGCAUGCAGGACAUGCCACCGUCCAUUUGCAUGCACUUGCAUGCAAGGACACGGUGAUUAGGCACCGUCCAUUUGCAUGCAUCGUGCAUGCAAAUUAGGCACCGACCAUGCGCUACAGUAGCAUUUUUAAUGGCACGCAGCUGAGCGCUUUGGCCUAUAAAAAGCCAGCCUCGGGUCCUCACUCUCACCAUCCGAGAAGCAUGUUCACUCACUCGCUCACUCACUCUCACUUCGCGUAUACUGUAUACGGCCAUACGCACAAGCUGAGCUCGACUGUCGUCGCAAGACGAGGUGAGCAGCUCAUGAGCAUCUCCUUGCUCUUCUCUGUCUUUCUGUAGUAUUUUUUCCUGUAUUUUUUUCUUGUAUUUGUCUGUACCGAUUCACUGCCAAGAACUCCACGAAUAGAACCAUGACAUACAGAAGACCUCUAAUUACCCCUGCUAAUUUCUCUCUAAACAUGCAUGUGUGGGCCAUAAGCAUUAACUUCACCAAAUAGUACAUGCAUGCAUGCACUACCAGCCAAUAAAUGCCCACGUGAAACAUCCAUUCCUUAAUCAUCGUUAGUCUUUUUCGCAUGAUUAAAUUUCGAUCAUUUUACAAAUACCACAUGCUAACUCUGAUUUCAAUAAUUCUUUUUCCUAAAAUCAUCUAAAAUCAUGAUCUACCUCCCAUAUUAAUUUCAUGAUUUUUAGAGCUUAUUUGAAUUAUGUGAUUAUUUAUCUGAGCUUGUUGUCUGUGUCGGUCGUCGCGUAUUUUAGCUGACGGAGUGAACGAGCCGGAAAACGAGAACGUUGGAGACGAGUACCGCGAGUUUGACACCGAGGACCCGGACUGUCAGCAGGAGUUUGCCGAGGACGCCGACGGAGGCAAGUCCAACCGAUCCCCUUUGAUGCAUAUUGAUUCUAUUUUUAAACAUAACCCGUAGAAGCCGUUUUAAAUAUUGCAUGUACGAUAUAUGUACGAAGUAUUUUUGCUGCUUAGUUAAAACCUGUUGAAUAGCCAUCCUUGAAUUGAUAUUACCCGAUAAUUGUCUUAUUCGAACCUAGGAACAAAUAAUAUGCUAUGACAGAAAUAUUAUUAUUUAGUAUGCUUAGGACAUGUUACUCAUCCUGGAUACUCAUCGGUAUAUUUUUCCAAAUAUAAUGAUUUUAAAAGUAAAAGGUGUGAGUGGUGAAAAUAAAUUGUGGGUAUGGUGAAAGGGUUAAUGAACAAGUUAUAGAUGUGAUUACUAUGGAGAUGGGGCGGAUGAGAUCUCUUUUGGGGAUGCCCUGGUGUUGUGGCUUAUACCUUGCGGGGUUAAGCGUGAAGAUAUCCGUCUUGUCUCGAUUAAGGACUGAGUUGAUGAUUCAUCUUGCCUAACUCAUUUAUCGUACAACCACUCGCCUUGCAUGGGAAAGGCUUAGUCUAAAUCCCUCUAGUUAGUAUGGCAAUCACCUGGAGGCAGGUGUGCAACGGGAUACUAAGUGAUGUAUGUGAAAUUGUGGAAAUAUAUGAAGAGAGCUUUGUGAAUUAUUGUGGUAUCAUGAGAUGUGGCCUUAGUGUUCCCGUGGUGAGCGCCAUUACUUAGCUAUGGAGGGUAAUCACUUUGAUGGAUCUGUGCUUGCACGACGGUGUAAGUUAUGGUAUCCUACUUGUGCGAAAAGUGUACAACCUCUGCAGAGUGUAAAUCUAUCUAGAUAGCCGUGUCCGCGGUCUCGAACGGGUUAUGGUUUGGUUUCAACAACUAGAUGGGUUGGGAUGAGUGAAAACAUGAGAGUGAGUGUGAUUUUGGAAAUAAAUGGUUGACUGCCAUUGUGUUGUGGGAACAAGGGUUCAACAACACUUAAAAUUGUGAUCAAACCCCCAUUUUCAGAAAUACUAUCAUAUGUGGAAAAGAGUUCUUUUACAAUAGUAUUUGUGAAAUGAAACCUUGCAUGUGUAAAAAGAUAGCUUUAUGCAAAUAAAACUAAGCCUCAUCCUUGAUUUAUCCAUAUGCAUAUAUAUUGUUAUCCCCUUCCGCAGGGUAAGGUUAGAUUUGCUGAGUACUUUGUACUCACCCUUGCUUUAUUAAACAGAGGAAGAUCCGGACUUCGAUCCCGAAGUGGCGUUCGAGUAAGGUCGUGUCUGCACCCAACUAAGCAUGUGACAUUGGGACUCGUCAGAUGUUCGAUUGCGAUAUCGUUUGUUUCUGGGUCCUUUGGACCUAUGUUGUAUUUUCGUGUCUUAUUAUUAUAGCGUGUCUUCCUUGUCCACGCUUUACGAGACUACUGCGCUAAAACUUAUCUGAUGUAAUAAAUGUGUUACUAGCCUCCUGGGACUAGUAUUGUAUCUCAUUUGAGUUCCUGGUUUACCAGGGGCACUUCACAGGGCGGGCGCCCUCUGUAGGUGGGCAGGCGCCAACCUUUGGUGGCCAUCCUAGCUACCUUUUUUGCACUCCCUCCUUUGCUUGGCUCUUAUGUAGAAUAAUAGUUCAUGAGUGGUGGUUGGUCGGGGGAAAAGUGUUGGUGAGUGGAGUUAUGUUGGUGGAUCAAAUAAUGUGAUGGGAUGUGUAUGAGGUGUGGUGUAUGACAUGUGGGACCCAAGGACUGUGGGUCAUGCUUCUAGAAGGUUGCUAUAAUUAAAUAUAAUGCAGGAAAAAUCUAUGAGAAUUGAAACUUAUUGAAAUGAUAAUGGAAAAUAUUUUUUGUGCCUCCACAAUAAUUAAUAAAUAUGGGUUGUCACACACCAUAAAUAUUAUUUAUAUGGGGCUUUUGAUUAUUAUAAUAAUGCUAUGAAUAAAUAUGGAUAAUGCAGGAAUUAAAUAUGAGAGAAUUAAUGAUACGGAUAAAUACCGAUUUACCUCCCGGCGAGGGUUUGGGAUUUUUAGGUCCCCCAAGCUGGACCUCUAAAUCUUUUAAUCUUCUGAAUUACCUUCCUCCGGAGAUGGUGUCUCCAGUGGUUCUUCUUCAUGAACUUCCUUCACUGUAGAGUCUCUCUCUGGUCUGGGCUUGAAUGUGAAGUGUUCUUCAUUUCCAUUUAUGUUGAACUUGAUUUCUCCCUUUCCAACAUCGAUGUGGGCAUUGGCAGUGCUCAGAAACGGCCUUCCAGGAUGAUAGACACUUUUGAGUCGGGACUCAUGUCCAAUACCACGAAGUCUACUGGCACAAGGAAAUCUCUGAUCUUGACUGGAAUGUUUUCGACGAUGCCCAACGGGUGUCGAACUGAUUGAUCUGCUAGUUGUAGGCACAUUGAUGUUGGUUCUAGGGUCGUAUGCUCAAGCUUCUUGUAGACUGAUGCUGGUAUCACACUGACACUUGCUCCAAGAUCACCAAGUGCAUUAUUGAAGUGUUGGUUUCCGAUCGAGCAAUCAAUGGUGGGACAUCCUGGAUCCUUCUUCUUCCUUGGUGGUUUAUUGAGCAUGGCCGCACUACAUUCUUCUGUCAGCUUGAUAACCUCAGUGGUGGGCAGUGGUCUCUUUUUGUUAAGAAUAUCUCUGAUGUACUUUGCAUAUGUAGGUACCUGUAUGGCAUCAAGUAGAGGUAUGUUGACAUAUAAUUUCUGAAUGACCUCUACAAACUUACCAAACUGCUCAUCCGACUGCAGUCCUCUGUUUCUUCUAGGAAAUGGCAAAUAGUUGGUAUCGUAAAAUAUUUCCUCAUUUCCCCAGUACUUGGUGGUUGUAGCAGAUCUUCUGCUUCGACUGGGCUUUCUUCUUCUAUCACUGCUGGUUGCACUGGUGCUGAUGUUCUUUGUUUCUCUUUUGGGUAUGGGGGAUCCCUGGUGGCUUUGCCUCCUCUAGUAGUUAUAUUCUUUACCUGCUCAAUGUUAGUGGCUUCAGGCAAUGCAGCAGCUAGCUUUAUUAAUUUAAGCUCUACCCUUUUAUGAAGAGUGUUUUGUUCAUCAAAGGCAGUUAAUAGAAAAUCCAUUUUAUUGUGUAUAUCUUUUAGAGAUGAUUCAUUUGUAUCUAGCCUUUGUUUAACUUCAUCAUUAGUUUUGGUUUGUUGAGCAAUUAUCUCUUUUAAUGAAAGUUGCUUGAAAGUGUCACCUGAAUUCAUACCUUUGCUAUUGGGUUGACUCAAAGUAGGUUGAUAUUUGUAUGCUGUCUCAAUGGCCCUUUGAUCUUCUUUGAACUUGGCCCUCUGGUCAAUCCAAUGGAGCAAAUUUUCCAUCUUGGAUGAUAAUGCAUUUACUUCUUCUAGUAUUUCUUUAGUUUGAUGACAUUAUUGAGCUUCAUCUUGGAACCAGCUUUGGUUUUCUGCUAUCUUAUCCAAAAGUUUCUUUGCUUUUCCAAUUGUAAGCUCCAAGAAUGAUCCUUUAGCAGAUGCAUCUAGGCACUCACGAGCCUUCUGGGUUAUUCCAUGGUAGAAGGUCUGCAUAAGUAACCAUCUAGCUAUUCCAUGGUGAGGACAAUCUGAUAUGUAUCCUUGAAAACGCUCCCAUGCUUCUGAAAUGGUUUCUGUCUUCUGCUAUUGGAAACUGACAAUAUUCUUCUUAAGGCAGCUGUCUUACCCAUAGGGAAAAACUUUGAUAGAAAGGCAUCUGACAAGUUCGUUCAGUUGUUGAUGUUAUCUUGAUGGGUGUAGAACCACUUCCUUGCUUUCCCUUCUAGUGAGAAUGGAAAGAGGCGAAGCAGUAUGACGUCUUUGUCAACUCCGUUGAUGCGGAUUGUACUUCCAAUCUCUAAGAAAUUCUACAAGUGUACACUAGCAUCUUCAUGUGCCUUUCCACUGAAUUGUGUAGCUUGUACCAAAUUGAUGUGGCUUGACUUGAGCUCGAACUCGGGUGCUCCUUCUUCUACUGCAAAUCUUGGACUAGUUGGAAUAUUCUCAAGACUUGGAGCAGAGAAUUCUUGCAAGGUCUUUUGUGCCAUAGCUUCAGCAAUUGGUGGCUAGCUUCUUUUUCCUUUCUUGAUUGCUUUGGUUCUAAUGAUGAAGAGUUGAAUGUACCAAAGUCAAUCCUGAUAUACCCUGUAUAAAAAUAUAAACAUAGAAAAACAACAGGGUGAACCUGCCAAAGAAGAAGUGCCUUGUUAUGAUUUCUCACUUAGUAGCUGUUUUAUGCAAUUAUUUCUCUAUAGUCUAGUCUAAUAUUUUAUGUGAAUAACCUUGACUGACUUCCUUACUUUCCUUACCGUUCCUAUGUGUUUCCCUUUGGUUCCCCGGCAACGGCGCCAGAAAUGCUUGUUGACACUAGCUAACACCACUUGAAUACUAGGUUGUCAUCCCCAGCAUGGUGCCAGAGUGUACAAAGGUAUUUAUGAAUGUAAAGGCUCUCUAGAAAAUAAUCUAUUCUAUCCGCAAGCGCACAGAUAAAACACCUCAUUGUAGCAUUUCACCAGGAAAGUAUUCCAGGUAUCGUUAUUUAUAAUUUUGCUUAAGAGGACAGUGGAAAUGAAGAUAAGGAUAAAAUCUAUCAAGGCAUAGACUAGACAUAAACUUGCAAGAACAUGAUUACUAAUGAGGAACUGGUCACACAGUCACUUACUUUGGCAGGGGGUAAGCCAUAAUAAUAAUGAUAAUGAAAUAUAAGCUCAUGGGUAAAUAACACAGCGAUUAGAAAAUAGACUACUCCUUAUAUAUAUAAGGUGACGUCGGAUUAGCUAGAGAAUGGAUUUUAAGUUAUCUACUAUCUACUAAGUCACAAUCUACUCUAGUUAUCUACAAGAUCAUAUAUAGCAUAAAAUACUCUUCAUUCAUGUAUAAGGAACAUUGCUAAAGUAAAACAGAGCAUCGCAAGACUUACUCCGCAAUACAAAUUCUGCCUGUCCUAUCAACGGAGGGUGGACUAUAUAAGAAUCAACGAAGCUGUCACUAUCACGAACUACGACCCAGCCAAUAGGAUACAUUUGCAGGUAAAUAACAUCUAACCACCACUCCCACAUGUGAUCUACCACUUAACUCCCGCGCGUCAAGAGCUAAGCGCUUUGCAAACUUAUACAUAAACUCAUUAUCAAUCAUAACUAUAUCAAAUAUAGAACUAGAGCAAACUAAGAUCAUAAUAAAUAGAGACAUAAUGCAAUUAGAAUAAAGUAGUAGAGAAAGAUAUGAAAUAAUACCAAUCUUUAUUAACGAAGAUCCGAAUCCAGAGCGCUAGGCUCUAGUUCUCUAAUUCUAUCUAAUCAAUCCUCUAAAACUUGAAGGAUUAGGGAGUAGCUAAUUCUAAUUCUCUGUGGGAGAGAAGUUCUAAAACCAUAACUUUGAUGGCUUCCUCUGAUAAUGAUUUCUCCUCUCUCCCCCUGGGGUGGAGAGGCCUUGCUUAUAUAGUCCCCUCAAGUGAAUUUGGGCCGUCGGAUCAAACCGACAUUGAUCGCACGGUUUUCCUUGAUCCUUUAGGUCGGUGGAGCAUAAUCCGGUCUCCUGUUCAUUCCCGUGGCUUCUGGACUCUUCUAGAAUAAGGAAAAAUGUGCGGCACGUAAUUAUCUCGUUGUAAACAUGACAUGUGGGCCUUCUCUCCAUAUUUUCUGAUAACCCCCUGCAGAAAUAGAUAAACACCAAAGCUCAUGGAAUUCUGUCAGAUAAAACCCUAAUUCUAGAUGUUUGGUGCAUAUUGAUCCUUUUCCAUGUUUAGUUGAUGGUUAAAUUUAGUACUUAAGGACCAUCAACAACAGCAGCCUGAACAUCAUUUACCUUGAGACUCUCGACCUCCUAGGAGUCAAGAGGUCGCAGCUCAAGCCGAGCGCAUGGGGCUUCCAUGGAGUCGUGCCCAGGAAGAAAGCCCUCCCCGUCGGCCGCAUCGACCUCCCUGUCUACUUCGGCACAACCACGAACUUCAUGAAGGAGAUCCUCACUUUUGAGGUGGUUGGGUUUCAUGGCACCUACAAUGCUAUCAUCGGUCGACCCGGUUAUGCCCAGUUCAUGGCGGUCCCCAACUAUACCUACCUGAAGCUCAAGAUGUCGGGUCCUAAGGGCGUCAUCACUAUCGGCUCCUCCUACGAGCACGCAUACGACCGCGACGUCGAGCAUGGAGAGGCCAUCGAGGACUCCACCCAGCUGGCAUAGACACCAUGUCUAUACUAAAGAAUACUACUCUAAUUACCAUGAAUAACUAGAGCACUCAAUACGAGUGGAGAUCCUAUGCAAAGAUAUAACAACUACACUAAUCAUAAGUAUAAAAGCAUAAAGUAAAUAGAGAAGAUAAUAUAUUAAAGCAUAAGUCUUACAAAGAAUAAAUAUAAAGACAUAACCUAAGUCUGAAGAAGACUCUUCUAGAACCAAAGCAUAUCUUCGCUCUCUCUAACUCCUUGCUAUAACUAAUCUACUACAUUGGAAUAUUUAGCCCUAAUUCUCUAGAAAAGAGAGGUCAUCCAUUCAAGGGAUGCCUCUACAACUCAUAAUGAUGGUUCUCUCCAAUAGGGGGGUCAGGCUUGUAUUUAUAGCACUUUAAGAAGAACCACAAGCCUUGGAUCAAACGGACCUUGAGAGACGGCCAAGAUUACUCCUCAAAGGCGGUGGAGGCAGGAUCCGCGUGGUAGAACAUGAUUGGUGGAGAUGCUUAGGCACCUGCCCCUAUCCCUUGGGCGGCUGCCCCUGGUUAGCUUCCAGGUGGGCCCUCUUUGCAAGGUUGAUAGAUCUUUUCGUUACCUUUCCAAAAAGUCCUGGAUCACUCAAAACGGAUUCCGGAUGAGGGAGACAUGCCCAAUUUACUCAGGAGUGCUCUAGAAGCCCAUUUGCAAUCUUCUGGAAGGCGUAACUUUGUCGUGUGGACUCCGAUUUGGAUGAAUCAAAACUCUAUUUCAUAUGUCUCGAUGAGCACUUCUCAAUGGUGCACUCCAAUUCAUCACUUGAGAUACUUCUAUUAGGUGAUUCUAGUCCUUUUCCAGUUUAACCCCUAUUAAACAUAGAUUCACCAAAACUCGUGGAGCUUUUUAGUUUCAAACCCUACAUUUAUGCUCUGUGGUUCAUAUCAUGUCAUAUCAAGCAAUAACUAAUGGAUAGAAAUGAACAUUAGUGACCAUCAGUAGUCAUCUCCUAGCGAUGGCGUGGUCCUUCAAUGGAGAGACAGGACAGCGGUGGCAAAAGAUGAAGUGUUAGCGUAGCAUGAGCGUAGGACUAAGGAUGGCUUGGCACAAUCUCAUUUGGUAGCAUGACAAUGAGAUCCUUCACUGGGAUGAUGGCGAGAGGCUUUGGCUGGGCGACGACGAUGGCCAUCGAGUUGUCGAAGCGGAAAAGCUCGUUGGCAUCAAUCUCGGUGUGGCUAGCCAUUGGAAGUUAGGCAAGAAGAGAUUUGGUUGCUGCUAGAAAAGGUUUGAAGGUAUGGCCUUGAGGUAGGUAGGGGGUCAAGUUUGAUACCCUGGAUCAAUUUGCAUGAGGGGUUGGAUCUAGGCUCUAUGGAUCGUUAUGGGAAAAAUUUGAUUCGCACGGAAAACAUACGGAAUGAGGACUAGAACGCUUCAGAAGGAAUGUGGGAGGUGGUGCGAGGUAGCUUGCCAUAGGGGCAGACUGGCUAGCCUAGUAGGUGGGGCCAGCUAGCCCCACCUAUUGGCGGCUCAUGGACAGGUUUCUCGUACCCCCCUAAGACUUUAUUCUAACCCCAAUUUUCCACUAGUUUUGUUAUGAAAUGAAUUAGAGACACAUGAUAAUUAAAUUAGUGGAAAGGAAUAAAUUGAACUAUUUCUAACUUAGUAGGACUUUUAUCAGAUUCUAGAAAGAUCUUAAGGCGUUGUCCAUUUACCUUGAAUAACAUGCCUUCGUCAUUCUGAACAGUUACCGCUCCAUGUGAUGAAGAGUUAAUCAUCGUAAAUGGUCCUUCCUACUUACUUCGUAGCUUCCCAUGUUCGUAUAGCUUGACCCUAGAAUUAAAAAGUAAUACCUUAUCUCUAGGAGUGAAGUUCUUCAUCUUGAUCCUCUUGUCAUGUCAUCUUUUGUUCCUUUCCUUGUACAUCUUGGCGUUGUGAUAAGCUUUCUCACGCCAUUCAUCAAGUUCUAAGAGUUUCAUUUGUCUUUUGACUCCAGCUGCUUCAAGAUCCAUAUUCCAUCUCUUAACUGCCCAGUGAGCUUUGAAUUCUAGCUCAACAGGCAAGUGACAUGUCUUCUCAUAGAUGAGUUGUUAUGGAGACAUCCCCAAUGGUGUUUUGUAAGCCGUCUGGUAGGACCACAAUGCAUGGGGUAGUUUGUCUUUCCACUUGGUUCCCAUCUUAUUGACUAUCUUUUGUGGAAUAUUCUUGAUUUGCUUGUUUGAUGUUUCUGCUUGACCACUUGUCUGAGGGUGAUAAGGAGUAGCAAUGUUGUGAUGAAUCCCAUGUUGCAAUAGAUACUUGCGAAAGCUCUUGUUAAUGAAGUGAGCGCUAAAUCUUGGGAAUAUUAUCUCAUGAAACAUCCUUUUGGAAUUCUAGGAAUUAGACUUUCUACAUGGCAUUGCUUCGACCCAUUUGGAAACAUAGUCGACUGCCACUAGAAUGUACUCAUAAUUCUCAGAUUUUUGAAAUGGUCCCAUGUAAUCAAUUCCCCAAUAGUCAAAGAGCUCAAUUUGGAGAUUGUUAAUUAGUGUCUUGACAUCUCUCGAAUUGAUGUUACCAUGUUUCUGACAUGCUCCACAUCUCUAAAUAAGUUCUUUGGUGUCCUCAUACAUGGUUGGCCAAAAAAAUCCACUUUGCCAGAUCUUUGAAUGUGUACGGAAUGCUCCAUAGUGUUCUCCAUAGGGUGAUGAAUGGCAUCUUUCGAUGUUCUUGAUUCCUUGUUUGGAUGGCACACAUCUUCUGAGUAGCCUGUUUUAGCAAAUCCUAAAGUGGUACAGAUCAUCCCAUAGGUGAACACGGCUCUCAUACAUGAGCUUCAUCCUCUUAUUUCCUCCUAGUGGUACAUACACUGUAACUAUAAAAUUGACAUUAUCUACAUACCAGUUGUUAGACCUGGAGACUAGAUAAAGCAUAUCAUCCUUGAGUGAAUCAUUAAUGGGUGAAUCCUAUGAGUUCUCAAUCUGCACUCUUAACAAGUGAUCGGCAACAUAAUUUUCUACUCCCAUUUUAUCUUUUAUUUCUAUGUCAAAUUCUUGGAACAGCAAAAUCCAUCGUAUCAUGCAAGGUUUAGCAUCUUUCUCAGUGAGUGUUGAUGAUAGAUAAGUACUCUUUUUAACCAUCAACAUAGCAUGAGUAAUCACGUAAAUCAGAAUAUUAUCUAGCUAUAGCGGUUAUUAUUAACAGAAUUCUAUGAGUUUUGCUGAUUGUCUAAUUCUACAGGAGGUUAUCAAAAUAAGAACAAAAGAAUGUCCACAUGUUGGAUUUAUAUAGAGAGACCCAUCGGUAACUCAUGAAUACUCUAGAAGACUUGGCAACCUUGCAAAGUGGGGCCCACUUGGUAGAGACCAAGGGGCAGGAGCCCACAUGUUAGGGGUAGCCGCCUGGCCCCUGUGGCACUUCAACCUCGUGGAUCCUACCUCCACCGCCUCUGAGGAGUAAUCUUGGCUGUUUGUCAACAUCGGUUUGAUCCAAGGGCUGUGGUGCUUCCUAGGGGCAAUAAAUACAACCCUACCCCCCUAGAGAGGAGGAAUUCAUUAUUAUUCUCUGAGGAAUUUAGGAGAGAAUUCAAAGAAGCCUAGAGCCACCAGCCUCAUAGUUUUAUAGCAUAGCUACAUAGGAAUAGAUCUAGAAGGAGUCAAGCCUAGCUUGGAGUCUAGAUCUUUCUUUGUUCAUAAUAAUUUCUUAUUCUUCAUUAUAUUAUUCAUAUUAGUCUUGCUAUUAUGGAUAUGACUUUGAUCUAUUUGAUUAUAUCAAAAUUGACUUUAUUCUAUUUGCCUAUGUUAUCAAUUACUAGGUAAAUGCCCGUGCGUUGCAACGAAAACACAUACCGAGAUAACAUAUAUACGUGUGUGUUAUACUAUUGCCUAAAAUAGAUAAUGCAAUCUUGAUGUUUCAACACAUGUUUCAUAAUACAUGUUUUAAAAUAUAGUGUAUAACUAAGAAUCUAAUCUUUCAAUAGUUCGACCAGGAGAAUGUGCUUUGCAUGGUCACUAAACUUGCAGCUGGUCACCAAUCAAAGAUGAUCUAGAAGAUUUUCAAGUCCAAGAUGCAGCGUCUGGCUCCUUGCAACUGAAGCAUGUAGAUGGCUCAAGCUGUAGUUAGAAGUAUCCUGCAUAUAAGUUGUCUGUUAAUUUUAAAGUUAAAGUACUAUUGAUAUCCAAAAAAUAUAUAUAUCAACAUGUGAUGCAUUACCUCUUUCAUGGAGUCAAAACCUCUUUAUAUACGAUAUUCUUUGUGAAUAUAUCCUUUGUCGGUUUCUUCUUUCCUUUCCCUUUCCCUUUUCCCUUAUUCACAUCCUUCUCAGCAGCUGACAUAGCUAGGAUUCUAAUGUUUAAUCUUGCUGUAGCUCUUGAUAGCGCCACAUACAAUUGGCCGUGCGAGAAUACUGGUUCCGGCAAGUAUACCCCGACGUUAGGGAUAGUCUGUCUCUGUGCCUUAUUAACGGUCAUUGCAAAGCUGAGCCGAAUAGGGAAUUGCUUUUGCUUAAAUUGGAAAGGGAACAUCUCGUCGUCUGACGGGCAUAAGGGUAUGCGAGGCAGAAAAACCCGCAUUCCGGAGUGCUCUCCCAACACAAUUUCUGCAUCUAUGAUAUUUUUUUGGAACCCCCGUAUGAUAAGCCUAGUUCCAUUACAAAGUCCGUUCGCAGGGUCAAUGUUCCUAAGCAAUAUGACCGGACAACCGAUCUUCCACUUCAACACAUGUGGCGGUAGACCAUUGGGUGUCAAACUAUUGAGGAAUUCCUUAGGGUAGUAGUUGUGUGGAUCAUCGACUGCACAGUCAAAGCUAUGGUACACCAUCUCAUAUCCAUGGAAACAACCUAUCAUCUUCAUAUUAAUCAUAUCAACCCAGUCAUUUCGUGUAGAUAAGAUCGCUCGAGAGGUGAUAUAAUCUUUGCUUGACAUAUUCACAUUGAGGUUAGGGAAUAUACAGUCAAUUAGAGCAUCAAGAUCACUAUCUUCCCCAGUGUGCGGUAUGCAUAUAUCACGAGGAAGAUGGAUUUCAUCAUCAAUGCUCGCCUCCUCAGAUCCUCCACCGACACGCAACAAGUAUUCCGCAAACCAUGGGUCGCUCUUUGCCCUCAUGUAGCGCACCAAUUUUAGAUGUCGCAUGGAAUCCCAAAGGUAUGACAUCAGCGAGGCACCAACUAUUUGAGCCCUCGAUCCUCUCCGAACAACAGGAAGAACCUGUCUGAAAUCUCCACCGAACACGAUGGUCUUCCCUCCGAACGGUAACUCUGGUCGGUCCAUUACAUCACAGAGACUGUUGUCCAAUGCCUCAACAGCCUGCCUCUUUGUCAUGCUAGCCUCAUCCCAAAUAAUGAGAGAUGAUGCUCGAAGCAGCUUGGCAGUACCACUCUGUUUUGUGAAGGUGCAGAAGGCCCCAUUAUCAAUGGUGAGGGGAGUCUUGAAGCAUGAGUGAGCAGUUCUACCACCAGGCAUGAUUGAGGCUGCGACACCAGAUGUAGCUGUUGCCACAACAAUCUUUUUCUGACUACGUAUAGUAGCGAUAAGUGCUCCGUACAGAUAAGUCUUCCCGGUCCCGCCUGGACCAUCCACAAAGAAGAGACCCCCAUGUUCGGUAUCAACUGAGGACAUAAUCUCAUCAUAUAUAGCCCGCUGCUCCACAUUAAGGGUGUCUGACAGAGCCACAUCAUACUCGUUAGCCUCAAUGCUAGCCUCCUCAAAAAUCUCUCUAGGGAUAUCAUGAGAGGCGUCGUAUGUGUUGUCGAUAUCGGGAAGUGGGUACAUCUUUAUAUCCUUCUGCAUUGAUUGUAGCAAUUUUUGAAUAUCUAUGAGGACCAUCUACUCUACCAUGAAGAUGGAUUGAUUAUUGCUCUUAUAGUCCUCUGACAUUGCCUCUUUGUGUUUCUCCCACAGUCCAAACACAUCGCUAGGCUCACAAAAUACCAAUAUUGUUGCAAAAAGCCUUCAUAGUGCAUAUGGCAUCAUCCACCCGGUUGCCUCAGUAAGACUCUCAUUUAGAGUGUUGUCCUCUUCAGUUAGGCCUCUUCUUUCUACAGCUUCACGGAAGGUCGGUAGAAUUUUGCCAUCCACGGUCCUUAGGCACUCAAAGAAGGUUGCACCCGCCACGUGGUUCAGGAGAACUCUAAGAUAGUAACGCUCCCCCUCGGCUGGAUUGGCAGACACGAUUCUUCCAAUCUGUCGUAAUGUAUCACGACGUACCCUAUUUUGCCAAACUUUGCCCUAUGCUUGCCACGUAUAGAACUCGGGGAAGUCCCGAUACAAUACACCUCGAGCUAUUUCAUCUGUCCUAUUCUUCUCGAAGUAUGCUGUAAGCAUUGACUUGUUAGCACCUGGACGAUCAAGCACUCGUUGAAUCCCUUGGCGCUGGUGAAAUGACACCAUGUGCAUGUCUAGAAGAUGUAGCUGUAGGGACAAAAUAUAAGGGUAUCUAUCACUCAAAUCGAACCCAUAUAUCCUCCAUAAGGCUUCUGGGGGGUUACCCAUCUAGCAUCCCUAUACUGCUUGAUCUCAUCAACGUUAGCUUCACUAUCCUCCUUGUCGGCCUCUCUCAUAGCCACAGACGCCCGGUCAUGACCCUUGUAAAUGUACUUAAAUAGAUACUUGACUGCCUUGAUGCUCCCACAUGCCUCAACAUUGAUGUGGCAAUUGAACAGACGGAGGAGAUAUGGGUUGUAAGGCACGACCCAUCUGUUAUCAAGCUCGUGUCCGCGAACUUUUUCUUUUUAGCCAUCUUCACGCCGUUUAUAAACUGGAUAUGAAUCCUUGCCUUGUAUUGUGACGUCGCAAAAAGGUCUAGGGUAACGGUUCUUGUAGGAAUCACGACCCUUUGUGCAUGGACAAUUAUGAUUAAGCACUCCGCAAGGGCCAUGCAUCAUAUGUUUGGUAACCAUCUUGUAUAAGACUGGGUACUUCUUCUUGUUUGGGAGCUCGGCUAAGAUGAGGCGAUCAUACUGCUCUGGGCACGUGAUCUUGUACUUCCUAUCCAUGAUUAGUAAAAAAUGUGCAUGUGGCAGACCCCUUUUUUGGAAUUCCACAACAUAAACGUGUGCUCGCACCUUUCCGAGGAUAUCCUUUUUUAGUAGCCUAUCCUUUAGCUCUUGUAGUUUUGCUCUAAAGACUCGAACAACAAGAUCUGGACGAUCUUGUGGUGUCUGGCCAGGGUAGAGUUCAUGCUUGAUCUCAUCCCAGUUUGGGUUACAUGUCAUAGUGAGGAAGAUGUCUGGUUUACCAAACCUCCAUACCAGAGCCAUGGCAUCCAUGUACCGACGCCUCAUGUCACGUGGGCCUCCAAUAAAGGAUGAAGGCAUUACUGUCCGCUUUCCAACAGCUUCUGCUCUACCUUCACCAGCAUGUAGGCUAUCAACCAAUACUUGGUAUAGGUCUGCCCUAAUAUCAUCUUGAUGGUUGCGUAUAUAAUCUAAUCGAGAACUCUCGAUCUUGAUAUAUGUGUCAACUGCAAACUGCUGGAACAGACGCUUGCCGUAUAGUAUGGGAUUAAAUUUUCCUGGGCGCAUCUGUAACUUGUAGCAGUAGUAGUCACGCACAGACACACAUAGUCUACCAGGGGAGUCUACAAAAAAUAGCCAUGAAUUAGAGUUGUUUGUAGAAUAACCACUAAGGUACAUGUAUGCGAAGUAUGUAAAUAAGAAGAAUAACAUACCUAUUUCUUCUUCUGACCCACUACGAGCCUUUUGUAGGGCACGAUACUCGAUGACUUCUUCCAUACUAAUUCUUUUCUUUGGAAUAUCCAUGUGCCACCCAAGCUCACCCUUAGGAAAGAAUAGAGGGUAUGAAAGAGCAUCAUACCAUCCAUGAUAUGAGCGGAUGCCAUGUCUACUUCUAUCUUUCCCAUGUAGGACAACACUAUUCUAGAACUGACCAAGGAGUUCGCUUCCCUCGAUCCAAACAGCAGCCACCUCGGAAGUUGAUUGUACAUUGUAUGUUCUUUGGUCCAGCCUCUGGUCAAGGUUUAGCAUGACAUGAUAGUUCUCGAGGUGGUCAGCUUGGCCUACACUUCUAAGAUGUUGUGAGUAUGGGUUGUCACGAAGGAUGGCCACCAGCCUCUCAAUGACUUCCUUAUCCUUUUGGUACUUCUCUUCAUGACAUCGUCGAUAACGAUGCUCAAGGCUUGGAUCAUCAUCGUGCAAGUAAAGCUCAAGAUGUCUUGCCUCCUUACCAUCUUCUAUGCCAAAUGACCUUAUGUUGUGAUAGAUUUGGCCGUGUGCACGGAAGGUGUAUAUGCCACUAUUUUUCAUGCUUGCAGUAGCGCUAUCAAGGCGACAAUAUAGAGAUGUGAAAGAGAAAUGGCCAUUGAAAAACCUAAUGCUAUUACGAAAGUGCCUAGCAUCUGCAUCGUCACAUGACCAAAGCCUCAUAAGCUCAUCAGGUACAUUCGGCUCAUUGAGCUCGACCUACCCGUUGUGACAACAGAACCCAGGUGAUUCAUGCUCAAACCUUUUCGCAUUGCAGUGGUCACAAUUUGCGACAGGUUUUAGCAUAUGGGUAUCAGUAGGCAUGUUACUAUACACCUCAUCAUAUUGGUCAGGUACUUCAGGGAUAGAAGUCAUGUCUUCCUCAAGGUCAUUGUCUUGGACAUCGUCAUCAUCUUCCUCAUCUUAAAUAACAUGUAAGACACAAUAGUUUAGAUAAAAGCAGUGGAAUAUUUGAUUUCAAUUUGGUCUUUCGCACACAUACCAUGCCCAGCAAACAGGUAUCCCUCAUCCUCUUCAAAUAUAUCUCCCUCAUCAUCAUCUAUGGCUAUCAAAGAUACAUGAGUUAGUAGAACUAUGGGUAAAAAUAAACAAAGGAGUUCAAAUAGUUUAUAGAAUGUUAGAAAACAAUGUAAAUUACCACUAUCAUCGAAUAGUGGUGUCAUCGGUAUGUCUGGCCUAGGCUUAAGGAUACGUCCUAUCCCUUCUGAUAAGGGCAUGUUGGUCAUAGCUGAUUGAGGCAAGGGCGUGUUAACAUCCACUUGGCCUUUAGUAAUGCAUUCACAAUCAUAAAACAAUGGUGUCAUUAGUGUGAUUGAUGUAGCUUGAACUUUGGAUCCUACAUUUUCUGUUAAUCAUGAAAUGACCAAGGAUCAUUAGGUUAAUAUGUUAUACAUGUCAUCUAAAUGGGAUAACAAGGCAUCCACCAUUGUUGCUCACAGCUGAAUGAGGCAAGGAUGUGUUAACAUCCACUUGGUCUUCAGCUAUGCAGUCACCAUCUUUAUUAGAUGUCCUUGUGUUCGAACCAAUACGACGCUCAAACCUCGUGUUAUGAUAGGUCAAUAAUGCAUGUCUUUGACCAGAUGAAAUAUGUGAUCUAUGUGGCAUAUGGCCAGGUACUAACUCAUCACAUCCUUCAUCCUCGACCACAUGAGGUGGAGAAAUAUAAAGAGAUGUUGCACUGGACUCUGGGAUAACCCAAUCACUGGAUUUUGUCAUGGAUCCAUGAGCUCCAGAUGCGCCCGCAGUGGGCCAAACAAGCUCAGGAGUAAAUAACGGGUUCUCCAUGGUGAUAGACUCCGGGUGCAGGGUGUGCUUUCGCAGUUCUUUGAAUUUGUUCUUAGACAGUUUUAAUGUCUCCUUACGCUUGGGUUCACUAUUGUAUAGCCUUUGCGCUCGCGCCUUGCUUCCCUUUGUUUAGGCGUCAUGUUUUUGUACCAUUCACUUGUAGUUACUUUUUGAUGUACUUUUUGUACCAAUAGUACUAUCCUUCUCUAUAGUCUUCAUUUCUAGCUCAUCUAUCAACAAAAUCAUAUAAAUACAUUUAUUAGCUAUAUUGUUUCAUAUCAUUGCACAACAUCAUUUUCAUAGACCUAAAAUACUUCAGCAUCUUAAAUUACAUGAUAAUCGAGUGGACAUGUUCUCAUCAACAAUAUUGUUGGUAUAAUAAGAAUCAUUCUUAUGGAGCCAGUCAUCUGUUUCGCCAGGAUCAACGAUGCGGCAUCAUCAUCUACAAAAUUGUACACAUUAUAUAUAUAUAUAUAUAUAUAUAGGGUAAUUCCUUUCUACACCAACGUGUAACUACUCCGACCUCCGCACCCAGUCUAUUCCACAGCCUACGUAUCAACUCCUGUAUAACUAAACCAUAUCUAUUUGAUUAACGGGUCAAAGUGGUGAACCCGUUAACUAAUGUAUAUAUUAGAAAAUUCUGUUCUCAUUCACCGUAUCCGCCGGCCACACGAGUGGUCUCGCGGACGUCUGCUCGUCGAUCUACCGGCGGCCGCGCUGAUGCCUCUCCCUGACUGGCGGCCGCGUAGAUGCCUCCUCCUACUUGUGUCUGUGCAGGCGCAUCCUCUCCAACUGACGAUGGUUCCGUGUUUUGGAGUUGGCAUCGCAUAGGGGCACGGUGUGCCCUCACCUACAUCGGCAGGCGGCGGCCCUUGGUCGGAGUUCUCCAGCUCUGUGUGCGGGUGCAGGUCGAAGCUCCGCGGUGAGUGCUCAUGUUGUGUAUUUUCAUUGAUCUAGCUAGUUUAUAGUAUUUUUAGAUCUAAUUGAAUUAGUCGUCUUCUUUUACCAGAUGCAGAUCUAGAUGCAGCUUCUUUCACUAGUCAUGGGAGGCGACUGAUGGGCUGUUGGCCAGUACAGGUACACGUACAUAUAUGUUUUUUUUUGUAUUUUUUUGCUUCAUUCAGGUUGAUCAGAAUGUGGAAUGAAAAAUUGAUUAGUUUACUUCUGCACCCAUUCAUUUUUGUAUUCUUUACGAACAGGUAGUAAAUCGCAUCUCGGUGAGCCACGUCUGCAUCGCUGAUGUUGUUCGACAUUCUGCGUCUAUGCGACAACCACGAAGCAUUCAGAAUUGAGUGGAUCGGUGACCAAACUGAGAGAUAAAUGUUAGUACAUACUUCUAUAAUAAUGUAUGAACUGAUACUCCAGAAAAAGGUAUCUACAUAUACUCGUUUAUCAAAAAGUAUGUACCUAUACUUAGGAAAGGUAUCUGUAUAUACUUGUUUUUCAAAAAGUAUGUAGCUGUACUUAGCGUACUUCCGUGAUAUUACAUUAUGAGAGAUAAAUACUAAUAAUAUAAUCAUGUGUCAGAUAAGUAUAUAAACAUACUCCCCAAUCUGUAUACUUUCCUACGAACGAGUAUAUUCUCAUACAUAUAUAUAUAUAUAUAUAUACUCUGUUCUCCAAACGAGCAUCGGUUGAUCCCCGUUAAAUAUGUAUGGGUUCAUUCUCUCCUUGGAUAUACUCAUUAAUUAAAAAACAACUAUCUAAUCAUACCCUUUCUUAAAUAAUGCGUACGUACACAUAUAUACUCUAACAAGUAUGCAUUCGUACUGGCUGUUUUCACAUGGAUGCAUAUAUGACAGUAAAAAAAACUGUAGGAAAAAGAACAAGUAUACAAAAUCGGCGCCGGCGGCCAGUCACAAAUCAUGCAGUGUAUAGCGACAUCAACUCAACACAUGCAGACGUACGUGCUAUAUGCAUGUAUAUGGGCAUACUCACAACGCACGUAUGUUAUUAACGCCUCAAUUUUUUGAAUUCCUAUAAAUACGCCCGCAUAGUAGGUGUUAUAAUUGGAUUGUAUUCAAACCCGUUAGCUCCACUAACACGGGCCCGUUAGCUAGGUCCGCGCGGGGCUGCCUCCUUCGCGCGUGUAGACUCUAGGUGCGUGUAGAUACUCGUACGUGUAAAAAUCACUCACCCUAUAUAUAUAUAUAUAUAUAUAUAUAUAUAUAUAUACAAGAAAAGUAAAUGUCAAUUUAUCAUGUGAUGACAAUAUUUAGGAUUUCACGUAUUACAGUUUGUAGUUCGAAGAACAUGUUGGUUUUUUCUCUGAUGGUAUUUUUCACGACGUCUCUUGUUAAUUGCAUCCUUUUGUUCAAGCCAUCGAGCUCUAUCCCUUUCUCUCUUACGUUCUUUAGCAUUGACUGCACAUAAUUUAAUAGUAAUAUAAGUUACCAUAUAUAAGUACAUGCCAUAUACUAUUUGACACGAUAUUAUUUUACCUUCUUUGGCAGUGUUAGUUUUGUCUCCCAAUGGUGCACGAGAAUUUUUAUCCAUUAUAUGAAUCUAUAAUAAAAACAUUGAAAUAAUUAAUAUUUUUUUGCAAUUAGCACUUAAGAGCUAGCAGUUAGUAGAAAUGUUGUAUGAAAAAUAGAAACCAACAGCCACUAAUUCCAGCGGAAAACAUACCGAGAAUCCAGACUAUGUAUACAUACCAGAAAGUUAUCAUAAUUUUAAGUUGGACUGUGUAUACAUAACAGAAAGUUACCCGAGGAUCUGGAGAAUAGUGAUAUGUGCUUAAUGGACCAACUAUGUCAACAGUUAAGGAUGGAAUUCUCCUUACAUAAAAUCUUUGCAAAUUUCUGCAUAAAAAACCAAAAGUUACUGAACUUCACUAUGUGUAUGAUCAGUAAGCCACACAAUGUAAGGGAACAAAAGGAAUCACAACUAAGCAUCAUAUUAUGAGUCCAAGAGCAUGUCAAUAUAUGACUAACAAGAAAGGCAAAUAAGGAGGGUUCUAGCAUGUCAAUAUCAGACUCAUAAACAAUAUUUUUGUCUACGCGGAGAAUUAAUCCAGACUGUCAAGAAAAUUAUACUAUAGAAAAAAUAGAGAUAGGAAUAGCAUCUGUUUUUAGUUUUGCUUGAGAACAAGUAGCAUCUGCAUUUUUGCAAUUGUUGGACUGAUACAGUUUUACCAUGCAAAGAGGUGCUGCAUAAUGUAAAAGCAAAAUCCAUAUCCUUCACCUUAGGAUUCCAUCUACUUUUAGUGCUUGAUAUUGUCGAACAACUACAGUUUUAUAGAAAAAAACACGGCCGAUUCUGAACACAAAGCGAAUAAAUGGCCAAUCGCGAUGCCAUUGCAGUGAUACAUUUUCAAUGGAUUGUGGCAUUAGUCGAAAGAAAAUAAUUAUGACAAGUACUUCUAAAUAUUCAAUACACAUGGUGUUUGUUAUCUGCAAGUAAAUCAACUCUGCCGUGAAGGAUAAACAGAGGGAUCUCAACUGCAUUUGCAUACAAUGAAUCAAGAUAAAACAGAUAAAAAAGCAUCGCCCCCAGAUGUUGUGGUAAAACAGCACAAAUAAAUCAUAAGAUAAACUAAGAUUUUGUAUACCUUCUUGUGUACAACAGCUGAUGUAUGUUUUUUUUUUUUGAAAAGAUGCUUGAUUUUCAGAGCCAGUUGUUAAACUGUAAACAAAAUAUGGACAUUUCAGUUUUACAUCUUAUUAUUCCAGUUAAUGAAAGAGGCAAAACAAACAUAGAAAAUCAAAGAGGUGCAAAAUGACCAAAUAUUUCUUUUUAUAAGAAUGGUCAAGUAUUAAAAUCACUAAUUAGUAAAAAUUUUCACCAUAUGGCUCAUUGUGCUGUAGCAGGGGGCAACCAAGCAAGAGGAGAACCGCACAAGGGCUAGGCUGCAGCCUGCAGGGGCACUGCUUGUUCGCUUGGUGGUUGUGUGCCUGGCGGUUGACGCCCUGGCCAAUUGGGUUGCUGUGGGCUUGGCGCCUAACACCCAAGGCAACUCAGUGAUGGCAUGGAUGCGAGGGCAAGCGCGGAGAAGGGCAGCGCGCAGGGAGCGAGGCCGGCGGGCGAUGGCGACAUAAAGAAGAGAUCUCCGGGAAGGAAGGUCCUGGUUCUGGAGCGCACGUAAUGGGGUCAGAGUACUAUGGUCUAUAUUGGAAUAUCUUUUGGUCUGUCAGAUGACAAAGGAAACAUAGAAAAACCAUUUGUGUUUUCCCUGGUGUUGAAGGCGAUCGGAUAAGAUCAUAUGCAGAGAGACGUGUAUACCAAACAAAAUUACAAGGAGUCAGCUGUCUCCUUUUUGCUUCCAUCCUGGAAGUUCACAUCUCUAAAAAAAGGCUAACUGCUCAGGCAAUCCUUGAAUUAGCAGGAUACUACUAUAUAGGCUUAACAUACAUGCUAAUAAUGUCUGCUUAUUGUGAAUUAGCAGUAGGCUUAACAUACAUACUACUAAUAGUUGUUAGUUAGGAAUUAGCAGUAGGCUUUUCCUGAAUUAGCAGGAGACUUAAGAAUAUAGGCUACUCAGGAUAGAGCCUACUGCUACUUGCAGGAAACAUAAGCUCAUCAAGUCUGAGAUAUACGUACCCUUAACUGGCAAAUCGGUAUGGGUUUCUUCUGUGGAGGGAUAACUCUAUGUGCUGUUUUUAUUGGUUCAGUGACAAGGCACCCCCACAAUCCUUUGUCCAGAUUAUUCUUGUUUACUACCAUGCAAGACAAAUGUACUGCAUAGAUUGCUACAUACUAUUGAACUAAGAUUAUGUAAUUACUACCUUGCAAAGCUUAUGCAGAAGUUUUCCUUCACCAAAUCCCAGCUCCUUCUCCACCACUGUGAUCACCUCUCUGACCUGCGAUAUUUGUUUGACAUCACAUAACUGAUAGUAUUCAUAUUUGUGAGGAUGGCGACAUUUACAAGCAGUUAGCAAAACACAAAAAUGUAACAGUUAAAGAAUAAUGCUUUACAGUCUGCAUUUGUUCAGAAGUCAGGGCACUAAAAUUUUAAUUUUAACAUAAGGAAUUGAGUUGGGCAGAGUUGUACCUUACUUUUCCACACACAAGAGUUCUCAUCAGCAGGCAAGCAACGCUUAGCUCACAAGAGUCAUCGCACUUAUCAAUCCACUGGAGAAACGUAGAAAAUAAGAAGAGGAAAAAGAAGAGCCUACCAGCAGUGGACGGUCGAUCCAAGGGAAGCCAGAUGGCCUAAGUCGGGGGCGAGUUGCUGCUGCGGGGUUAGGCAGUGGCCGCACGGCGUGGACGCGGUGGCUGGAGGGCGCAGAUGCUCCUCAGCCAGCAAAGGGCACAGCGACGGUGGGGGCGUCGGAGGCCACAGGCGAGGUUAGAAACGGCAGAGGGUGGAGCAGCGCCUGGAGGCAAAGCGUGAUGUCGAGAUCUCCGAAGACCUUGACCGGCACUCUCGGCCUCGAGCUCCGGAACUGCGAUGGAAUCAGCAACUUCGCAGAGGCUGUUCCUCGCUGGAGUUAUACAGUCGAGCGAAGCGGGGUCACGGCUCCUCUUGCUGGUCGGCCGGCGGGAGAAGACGUGGUGAGUGCGUCGGCGGAGUAGUGCUGCAGCGUCGGUGUCGAGCGGCGGCGGCGGCGGCGGCCCAAACCCCGGCAGCGGCGGCGAGCGGUCGGCGGCACUAGCGUCGGGGAGCUGACGGAAGCUGCAGCCUCGCUGUCAUGUGGUCGGGGCACCAGGAUAAAUGGGUGUGGCACCGCCGUUGCCGAUUGGGAGCUGAGUGGCACCGCCGUUGCCGAUUGGUUUGAAGCCGCCGCAGCCGAUUGGGAAGGAAGGACGGGCAGACCAACGCCGAUUGGGGAUGUCGCUAUGCCUUGGAUCGAUGACGUGGUGGGAGUGAGGAGGUUUCGUAAAGCAACACGCCUACAGGGAGUGCUGGGCGGUCACGCGAGCCAGCGAGCGUGCGAAGCCGGUUCAACGAUUCUGUUUUCAAUUUUUUAGUUGUAGAGAUAUUGUUAUUUGUCUACUUUGAUUAUAUGCUUAGUGUUGAUGGUAAAUAACUCCUAAUUUUAACUGUCAACUAGACAUGAAAAUGGAUCUAUAUGCAAACACCUAAUAGAUAUAGGGUUAUCACUAACAGAAUUCUAUAAGUUUUGGAGAUUGUUUGUUUCUCUAGGGUGUCAGCUGAAAAUAACCAUAGAUGGUCCACAUGCCAGGUUUACAUAGAGAGAAUACUACGAACUUGAACUCAGGAGUAAUCUAGAAGGUUCGAGGAGGCUCCAUACCAAACAGGAAGCAAAAUGGGUCCGGGUGCUGGGCGGGCACCCAUAGGGUAGGGGCGCCUGCCCCACUACCUCCACCAAUUAGAGUGAACCUCGCACAUCCUACCUCCACUGACUUUGAGGAGUAAUCUUGAGCAUAUGUUUAAGUCAGUUUGAUUCGAGGGUUGUGGUGCCUCCUAGGGGGCUAUAAAUACAACCCUGACCCCCUGGGGAGUAGCUAAUUAUGGAACCCUAAUUCAUAUUUUCCAGAGACAAUUAGCCAGAGAGGGGUCCCUCGAAUGGAUCUAUCUCUUUAGGGUUUUAGCAGCAAGAGAGGUUGAGAGAGUAUAGGGUGGAGAUAGAAGUGGAUGAAGCCUAACUUGUUGGUGUCUUCUUCCUUGUAUCUAUAGGAUCAAGUCUCCUAACCCAAGGCUUGGUUCUAGAAUUAUUCGGCAAUUUGACUUCUAAGACUAGUAAGUUUUGUUCUUACUAUUCUUUGGUUUACGGGUUUACUUUAUUCACUUGCACUUGGGAAUAGAGUAAUUGUUCAUAGCAUAAGCAUGGUGCUUAGGCUAUGAACACUCAUAGAUACUCCCUAUGUGGGCGGAUUUGUGGUAGCAUUGGGGGGAGUGACAAUCUCCUCGUGUCUCUAUAAUCCACGUCUUGUCAAGAGGUAAGGUAGGAUUUAUGGUGUCGAGGUUAAGUACUCUCUAAGGUGUCUCUUUUCUCUAGGUACUCCCCUUAGAACAAUAUCUACAUAGCUUACCAUAGGCUAGAACAAGACUUAUGAAGGAGUUCUCUCUAUAUCACUCAUAUCUCACUAUCUUGUCUUGCAAGCCCAGGGGUUAAGUAUAGAUUUGGGUUAGCCAGAUGCACACUUUCUCCCAUUGGUAAAAAUAUAAAUAACGAUGCUCUAGAAUAUUUCUCAGGUGAAGUGCUCACCGAUAUCCGUGCGCUUGUGGAUUAAUUCUCUGUGUGUGUAUCCAAUAUCAACACAUACUGUAGUGAGAUUAGAAUUAUAUUUAUGCAAAGGAUCGUAUAGUGCAUGCUCAUUAGGCCAAUGGGUGAGUGGUAGAUAUUGUGUAGGCGAGGUGCUUAGACCAUAUUUAUCUACGAUUACCCCUUAUAGUCUAGAUCAUGAGGUAGAUCACGGGAGUGAUAGUCCUGUUGAGUCCUCUCUAGUCCUCCUCCCGAGUAUAAGGACCGACCACUAUUACAGGGAAGUGAUUGCUAUAUUCAAGAUCUUUAUUGGUAAUAUCACUAUGCGUAAGUAUAACCUUUUCUUACGAUGAUGCUAGGUGUAAUUGUAGUAAUCAUUGUAUACUUUGAUAGUAUAGUUAGAAUACUUAGGAUUUAUUCUUGUAGAUCAUUCUAAUCCAUACUAGUGUUAUAGACUUAUACUACUAUAUUGAGAUGAUUGUCAUAUUUAUAUGUGGCUAUGUGCUCUCAUUUAUCUUUGUCACUUAUUAUUCAUAUUUAUAUUAUUUAUCUUAUGUGACACUUACCCUGCAUGAGAGUUAGAUAAAGACAUGGUUAAGAUCUUCAUGACUACAUGCAGUGCUCAUUGCUCAUUAUCCAAUGCAGUCCCUUCCCAGUGGUAAAAAUAUAAAUAACGAUACCUGGAUUACUCAUGGUUAAAAUGCUAUAUUGGUAUUAUCUAUGCGCUUACAGAUCCUUUAUUUAUUAUCUAGAAAAGCAUAUAAAUUUAAUACCCGCACUUCUAUAUCGUGCUAGGGAUGACAACCGAGCUUAAAUGAUGUAAAGUAAUUUUUGACGCCGUUGCUAGGGAUAGGUUUAAAAGUCUAUUUAUAGAAAUUACAUCAAGAGGUGUCAACAAGCAUUUUUGGUGUCGUUGCUAGGGAAGGUUGAAAGCAUUGAAUGAUAAUGAGCAUCAAUCCAUCUACUCAUGGAUUGAGCACCAUCCACCCUUCACACUCAUGCAGACUCACCCUUGUCGUUUGUCUAUUUUAUAUAUCAUAUGCAGGGUAAUUUAUGAGCAGGUUUGAUCUCCUAGAUCAUUUUGUUGGUAAUCUAAAAACAUUGAUUAGGAAGACAAAGGCCAAGUUGAGAAGGAAUCAAUCAACAUCAUCAUCAUCUCAACUUAUCAAUCCUCCUAAGUCAGAAGGCCAACCUAUAUUUCAAAGUUUGACACCAGAGCUUGACAUCAUAGCCAACAAGUCACUUCAUGAGUUCUCAAGUCCCGGUAUGGCCAACAUCCGUACUGGACCAGCUGUAGACAUCAAUGGGUCAUUUGAGCUCCAGCCUGUGCUGAUCAACAUGGUGCAAGCAGGCCAGUUCUAUGGAAAGGCCUAUGAAGAUGCUAGUGCUCAUCUCCUACACUUUCUAGAGAUCUGCAACACAUUCACUAUCAAGGACGUCCCUACAGAUGCAAUACUACUUUGCCUUUUCCCAUUCUCUCUCUUGGGGAAAGUGAAGCAGUGGUUCUACGCCAAUAAGGAGAAGAAUACUACAUGGGCACUAUGUUCCACCAAUUUUCUGGUGAAGUUCUUUCCCACAGGUAAGACCAAUGCUCUUCAUGGGAAGAUAUCAUGUUUUCAACAACAACAUUAUGAGAUAGUCCCAGAAGCUUGAGAGCAUUUUCAAGACUACAUACUCGAAUGUCCUCAUGAUGGGAUGGAGAAUUAGUUGCUUAUGCAAGCAUUCUAUCAUGGGCUUAGCAACAACACUCGUGAAACCUUGGAUGUUGCUGCUAGAGGAGCAUUUUUAUCACUUACCAUUACUCAAGCCACUACUCUUGUGGAAAAGAUGGCCUCCAAUCAAGGUUGGAGUGAAGAGAGAACACCAACCCACAAGAGAGGUGGAGGAAUGCACCAGCUCAAGGAGGUAGACAUGCUAGCUAUCAAGAUAGACCUAUUAAUGAAAAGGCUUGAUAAAUAACCAUUGAGAAGAAGGAAGUCAUGCAUGUUCAUGAUUUUGGCAUGACUUGUUAAGAGUAUGGAGAAACUAGACAUACAGGUACCAACUGCCCAGAGCUGACAGAGGACAUGAACUAUAUCAACAACAACAACAAUAAUUACUACCAUCCUUAGCAGAACCAAGGUUGGAACUAGCAACAACAACCUAGCUACUUAGGUAAUUUCCAAGGUAUUAAUUCUUAUAAUAAUGCCAAUCAACCACCUUUAAAAGAGUUAGUGCUUAAUCAGGACAAGUUAAUUGAUAGCCUAUCUAAGAAGCUAGUAUCUAAUGAUAAAACUUUAAAAUUAGUUAACAUUAGAAUGGAAAGUUUUUUCCAAUGCUAUCAAGAAUCAGCUUAGCUUUAAUAAUAUACUAAAAUCUCAGUUACAACAACUUGCUUACUUUGCUUCUGCCAACGACCAAGGUAAGAUUCCCAGACAACCGGGAGAAUUAGAAACUGCAAAUCUUGUAGACAUCUUUAAUGCUGGAAACUACUGGAGUGACCCUCCGAGAGGAACAUGGAUUGACUCAACUCUACCAAUCAAGAAAGGCAAUCCAGGGAGGCUGGUCAUUCCGAUCUUUAUUGGAAGUACAUCAACAAGGUGAUCUAUGACUUUGGUGCAAGCGUCAACAUCAUGCCUAAGGUGAUAUAUGAAAAGCUAUUCAAUAUUCCUUUGUCAUACCCAACCAUGUGUUUGCAGCUUGCAAAUCAGUCACUCUACUACCCCAUGGGAAUCCUAGAAGAGAUCUGCAUGCGAGUAGGCAACUCAUACGUACCUAUAGACUUCAUGGUAGUGAACAUAGGCACUAAUGAGAGGUUGCCUAUUAUUCUGGGAUGACCAUUCUGGAACAUUGCCGGAGCCAUUAUCUAUGACAGCACUGCCAAGAUUAUUUUCAAUAUCAAGGGCAAGAGAGAAGUGUUUUCUUUCAAGAAUAGGCAUUGCCAUUCCCUGUACAAAAAGAAACUAUCGAUGAUAGGAACAAGCGCAAAACAUAGAGCAAGGCCAAGACCAAGAAUAAGGGCAAAAAGAAGGCCCAGAAGACGGAGACGGCAAGGAUGGUCACUACAGUCCAUAGGGAGUACGACCACCUGCUCAUGUCCUCGCAUUGGAUCAAGAAAGACGACCCAGGUGUCCCUACUAUUCUAUGCUCCAUGAACAGAUGUUACUUCUACAACACUGUAUGUGACACCAGAUCGGGCGUCAACAUUAUGGCCAAGGUAAUGUAUGAAUUUCUAUAUAGUACUAUGCCUAUGGACCCCACCUAUAUAGAGCUGCAGUUGGUGGACUAGUCCUUUUGCUUCGUGGAAAGGAUGGCCAAAGAUGUCCCUAUCCAGAUCAAUGACCACUACGUCCCCACUGACUUCCUAGUCAUCGACAUGGGAGAAGAUGAGUGUGAUGCACCCAUCAUAUUAGGAAGACUAUUCCUCAACACUACCAAGGCCAUCAUUUAUAUUGGAACAAGGAGAUCCAUUUCAAGUUCCCUUCAGAAAAGGUACGCCACCAUUUCAAUAGUAAUUAUAUAAUUGAGGAGGAGCCCAAGAAAAAUAGGUCAAGGAGAAGGCAACGUACCCAUCACCAGAAAAUGAAGAAUGUUGUAGACGGAUAGGCUGACUAUAAAAAAGAGGUUUCAAUAUUUGAAGAUCGAUACCCUGACAAGGAGAACGCCAUCAAAAAGGAGGUACUAGUAGAAGAAGAGAUAGUGACUCCAGACACUCUCUCCUCCAAGUCACCAUCACCUACUGAAAGGUCCAAAUGGCUAGAGGGGGGUGAAUAGCCUAUUUAAAAAUCUACAAACUUUACUAAACAAGCGAGUUAGUAAAAUAAGCGGCGAAGCUAUUCUAGCACUAACACAACUAAGCUAAUCAAGCCACCUAUACAAGUCUAGCAAGAAGGCUAAACAUAAAACACAACAACUCGAGAAGGCUACACAACAACUCUAUACUAGAAAGAACUAAGCUACACAAGCUAAACUAACAAGGUAGGCAAGUACGUAAAGAGAGGAGAGUGAUUGUUAUAUCGACGUUGUAGAGAUGAGAUAUAUCCAAUCAAUCACGUACACAAUCACAAGAGAGAGACCUCGACAAGAGAUGACACAAGAUUUUUUACCGAGGUUCACUUGCUUCCUGGCAAGCUACUCCUCGUUGUGGCGAUACACCCACUUGAUGGAUCACGAGCUAAUUGGCAAUCCAAAGCCAAACCCUCGGCGGGUGCCACACAUCCACUCACAAGAUGGGGAUCCUCCAAGCCACGAGCAAUCCACUAGAGUAGCCAAUUGCGAUCUCCCGCGGGGAAGGCUCAAGAACCCCUCACAAAUCACUUGGUGAGGCUCAAAACAAUCUCCAAUCACGAGCUCAACACCACCGCUGCUCCAAGCCGUCUAGGGCAUUGGGAACCACCCAAGAGUAACAAGAAAUCCACAGCAAACUCAAGAAUCAAGUGCCACUAAAUGCAACUCUCAAAGCAAUGCACUUGAAUCUCAAUCAAUCUCACUAGGAUUAGCAAUCAAGCAAGGAGAUGAGUGGAGGGAGUGUUCUCAAGCUUAAUGUAUGCCUCAAGUAUUCAAAUGUGCAAGAGUUGGCCACCUCCUAUUUAUAAGCUCUCUCAAAGAACUAGCCGUUGGCCACUUUCAAUGGGCUGAAAUCGGGGCCACCGGAUGCUACCAAGUGAGCACCGGACGCUCGAUCCCCUGCGUCCGGUGCACGGAAGUCAGCCACGUGUCUUUCUAGAAUCUCGCGCGUUAGACUCUAACGGUCACCUGCGGACCACCGGACGCAACCAAGUGGGCACCGGACGCGUCCGGUGCUCACCGGUCUCGUGCGCAGAGAGUUUCGCAAACCUGCAGGGUCACCGGACGCAAGCCACCGGACGCACCCUCAGCGUCCGGUGCUCACCGGACUCAUGCGCAGAGAGGGUCACCAAAACGCCCGCACACCGGACGCUGAGCACCGGACUCACUCCGGUGCAUCCGGUGCACACUGGACAGACCCGACAGUCCACCGGACGCUAAAAGCCAGCGUCCGGUGCCUCUGCACCCUACCUCCGGUGAGAAACACUCCCACGACUUCUCCAAAUUUCCCAUCGACGCAAUAGAAAAUAUACACUUAAUUUUCUCAAAAGCACUGAAUCCCGCCGAGCUUGCCACCCCUCUCAUCCCUAGGAACUCCACCUCCUUUGAAAAUGUGCUAACAUCAACAAGUGUCCACCACCAAAGUGCAUGUGUGUUAGCUUUUCACAAACAUUUUCACCAAAGGAGUUAUGUUAGCACUUUACUAGAUCCUAAUGCAUAUGCUCAAGAUAUGGACCUAGUAGCACUUGAUUCGAGAGAUGACCGUGAUUUCCCCUCUUGAUAGUUGGCUAUCUAUCCUAAACCCGGUCAAUCACUUCUCUACUCAUCUUAGACCGGCAAACGUAAAACCCUAGGUUUAUACCUUUGCCUUGAUAACUUUGCUCCUCGUUUAUCAUCAUGAUCUUCACAUCAUGCUUCAUCCCUUUGUGAUCAUGUAGCCACCUUUCCAUGCCACCAUGCACCUUCAUCACAUGUGUUGCUAUGCCUAACUCAAAUCACUUAAACACAAGGCAUUAGCAACUUGGUGUCAUUAAUUACCAAAACCAAACUUGGGCUUUCAAUCUCUCCUUUUUUGGUAAUUGAUGACAACCAUCACAAAGAUAUGAAAUGAAAUCGUAAUGAACUUGAAUUGCUUGUCCAAAGCAUUUUUAAACAAGAGACAAUAUUGGACAAACAUUUCAAUUUCGGUUUUGGUAGUACUAGCUCCCCCUACAUAUGUGCUUCCAUGAGUUUGGUUCAAGUUUGCACAUAUGCAUGAAUUGGAAUUUUGGGAGAUUUAUUACUACUGAAAUGAUGCUAAGGUAUAUAGAAUGGCCCUUUGAAGCGUGAUACCAAUUGGAGUUGCCAAUCGUUUAUCAUCAUGAUCUUCACAUCAUGCUUCAUCCCUUUGUCAUGUAGCCACCUUUCCAUGCCACCAUGCACCUUCAUUACAUGUGUUGCUAUGCCUAACUCAAAUCACUUAAACACAAGGCAUUAGCAACUUGGUGUCAUUAAUUACCAAAACUAAACUUGGGCUUUCACCUACAGGGUAGGUAUGGAAACCAAAGGUAAAUUUAGAAUUAAAUCCUACAUAGGACAUAACACUUGUGGUGCCAUCUGAUGUACCCCUUAAUCGUUGAGCGAACAAGAGGGUCCUCAGGACAUAAAAUCACCAAAUGCCGCACCAAGAGGUAACUUGGUAUUUAUCUGCAUUUUCCUUUAGGUUAUUUACUUCUCUUAAUUGCAUUACUAGUUGCAUCUUUACUUUAUUAUUUCUGCAUCUCUACAACUAAAACAUUGGUAGAGCAAUCGUCCCCCAGCAGUUUUCGCUCGCUUCGCUUCCCCCCGGCCCGCAAUCACUCGCACUCUGCUUGGUGGACCUGAACAUCUCCUACUCCCUCCCCUCCAAUCGCGCUCGCCGCCGCCUCCUCCUCUCCCACGCUCCCUUCCCCUCGCCACGCGCUCGCUGCCGCCGCCGCCUCCUCUCCCACGCUCCCUCCCCCUCGCCCAUUGCGUGCUGCGGCGCUGCGCUCGGAGAUGGUGCUGCGAAUGUGUGCUGCGUCCCGGAUCAACUUAUAGUUGGUAUGCGGUUGCUUAAUCGAUGUUGAUUCGAACCAAUCUUAUACCCACCAUCGCCUGCUGCUGUUGCAUGUGCUGCCGUUCAUCGCUGCCUUUUCUUCUCCAGUUCACAGCGCCUGCUCUCUCUGGUAGCGACGACUGGACGGCAGCACUACGCCAGGUGCCUAGGUCGACAUUAGGCCCUUUGCUAAGUCUUAACCUGGUACUUUUACUGAGAGGACAACCACCAAGUAUGCCAACCCCUUCUGUUCCCUUCUUGCUGUACGAAACUGAGCACCCAACCCCUCUUAAACUAAUUUGCUAUUUGUAUUCAGAUCAGAUCUAAUUACAUGUGUGUACAUGUAUUAUGCCUGCUAACUUCGAUUCCUUUCAAUAUUAUCAAGCCUACAUGUGCAUACCCAUGUCCUUUGUUGGAUCUACGCCUGCAGUCUUUAUGCUUUGCACUUAAUGUUCUGUGCACUGAAAAAAUUUCCAAUAAGAAAAUUCACUUAAGUGAUGAUUUCAGAACUUGGCAUUAGGGACGGGAUGCUGAUGUUAAAAUUGAAGUUAACUUACCAUGAAGCAGCAGCCAGUAGCAGCAUAAAAAUAGGAGAAGAAUGAUUUCUUUAUUCUAAGAUUUAUUUGGUUAUCAAUCUAAUUCAGAUUUGAACUGAUUAGAGUGUUGUGUGGUGCCUGCUAAGGGCCCCUUUGAACUGAUUCAUGUGUGGUUUCCUGUUAGAUUCCUAUGAAAUUCCUAAAUUUCUACAUUCCAAAGUGAUCCUAAUGCAAGAAAUUUAGGGCCUCAGUCUGUGAAUGGAGUGCUCAUGAAAAGUGAAGAUGUUUCACCUUUUCUGAAUUGCAUGUCAUUGGGCAGUCUACGCAGUUGCAGGUAUCUAAUUAGAGCUGACCCUCCCCUCCCCUCCUGAAGUUUAUUUAUUCUCUGUUUAUUUUAGCUUCUCAGCCAGCAUCCAAGAGGAUAAACUAAAAUAUGGCUACUCGAAGAAUUCUGUGUGGUUGAUGCCUAAUUAGUCCGGUCAAAUUAAUCCACGUUUGGUGCAAAUGUUGCUAUUUUUGUUCUUCCAUUUAAAGAUUCAGAAGUACAAAUGUUGGACUCCGAUGCUUUAUAUAUCUCAAAGUUCAAAAAAUGUUCCUCCAUUUGUUGGUUUAAUCAAUUUUUUGAGAACUUGAAUUCACAGAUCACAAAGAAAAAAAAACAUAGUUCCGGGUGUACCUUUCUGCAAUGGUUUCCACUUUAAGUUUCUGAGGUCCUCAAUUCCAUAGGAGCAUGCAGAGUUUAUUCAGCACUGAAAUCAUUCAGCACCUGUAACUGUUAUGAACGAGGUGGAUAUUUUGAGAUAGAUAACUAGGCCUUAUGCUUUGCCAAGAGCUUUGGGAUAACUAGGCCUUAUGCUUUGCCAAGAGCUUGAGAGAUUGAGGGAGACUAGAAUUGUUUCUUUAUAAUUCAUUGCUUGAAUUGCUUGAUUUCCAUUGUGCCCCAUGGGCUGAAUAUAAAAGGUACAUAGGACUAACACCUCUUGUGCCUAGACAAUAUGGUACUAUUCCUUUAGACAAAUAACUAAGAGAGACACUAAUUAACACUAAUGGGCUUAAGGCCCAACUAGGACACUUGCGCCCUAUGGCGCCCCUCUUUAUGCCCAUGACAGUAACCCAUCGCCAAUGCUGAGAGGCGAGGAUGGCAUUUGCUCUAACAUUUCUUCUAGAGUCUUAUUUUGAUCUAGCUGUUGCUUUCAUUGGAACAACUACAGUGUGCAAACUUUGAAGGUAACCUACUGAACUUUCAUAUUUGCCAAGGGUAGCACCUGUUUAUCCCCACCCUCUCUUGAUCCUUUUUCUGACCAAAAGUUAUUUGGGUACGAAUGAAUACAUAGUCUCAUGGAAGAUCACAAUGGAAGCAUGAUUCAUUAAAUUUCUCACAGGGUUGCUGUGCAAUAGAACUGUUGAUGCCAAGUUAAGAUAAAAUGAUGAUAUGCUCUUCAUGAAAUGUUUUGCCCUCAUAUUAUUGGACAUGUCCAGUAACCAAUAUGACAAGUUUUGGUAUGUUUCCAUUGGGAUUAUAUUGUGUCGUAAUCAUGGCUGCCUUUUUCAUACAAGUAGAUAAGGUAUUGACCCCUUUGCUAUUUUACAUGGUUUGUUUAUUUAUUUAUUUUUUUGCUCCCACAAUGCUUAUUGUGAAGGAUUUAUUUUUUGAUUCAAACAAACUCAUUGCUCAUUAUUUGACGAUGGGGGCGAAUGUUGGAUAUUUUUUGGGUGAUUAUACAUGUGGAUUUCAGAUUGUAUCUCUCUUGUGAAUUUGAAAGAAAUCUGGCAUACCCUUUAUGGAAAACUGAAUUCUGUGUGGCUCGCCAGAUCUCUUGUGAAGCUUUUUUAUCGUAAGGAAGUUCUAACUCACCAAAUCUUGUAAAAUAACAAAUUUUGAUAAUAACUUCUCAGAUCAGAACAGUUGCUUGAAACUGGCUGCUUGAAUAAUGAAAUGUUACCCUUCAAAGCUUUUUAUCGAUGGAGAUUGAGGAUCAACCAAGUGGAAUACUUUUGUCAUAUUGUGCUGACCACAGCAAUAAAAAAACAGAACAACUACAUACUUUCUCCAGUUUGUGUGCACAUUGACAUGAUGGUUUGUCAUAGUUCUAAAUUGCAAAUGUAUUAUAAGUCUCUACUAUUGCCAUUAUCUUAAUUUCUAAGAGAAUUAUCGGUUUUGCCAAAUUUCUCCCUAUUUUUCUCUUUGAGUUCUCUUAAAACAUCAUCCAUAUAUUAUGUGCAGGCUCCAACGUUUUGGGAUAGUGGUUUAAGGAACCUGAAAUAUGUCAUCAUUUUUUAGUGGAGUGACAUUCCAAUGCUUUCAUGGUCAUGUUAACUCAAUGCAAAAGAGCUGAAAACGAGAAUGAAACCUAAUCAGCUUCGGCUUAGGCUAACCUAAAUGUAAGGCAGCAACCAAAUCCUAUGUAAAAUUUUUAGAGUUCAUGAGACAAACUAGCCUAAUUUCAAACAUGAUUUCAUACAGGGAGUACACUUUUUUGGCACAUAGCCGAGUGACUACUAAAAUAAAACUAUCCACAUCUCCUAUGUCCGUUUGACAGCAAUUUGAGGCAAUUCUUGAAGACAUGGUGUGAGCUUAGACACCAUGUUACUCAUCGUCAUCUUACUUUGGCAGCUCCAUAACACGCCUAGCAGCCACUUUAGAAAAUUUCCGAAACUUAUCUAUUUUUAUAAAAAAAAUAAAUUGCUGGUUGUGUUUGAUUAAUCACUUUUGUUAUGCAUAUAUACAUUAUUAUCCCGUUGCAGCGUACGGGCACCCACCUAGUUAGAAAAAGAAAAUAAAAAUAUGUUUUGCAUUGUAUCUAAAAAAAUGCUAAGCCCCAUGUAUUUAAUGUAUGAUGCAACAGCUCACACACUCAUCUACUGUGGUGGCACACAAAAAAAUUAUAACAGAUUUACUUUUUCUGUCUGCAUACCAUAAAUAUGAAAAGCAUAAAAAAUAUAUUGAUCCUGCUAAAAAUAAAUGGGUAUAAGAAAGUUAUAGAUUCCUAAAGCUUAGAGGUUUGUUACUAACACUUAAUCAAUUCCACAAGUUUUGUUUUCUAUUUGAGCUUCACAGGCUUUAAAGGAUCAAGAAGAGCUAACAUGCAGAAGGACGUCCUAUCCUCUAUCAGAGUACAGUCCGCAUAAGCUGAGUGUUGUUUCCAACCGUAAGUGCUCACGACACUUAGGAGGACUAGCAUGCCUUCACUGCCCGUUAGCAACCUCAACAGACCAUGUCAACAUCCAGCUUGGGGGAAAGCAACGCUCGUAUGCCAAGCUAAGUAUCCCUCGCUUAUCUAUUUAUUCCUGUGCGUUACGAUAAGAUAAAAAGAUGAAUAACUUUAGAAACCUAAUAAAAAUUUCUUUAUCUUUCAUAAUUAGUUUUGCUAGCUAAGGAGAGCUCUUAAUGAAUUUAUUAAAAUGAAUCUCUAGAACAAACUCUUAUAUGGAGAUGAUGAAUAGUUGCUCUGCCGUAAUUCCUUGCAAGUACCUAGUUUUCAACCUUGUACUAUCCCGAGUUUUAGACACAACUAUUUAGACUUAAGAUUUUACUCUGAGCCUGAAACUUUUGGGUAGCAAAUGCUUAAUCUAAAUCUAGGUAGUUGAUGGAUAUGAUAUAGGAAGGUUUUGAGCUGCUAUCAAUCUUGCUCCUAGAGAUAUGUUGGGUAUUUUAAACGCAAACAGAAAAAUCCGCAAGCGCACGGAUACCGAAGUAGCUUUCACCCGGGAAUAUUCCAGAGUAUCGAUUUUCCACAGGGAACGUGAGUGUACUAAUUAAGAUCCAAGAUCGUCCAAGGAUAACUAUAUAAUUAUUUUUGGUGGGAAGAGAGGAAGUUUCGUGAGAGUUCUCUAGUUGAUCUAAGAAUCAAGAAUUACUUCAAGAUUAUCUAUUUCUGAACAUCAGAACACUAACCACAGAAAGAGAUGAGAAGGGGGCUAGGAAGCUCUGACUACGGUCCUACAAACACCGAUCCGAACGAGGUGGAAUACGUCCACCAUUAGGGCUGUCACUACCCUAGGGCUACCACAACAAUCCGCAGGAUUGGGUGCAAUUCCAGGUAAUUGCAAGACUAAACACCACGUCUAAUCUAUUAAUUACUACUCUAGCGUUUCAAAGACUAGAGCACUUGAUGCAAGCAGGAAUCCAAUAAAUAACUUGAAUGUAAAUAAAGUAAUUAAAGAACUUAGGAAUUAUGAAUUGAAGAACCUGGAGAACGAUGAAGAACGAACCAGUUGCUGUAAAAGUACAAUGUUGAGGAAGAUCCGACAGAUCCGGCUCCUCCUCCUCCACUCUCCUCUUCUCUCUCCCUAUUUUCUAGAUUACAACUAGAACUAACUAGAACUAGAGGAACUAGAACAGAACUAGAUGAACUAGAACUAGAACUAGAUGAACUAGAGCUAGAACUAGAUGAACUAGAGGGAUCCUCUCUACUUGGAUGAAGAAUUGAAACCCUAACUUUGAUUCUGUAGAAGAGGUAUGAUCUCUAGGGGCCAGGGGACCUUGCUUAUAUAGUCUUUUCAGAUGAAUCUGGGCCGUCGGAUCAAACCGACAUUGAUCGCACGGUUUUCGUUGAUCCUUUAGGUCGGUGGAGCAUGAUCCCCGAGUUGUACCCUGAUUGGGCAGAAUAGGAGGGCGGGCGCCCUAAGGACUAGGGCGGGCGCCCUGUCCCUGAGCCCUCUCAGCUUCCGCUUUGUUUCCGUGGCUUUUGGAGUCUUCUAGAUGAUAGAAAAUUGCGCAGCACGUUCAUAUCUCUAUGUAAACUUGACGUGUGGGCCUUUCUUCCGUAUUUCCUGAUAACCCCCUGCAGAAAUAGACAAACACCAAAACUCGUGGAAUUCUAUCAGAUAAAACCCUAAGUCUGGGUGUUAGUUGCAUUUGGAUCCUUUUUCAUGAUUAGUUGAUUGUUAAAUGUGAGCAUUAAGGACCGUCAACAAGUUGCCCCAAGCUUAACCUUUGCUCGUCCCUGAGCAAAGAUGGACUCAAGAGUUUCUGCAGUGGUUUCAUGCCUUAAAGAUACACAUGCGUUCAAACAAGAUCUCAUCUCUGGGUUAGGGUAAAAUAUUAAGAUUUAAACUUACUCAUUUUACCUUCCACCAUGGGGCUUGCAACCGUCACUUGUGUCUUGAGCAGUUAAAAGAUAGAACGGUCUCGAGAAGCGCCAUGUCUCUUGUUCUUUAAUUAACUAUAGCUCUGGAGUUUUUGCAGAUUUUCAAAUAAAACUCAGAGAUUCCUUGUAUGACUCUCUCUAGUCUCUCUUUUGUGGUAUUUCUAGAUCCUUACCAAGGCAGUAAUGGUGUAUGCCUUCUCUCAAAAUAUGUGGUAAUUUUGGUAUGAGGCAUAGUGGUAUUGCCUUCUCUCUCACCCUACUCUAAUAAGGUUUUGAUAUCUGGAGCUCAUAGGUGGGAGACAGCUAAAACAUACUUACAAGACAUUUAUUGCAUAGUCAAACCAUAGAUCUAGAAGAACAAGUCAAUAAGUCAAAUCAAGAUGUGCAUGUGUGGCGAAUGAAUGGUGUAUGGUGAUGAUGGUGAUAACAAUGGUGAAAGUCUAAUUCUACUUGUGCUCUUUUGAGGGGAUACAUACCUUUCUUGCUCUUUUGAAACUUUUUUAGGAGAAUGAGAUGCUCUAUAUUUUCUUUUUCUUUUCUCUCAGGUGGGUAUCUUGUACCCCUAAUUCUACUGUCGGACACUUGUCCAUUUUUACCUCCCGUCUCACUUUUUCUUUUCUUUUGAGGUUCCGGGCACUUGCCCCUUUUGAUUUCCUUGUAUCUUCUUUUUUUAGAGCACUCACCUCUUUAAAUAAUGUAGCAAGUGGUAGUAACUGAAAUAACUUGAGCAUUUAUUUCACAGGGGAAAACAGAAAUCGGAGAAUGUUUUUGGCUAUUCUCUCUCGGAUUAGGAGAAGAAUAUUUUUGGGUGGUUCUGGAGAUGGAAAUGAGUGGAUGUAUGUGGAUGCGUACUUCCAGAGUAGAAGCAGCUUGUCUGAGUGAACGUGCAAGUGAAUCUUGAUUUAACCACAUGAUAAGCUCCUAAGGGUCUACACAGCUUGACCACACUCAAUGCUCAUAAGCAGUAAAAAGUAAAUGUAUGGUUCAAAGUCUGGCAAGCAUGUAUAUAUGGCUGUGGUAGGAUUUUAAACUCGCAUCAUACAGGAACUCACCAUGCAACAUUUUAAAGAUUUUCAAAGAUAAAAUUCUCCAGAAUUCUAGCAUCUCUAGGAACAGAUAAACAGCAGCUCAACCUUCCCAUAUCGUAUCCGUUAACGACUUAGACUUUAGAUCAAGUACUCUUCCCACAAGUUUAGGUUUAGAGCAAAUCUUAAUUAAUCACAGUCAUGCCUAAACUUGAGAGAGAUUUCAAUUUUGAGAAUUAGUCAUGGCAGAGCAACUAUUCAUCAUUUCCAUGUGAGAGCUUAUCAUGAGGGUUCAUAGCAAACUUUAUUUAUUUAUUUAUUUAGGAAACUAAGCAAAGAUAUAUAUAAAAGCACAAAAUCUUUAUUUGGGUUUAUAUGAUUAUGCAUCUUUUUAUUAUUAGAGUAAAAUAUAAACGUGAGUAGAACACUUAGCUGGAUAAAUGGGGGUGCUCUCCCCCAAGCUGGAUUUUGACGUAAUUCCUUUUGAUGUAGCAGGUGGCGGAGGUGUAUUUGAAUGUCGGCAGCACCCUGACAGUGAUUAGGAUGUCCUCCGUCUGAUAGUCUUCUUUGAUCCUUGAAUUUUGUGGAGCUCAAAUAGACAACAAAGCUUUGUGGAACUGGUUAAGUGUUAGCAUAAAUAUCUAGCCUUUAUCAUGUUGAGCCUCCUCAAUAAAUGUUACUCUCUUUAGUAGGAUCAUAAAUUUAUUUUUAUAAUUUUGUUUUUAUAGGAUAGGAAUAUAUUUAUUUUAUUUUUAUGCCACCAUAGUGAAUGUACUUAUGGGUUUUAUGCCAUGAGCAUACUCACAUGGGGCUUACUAUUUUUAACAUUUUUAUUUUCUUUUCAAGAUAGCAUGAACCUGAUUGACUAAGCAAACUAUUUUAAAUAAUUGAAAGGAAAAGGAUAACUACCAAGUUUAGCUCUUGGCAAGACGUUCGGUGUUUUUAAGUCCUCCGAACGGGACUCUCCGUUUUCUCAGUCGUCCUAGGAUUCGCUGGAUGGCGUAGUCAGUGGUUCCGGCGGCGCAUGGUCUUCAUGUACAACUAUCUUCUCUCUACACACCUGACUCGGUGCUACAGUCUCCUCAGGACAGUUCUGUUCAAGUUGUAUGUCUUCAGAUCUUAUCACUUCUCCUUCAUAGUCCUCCCAUGCGUCCUUGAUAAUUUGCCUCCUCUGGUUGCGGUUGCGUCGUCUUCUUCUUGUCCUGACCUGCUUAGAGUCUUCAACGAUAUAGUUAGGGUCAGUAAAAUAGCGGUGUACCUUCUCUGAGGAGAAGUGCAUGUGGACUUCUCCGGUUCCAAUGUAGAUGACUGUUUUAACGGUGUUGAUGAACGGUCUGACAAGGAUGAUGGGUGGAUAGUACUCGUCUUCUCCCAUGUCAAUAACCUGAAAGUCUUUUGGAAUGUUUGAUCUGCCAUCUGGAGCUAAAUGUAUGUUGGUUUUAGGGGCAUGGUUCCGAACAGGAGCUGAUAGGUGACUACGGCCAUUAUGUUGACGCCCGACCUGGUGUCGCAAAGCGUCUUGUGGAAGUUGUAUCCAUUAAUGGAGCACUGGAUGCUUGGCAUACUUGGGUCGUCCUUUUUGGCCAGGAACGGUGACUUAAGUCGACGAUCUUGACCUCCUUGAACUUUAGUGUCCAUCAUAGCUGACUCGGUCUACAUUUGCUUGUUCCUGUUCCUCCUGUUGGUCCUCUUCCUCGGUUUAUGUCGGGAUUGCUCUGAGAUUUGUGUAGUCUUGUUCUUGAAGGAAAAACGUCUCCUUCCUCCCCUCGAUGUAGAAACUGAUCUUGGCAGUGCUAGCGUAGAUGAUAGCUCCCGAGGUGUUCAGGAAUGGCCUCCCUAGGAUGAUGGGUGCCCUCUCAUCAGUACCAGUCUCUAUUGUUGACGGUCCUUAAGUAUCAAAUUUAAUUAUCAAAUAAAUAAAGAAAAGGAUCCAAAUGAAAUCAACGUCUAGACUUUGGGUUUUAUCUGACAGAAUUCCACGAGUUUUGGUGUUUGUCUAUUUCUAUAGGGGGUUAUCAGGAAAUAUGGAAGAAAGGCCCACACGUCGGGAUUACAUAGAGAUAUCAACGUGCCGCACAAUUAUCUUACAUCUAGAAGACUCCAGAAGCCACGGGAAGGAAGCAGGGCCGAACGGGGCCAGGACCUGGGCGCCCGCCCAGUUGCCUGGGCACCCGCCCACCUCUGAAGUCCAAUCAGGACUCUGUUUCGGGGGAGAUCUCCAUCGACCUAAAGGAUCAAGGAUAACCGUUCAAUCAAUGUCGGUUUGAUCCAACGGCCCAUAUUCACUUGAAGGGACUAUAAAACCAGACCCCCCUGACCCCUGGAGGAGAGAGCCUCUCAACCCUAAUUCAUUAUUCUCAAGGGAGAAGAAGCCUCUGAUCAAGAUUAGUGCCACCACAUCAAUUAGACAUCUAGAUUAGCAUAGCUACAUAGGAUUAGAACUAGAAGGAGUCAAUCUUCGAUUGGUUUCCGGAUCUGUCAAGAGGAUUCUUGGUAAUUCUCUAAUUGUGCUUCUAAUUGUUCUUCUAAUCAUAUUUGUUCUUCAAUAUUAUGAAUAUGACUUUGUUCUACUUCAAUAUAUUGCUUAUGACUUUGCUCUACUUGUUUAUAUUCAAGAUUAUAUUGUUCUUAGUUUAUCAUAGUUAUGUACUUGGCUUAGUUAGAUUGGAUCUAUAUACAUGCUUAGGAUCGUAUAGCGUUUAUCCAUCGGAUCCAUGGGUAAAUGAUAGAUAUUGUGUAGGCGUGGUGCUUAUACAGUAUUUAUCUGCGAUUGUACCCAAUAUGCCAGAUCGUGGGAUAGUUCGUGGUAGUGAUAGCUUCAUUGAUUCUUAUGUAGUCCCCCUCUCGUGUAUUGGGCUGGCAGAGCAAUAUUAUUACAGGAGAGUGAUUGCUAUGUUUCUCAUUUACCUUGCUAAUAUCACUAUGCAUGGGCGUAGUAUUGUCUCGCAAUGAUUGCUAAGUAUGCUUGCACUAACUAUGAUAAUGCUAGACUAUAUAGUUGAGAAUAACUUAGGAAAUAAUGUUGUAGUUCAUUCUAAUACCAUGCUAAUGACUUUCUAGAGUAUCUAAUUGAGGUGCUUAUCAUAUUUAUAUGUGGCUGAUCAGAUCAAUUAUCUUUGUCACUAUUCAUUAUUUCAUAUAUCUUUUAUGUGACAUUUAUGCCUGUAUGAAAGAGUUAGAUAAAUGUUCUCAAUUAUACAUGCAAUGAUAGAUACUCAAUCUCAUAUUCUAUUCUGUAAUCAAUAUUGAUGAUUGUUAAUCCCUUCCCAGUGGUAAAAAUAUAAAUAACGAUACCUGGAAUACUUACUGGUUAAAAUGCUACAUCGGUAUUAAUCUGUGCGCUUGCAGAUCCCAUUCAUUAUUUAUUUAGAAGAGCAAUUGCAUAUUUCAAUACCGCGUCUCUCAUGUCAUGCUGGGGAUGACAACUUGGCUUAAGUUGUAUGAGGGAUAGGUUUGGCAUUUUUGGCACCGUUACUAGAAUUAGAAAACUAAGUCUACUUUUGGUAAUGAUGUUAAGAAUACCCAACAAGUAUUUUUGGCGCCGUUGCCGAGGAAGGUUGAUUACUAAUCAAGAAUGGAUAUAGAUUUUCGAGUUAUCAUUCGCAUCACUAAUAUGAUUGAGCUUAUCUAUUCUCUCAUACAGUUUUACCCCGAUAUUUUUCUAUUUUACCUUAUGCAGGGGAAUGUAUGAAUUGAAGACAUCUUCCAGGAAAUUUUGUUGGCAAUCCCAAAGCGUUAUUCAAAAAAACUAGAGCCAAGCUCAAGAAGAGAUCAUCAACACUUCAGCAAGAAGCUUCAUCCAAUUAAGAAGAUCACCGAAACUUGUCUUCAGAGUUCAAAGCCAUGGCGAACAAAUCAAUCCGCGAGUUCUCAGCUCCCACUACGGACAACAUCCGCACUGGACCUGCUGCAGAGAUCGAUGGCAACUUUGAGCUCAAGCUUGGACUUAUCAACAAGGUGCAAUCCAACCAGUUCUGUGGGAAGGCACACGAAGAUGCUAGUGCUCAUCUCCAACACUUCCUGGAGAUAUGCAGCACAUUUACCAUAUCAGGAGUCCCCAGAGAUGCUAUACUACUUUGCCUCUUCCCAUUUUCACUGUUAGGAAGAGCGAAGCAGUGGUUCUACGCUACAAAGGAGAAGAAUACUACGUGGGCACUCUGUUCAACAAACUUCCUGGCUAAGUUCUUUCCCAUGGGCAAGACCAAUGCUCUCCGUGGGAAGAUUACAAGUUUUCAGCAACAAAAUGAUGAAUCUGUUCCAGAAGCAUGGGAGCGCUUUCAAGACUAUAUCCUAGAAUGUCCCCAUCAUGGAAUGGAGAGUUGGCUACUGAUGUAGACAUUUUAUCAUGGGCUCGGCAACAGUGCCCGAGAGACCAUGGAUGCUGCAGCUGGAGGAGCAUUCUUAUCACUUACUAUACCACAAGCCACAACUCUUGUGGAGAAGAUGGCGUCCAAUCAAGGCUGGAAUGAGGAGAGGACCCAGACACGCAAGAGAGGUGGAGGUAUGCAUCAGCUCAUGGAGAUAGACAUGAUGUUUGCAAAGCUAGACCUGCUCAUGAAGAAGCUCGAUGAUAGAGCUGGAGAUAAGAAAGAAGUUAUGCACAUCUACGACUCUCACAUGACUUGUGAGGAGUGUGGAGAUACUGGACACUCAGGCAAUCACUGCCCUGAGAUGCUUGAGGAUGUGAACUACAUCAACAACAACAACUACUACUACUACAACCGUCCUCAACAAAAUCAAGGUCGGAAUGAACAGAGGCCUAACUACUCAGGAUUAGAAUCUGCAAAUCUUGUAGACAUGUUUGAUGCAGGUAAUAACUCGAGUAACCCCGUCACUGAAUUCACUACUGACCUUCUGCCGGUCAAGAGAGGCGACCCCGGACGCCCCGUUAUCCCAAUCUCCUUCGGCAUGGUGGACGUCCUAGAAGCACUCUGCGACUUUGGCUCUAGCGUCAACAUUAUACCCAGGGUACUCUAUGAAAAAUUCUUUACAUAUCCUAAACAACCAUGUGUUUGUAGUUUGCAGAUCAGGCAUUAAGUUUUACAAAAGGAAUAUUGAAGAACCUUUGCGUCUGAGUUGGUACCUUAUACGCCCUAGCAGACUUCUUGGUGAUAGAGACCGGUAAUGAUGAGAGAGAACCCAUCAUCUUAGGGAGGCCAUUCUUGAACACCUCGGGAGCUGUCAUCUAUGCCAGUGCUGCCAAGAUCAGUUUCUACAUCAAAGGGAGAAAGGAGACGUUUUUCUUCAAGAACAAGACUACACAAAUCCCAGAUCAAUCCUGACGUGAAUCAAGGAAGAGGACCAACAGGAGGAACAGGAACAAGCAAGUGUGGACCGAGUCAGCUAAGAUGGACACUACAGUUCAUGGAGGCCAAGAUCACCAACUUAAGUCACCGUUUUUGACCAAGAAGGACGACCUAGGAAUGCCAAGCAUCUACUGCUCCAUAAAUGGAUACAACUUCUACAAGACAACUUGUGACACCGGAUCGGGCGUCAACAUAAUGGCCGCAGUCACCUAUCGGCUCUUGUUCGGAACCAUGCCCCUAAAACCAAUAUACAUUGAGCUCCAGAUGGCAGAUCAGACGUUUCGAGAAGUUAAAGGAACAGUAACUGAUGUCCCAGUCAAAAUAGACGAUCAUUUUGUCUACACAGACUUUCAGGUUAUUGACAUGGGAGAAGAUGAGUAUGAUCCACCCAUCAUCCUUGGAAGACCGUUCCUCAGCACCGUUAAAGCAAUAAUCUACAUUGGAACCGGAGAAGUCCAUAUGCACUUCCCCUCAGAGAAGGUACGCCGUUAUUUUACUGACCCUAACUAUAUCGUUGAAGAAUCUAAGCAGGUAAGAAAACGACGCAACCGCAACCAGAGGAGGCAAAUCAUCAAGGACGGAUGGGCAGACUAUGAAGGAGAAGUUGUAAGGUCAGAAGACGUACAGUUUAAACAGAAUUAUCCAAAGGAGACCGUAGCACCGAGUCAGGUUUGGAAAGAGAAGAUAACCAUACAUGAGAAGGAGGCGCUGCCGGAAGUACCGACUCCGCCACCCAACGAAUCCCAGGACAAUUGAGAAAACAGAGAGUCCCGUUCGGAGGACUUAAAAACACCGAACGUCUUGCCAAGACGUAAACUUGGUAGUUAUCCUUUCCCUUCCAAUUAUUUUAGUUUACUUAGUUAAUCAUGUUCAUACUAUCCUAAAAAGAAAAUAAAAAUGUUAAAACAGUAAGCCCCAUGUGAGUAUACGAGUGGCAUAAAACCCCGUAAGUACAUUCACUGUGGUGGCAUAAAAAUAAAAUAAAUAUUUCUUUUCUGCUUUAUAAAAUAAAAAUAUAAAAAUAGGGAGUAACAUUUAUUGAGGAGUCUCAACAUGAUAAAGGCUAGAUAUUUAUGCUAUCACUUAAUCAGUUCCACAAGUUUUGUUGUCUAUUUGAGCUCCACAGAAUUUAAGAAUCAAGAAGACUAGCAGAUGGAGGACAUUCUAAUCGCUGUUAGAAUGCUGCUGACUUUCAAAUACACCUCUGCCACCUGCUAGCUACAUCAAAAGAAAUUACGACAAAAUUCAGCUUGGGGGAGAGCACCCCCAUUUAUCCCGAUAAGUAUUAGUAUCUAUCUAUCUAUAUACUUAUACUAUAUUAGUAUCUAUCUAUCUAUAUACUUAUACUAUAUUAAAAUAUAGAUAUACAUAACUAUGAAAAACCAAAUAAAGAUCUUGUGCUUAUAUAUAUAUAUCUUUUACUUAGUGAGUUUAAUAAAUAAAUAAAGUGGCUAUGCUAAUCUGAAUCUUAAUAAUAAAACUCUAGCAUGGAUAUGAUGAAUAGUUGCUCUGCCUAAUUUGCAAAUUUGAAGUUCUUUCUCAAGUUUAGACAUAACUGUUAUAAUUUAAAGCUUGCUCUAAACCUAAACUUUGUGGGAAGAAAACUUGAUCUGAAGUCUAAGUUGUUAACAGAUACGAUAUGGGAAGGUUGAGCUGCUGUUUAUCUGUUCCUAGAGAUGCUAGAAUUCUGGAGAAUUUUAUCUUUGAAAAUCUUUUAAAUGUUGCAUGAUGAGUUCCUGUAUGAUGAGAGUUUAAAUUCCUACUACAGCCAUAUAUACAUGCUUGCUAGACUUUGAGCCACACAUUUACUAUUUACUGCUUAUGAGCAUUGAGUGUGGUCAAGCUGUGUAGACCUUUAUGAGCUUGUCAUGUGGUUAAAUCAAGAUUCACUUGCACGUUCACUCAUAUAUGCUACUUCUACUCCAGAAGUACCAUCCACAUAUAUCCACCCAUUUCCAUCUCCGGAAUCACCCAAAAAUAUUCUACUCCUAAUCCGGGAGAGAAUAGCCAAAAAUAUCUCUAUUUUUUUCUGUGAAAUAAAUGCUCAAGUUAUCUUAUUACUACCACUUGCUAUAUUAUCUCAAGAGAUGAGUGCUCUAAAAAAAAGAGAAAAAAAGGAUACGAGGAAAUAAAAAGGGGCAAGUGCCCGGAACCUCGAAAGAAAAAAAAAGAGUGAGAUGAGAGGUAAAAAUGGACAAGUGUCCGACAGUAGAAAUAGGGGUACAAGAUACCCACCUGAGAGAAAAGAAAAAUAAGAGCAUCUCAUUCUCCCCAUAAAAUUUUAGAAAGCAAGAAAGGUAUGUAUCCCCUCAAAGAGCAAAAGUAGAAUUAGACUUUCACCAUUGUUAUCACCAUCAUCACCAUACACCAUUCAUUCGCCACACAUGCACAUCUUGAUUUGACUUAUUGAUUUGUUUCUUUGGAUCCAUGGUUUGACUAUACAAUAAAUGUCUUGUAAGUAUGUAUACUUUAUCUCCCACCUAUGAGCUCCAGAUAUAAAAGCCUUAUUAGAGUAGGGUGAGAGAGAAGGCAAUGUCACUAUGCCUCAUACCAUAAAUACCACAUAUCUUGAGAGAAGGCAUAUACCAUCACUGCCUUGGUAAGGAUCCAGAAAUACCAUAAAAAAGAGAUCUAAGAGAAUCAUACAAGGAAUCUCUGAGUUUUAUUUGAAAAUCUGCAAAAACACCAGAGCUAUAGCUGAUCAAGAAUAAGAGACAUGGCACUUGACUAGACUGUUCUAUCUUUUAACUACUCAAGACAGAAGUGACGGUUACAAGUCCCAUGGUGAAGGUAAAGUAAGUAAAUUUUAAGUCUUGCCAGUUUACUCUAACUCAGAGAUGAGACUUUAUUUAAAAAGCAUGUGUACCGUCAAUUUUUAAGUAUUGCAGCAACUUCUAAUCUAUCCUUGCUCACGAACAAGCAAGAGGUAAGCUUGGGGGAGUUUGUUGACGGUCCUUAAGUAUCAAAUUUAAUUAUCAAAUAAAUAAAGAAAAAGAUCCAAAUGAAAUCAACAUCUAGACUUAGGGUUUUAUCUGACAGAAUUCCAUGAGUUUGGUGUUUGUCUAUUUCUGCAGGGGGUAUCAGAAAAUACGGAAGAAAGGCCCACACGUCGGGAUUACAUAGAGAUAUCAACGUGCCGCGUAAUUAUCUUACAUCUAGAAGACUCCAGAAGCCACGGGAAGGAAGCGGAGGCCGAACGGGGCCAGGACCUGGGCGCCCGCCUAGUUGCCCUGGGCGGCCGCCCACCUCUGGAGUCCAAUCAGGACUCUGUUUCGGGGGAGAUCUCCACCGACCUAAAGGAUCAAGGAUAACCGUUCAAUCAAUGUCGGUUUGAUCCAAUGGCCCAUAUUCACUUGAAGGGACUAUAAAACCAGACCCCCUGGCCCCUGGAGGAGAGAGCCUCUCAACCCUAAUUCAUUAUUCUGAAGGGAGAAGAAGCCUCUAAUCAAGAUUAGAGCCACCACAUCAAUUAGACAUCUAGAUUAGCAUAGCUACAUAGGAUUAGAACUAGAAGGAGUCAAUCUUCGAUUGGUUUCCGGAUCUGUCAAGAGGAUUCUUGGUAUUUCUCUAAUUGUGCUUCUAAUUGUUCUUCUAAUCAUUUUUGUUCUUCAAUAUUAUGAAUAUGACUUUAUUCUACUUCAAUAUAUUGCUUAUGACUUUGCUCUACUUGUUUAUAUUCAAGAUUAUAUUGUUCUUAGUUUAUCAUAGUUAUGUACUUGGCUUAGUUAGAUUGGAUCUAUAUACAUGCUUAGGAUCGUAUAGCGUUUAUCCAUCGGAUCCCUGGGUAAAUGAUAAAUAUUGUGCUGGCGUGGUGCUUAUACUGUAUUUAUCUGCGAUUGUACCCAAUAUGCCAGAUCGUGGGGUAGUUCGUGAUAGUGACAGCUUCAUUGAUUCUAAUAUAGUCCCCCUCUCGUGUAUUGGGUUGGCAGAGCAAUAUUAUUACAGGGGAGUGAUUGCUAUGUUUCUCAUUUACCUUGCUAAUAUCACUAUGCAUGGGCCUAGUCUUGUCUCGCAAUGAUUGCUAAGUAUGCUUGCACUAACUAUGAUAAUGCUAGACUAUAUAGUUGAGAAUAACUUAGGAAAUAUUCUUGUAGUUCGUUCUAAUAACAUGCUAAUGACUUUCUAGAGUAUCUAAUUGAGGUGCUUGUUGACGGUCCUUAAGUAUCAAAUUUAAUUAUCAAAUAAAUAAAGAAAAGGAUCCAAAUGAAAUCAACAUCCAGACUUAGGGUUUUAUCUGACAGAAUUCCACGAGUUUUGGUGUUUGUCUAUUUCUGCAGGGGGUUAUCAGGAAAUACGGAAGAAAGGCCCACACGUCGGGAUUACAUAGAGAUAUUAACGUGCCGUGCAAUUAUCUUACAUCUAGAAGACUCCAGAAGCCACGGGAAGCAAGCGGAGAACGAACGGGGCCAGAGGCAGGGCGCCCGCCCUCUGUUGGAGUCCAAUCACGACUCUGUUUCGUGGAAGAUCUCCACCGACCUAAAGGAUCAAGGAUAACCGUUCAAUCUAAGUCGGUUUGAUCCAACGGCCCAUAUUCACUUGAAGGGACUAUAAAACCAGACCCCCUGGCCCCUGGAGGAGAGAGCCUCUCAACCCUAAUUCAUUGUUCUUCAAGGGAGAAGACGCCUCUGAUCAAGAUUAGAGCCACCACAUCAAUUAGAUAUCUAGAUUAGCAUAGCUACAUAGGAUUAGAACUAGAAGGAGUCAAUCUUCGAUUGGUUUCCAGAUCUGUCAAGAGGAUUCUUGGUAAUUCUCUAAUUGUGCUUCUAAUUGCUUUCUAAUUAUCUUUGUUCUUCAAUAUUAUGAAUAUGACUUUGUUCUACUUCAAUAUAUUGUGUAUGACUUUGCUCUACUUGUUUAUAUUCAAGAUUAUAUUGUUCUUAGUUUAUCAUAGUUAUGUACUUGGCUUAGUUAGAUUGGAUCUAUAUACAUGCUUAGGAUCGUAUAGCGUUUAUCCAUCGGAUCCAUGUGAUAGAUAUUGUGUAGGCAUGGUGCUUAUAUCGUAUUUAUCUGCGAUUGUACCCAAUAUGCCAGAUCGUGGGGUAGUUCGUGAUAGUGACAACUUCAUUGAUUCUUAUAUAGUCCCCCUCUCGUGUAUUGGGCUGGCAGAGCAAUAUUAUUAGAGGGGAGUGAUUGCUAUGUUUCUCAUUUACCUUGCUAAUAUCACUAUGCAUGGGCGUAGUCUUGUCUCGCAAUGAUUGCUAAGUAUGCUUGCACUAACUAUGACAACGCUAGACUAUAUAGUUGAGAAUAACUUAGGAAAUAUUCUUAUAGUUCGUUCUAAUACCAUGCUAAUGACUUUCUAGAGUAUCUAAUUGAGGUGCUUAUCAUAUUUAUUAUGUGGCUAAGUUAUGAUCAGAUUAAUUAUCUUUGUCACUAUUCAUUAUUUCAUAUAUCCUUUAUGUGACACUUACCCCUGUAUGAAAGAGUUAGAUAAAUGUUCUCAAUUAUACAUGCAAUGAUAGAUGCUCAAUCUCAUAUUCUAUUCUGUAAUCAAUAUUGAUGAUUGCUAAUCCCUUCCUAGUGGUAAAAAUAUAAAUAACGAUACCUGGAAUACUUCCCAGUUAAAAUGCUACAUCGGUAUUAAUCUGUGCGCUUGUAGAUCUCAUUCAUUAUUUAUUUAGAAGAGCAAUUGCAUAUUUCAAUACCGCAUCUCUCAUAUCAUGCUGGGGAUGACAACUUGGCUUAAGUGGUAUGAGGGAUAGGUUUGGCAUUUUUGGCACCGUUACUAGAAUUAGAAAACUAAGUCUACUUUUGGUAGUGAUGUUAAGAAUACCCAACAAGCAUUUUUGGCGCCGUUGCGGGGGAAGGUUGAUUACUAAUCAGGAAUGGAAUAAAGGAUUUUGAGUCAUCAUUUGCUUCACUAAUAUGAUUGAGCUUAUCUAUUCCCUCAUACAGUUUUACCCCGAUAUUUUUCUAUUUUAUCUUAUGCAGGGGAAUGUAUGAAUAGAAGGCAUCUUCCAGGAAAUUUUGUUGACAAUCCCGAAGCGUUAUUCAGAAGAACUAGAGCCAAGCUCAAGAAGAGAUCAUCAACACUUCAGCAAGAAGUUUCAUCCAAUCAAGAAGAUCACCGGAACUUGUCUUCAGAGUUCGAAGCCAUGGCGAACAAAUCAAUCCGCGAGUUCUCAGCUCCCACUACGGACAACAUCGGCACUGGACCUGCUGCAGAGAUCGAUGGCAACUUUGAGAUCAAGGCUGGACUUAUCAACAUGGUGCAAUCCAACCAGUUCUGUGGGAAGGCACACGAAGAUGCUAGUGCUCAUCUCCAACACUUCCUGGAGAUUUGCAACACAUUCACCAUAUCAGGAGUUCCCAGAGAUGCUAUACUACUUCGCCUCUUCCCAUUCUCACUGUUAGGGAGAGCGAAGCAGUGGUUCUACGCUACAAAGGAGAAGAAUACUACGUGGGCACUCUGCUCAACAGACUUCCUGGCUAAGUUCUUUCCCAUGGGCAAGACCAAUGCUCUCCGUGGGAAGAUUACAAGUUUUCAGCAACAAAAUGAUGAAUCUGUUCUAGAAGCAUGGGAGUGCUUCCAAGACUACAUCCUAGAAUGUCCCCAUCAUGGAAUGGAGAGUUGGCUAUUGAUGCAGACGUUUUAUCAUGGGCUCGGCAAUUGUGCCCGAGAGACCAUGGAUGCUGCAGCUGGAGGAGCAUUCUUAUCACUUACUAUACCACAAGCCAUAGCUCUUGUGGAGAAGAUGGCAUCCAACCAAAGCUGGAAUGAAGAGAGGACUCAGACACGCAAGAGAGGUGGAGGUAGACAUGCUGUCUGCAAAGCUAGACCUACUCAUGAAGAAGCUCGACGAUAGAGCUGGAGAUAAGAAGGAAGUUAUGCACAUCUACGACUCUCACAUGACUUGUGAGGAGUGUGGAGAUACUGGACACUCAGGCAACCACUGCCCUGAGAUACUUGAGGAUGUGAACUACAUCAACAACAACAACAACAACUACUACAACCGUCCUCAACAAAAUCAAGGUUGGAAUCAGCAGAGGCCUAACUACUCAGGUAAUUAUCAAGGUAACAGUUCUUACAACAAUAAUAAUAAUUUUCCACCUCUGAGAGAGUUAGUGUCUAAUCAAGGAAAGCUAAUGGAUAAUCUAUCUAAGAAAUUGGCAUCAAAUGAUAAAAUGCUAGAAAAUAUAAAUAAUAGAAUGGAUAAUUUCUGUACUGCCACCAAGAAUCAAAUUAGCUUUAAUAAAAUGAUUGAAUCUCAGUUAAAUCAAAUAGCUGUUGUUGUUCCUACUACUAACCCCGGUAUACCAUCACAACCGGAAGGAUUAGAAUCGGAAAAUCUUGUAGACAUGUUUGAUGCGGGUAAUAACUGGAGUAACCGAGUCACUGAAUUCACUAGUGACCUUCUGCUGGUCAAGAGAGGCGAUCCAGGAUGCCCCGUCAUCCCGAUCUCCAUCGGCAUGGUGGACGUCCCAGAAGCACUCUGCGACUUUGGCUCCAGCGUCAACAUUAUGCCCAGGGUACUCUAUGAAAAAUUCUUUACAUAUCCUUUAUUAGAAACAACCGUGUGUUUGCAGUUUGCAGAUCAGACAAUAUGUUUUCUAAAAGGAAUAUUGAAGAACCUUUGUGUCCGAGUUGGUACCUUGUAUGCCCCAGCAGACUUCGUAGUGGUAGAGACCGGAAAUUAUGAGAGGGCACCCAUCAUCUUAGGGAGGCCAUUCUUAAACACCACGGGAGCUAUCAUCUACGCUAGCACUACCAAGAUCAGUUUCUACAUCAAAGGGAGGAAGGAGACAUUCUUCUUCAAGAACAAGACUACACAAAUCCCAGAUCAAUCCAGACGUCAAUCAAGGAAGAGGACCAACAGGAGGAACAGGAACAAGCAAGUGUGGACCGAGUCAGCUAAGAUGGUCACUGCAAUUCAUGGAGGCCAAGAUCAUCAACUUAAGUCACCGUUUUUGACCAAGAAGGACGACCCAGGAAUGCCAAGCAUCUACUGCUCCAUAAAUGGAUACAACUUCUACAAGACGUUUUGCGACACCGGAUCGGGCGUCAACAUAAUGGCCGCAGUCACCUAUCGGCUCUUGUUCGGAACCAUGCCACUAAGACCAACAUACAUUCAGCUUCAGAUGGCAUAUCAGACAUUCCGAGAAGUUAAAGGAACAAUAACUGAUGUCCCAGUCAAAAUAGACGAUCAUUUUGUCUACACAGACUUUUAGGUUAUUGACAUGGGAGAAGACGAAUACGAUCCACCCAUCAUCCUUGGAAGACCAUUCCUCAGCACCGUUAAAGCAAUCAUCUACAUUGGAAUCGGAGAAGUCCAUAUGCACUUUCCCUCAGAGAAGGUACGCCGUUAUUUUAUUGACCCUAACUAUAUCGUUGAAGAAUCUAAGCAGGUAAGAAAACGACGCAACCGCAACCAGAGGAGGCAAAUCAUCAAGGAUGGAUGGGCAGACUAUGAAGGAGAAGUGGUAAGGUCAGAAGACGUAGAGUUUAAACAGAAUUAUCCAGAGGAGACCGAAGCAUCGAGUCAGGUAUGGAAAGAGAAGAUAACUAUACAUGAAGACAAGGCGCCGCCGGAAGUACCGACUACGCCAACCAAUGAAUCCGACGUCAAUUGAGAAAGAGAAGAGUCCCGUUCGGAGGACUUAAAAACACCGAACACCUUGCCAAGAGGUAAACUUGGUAGUUAUCUUUUUCCCUUUCAAUUAUUUCAAAUAGUUUGCUUAGUUAAUCAUGUUCACACUAUCCUAAAAAGAAAAUAAAAAUGUGAAAAACAGUAAGCCCCAUGUGAGUAUACAAGUGGCAUAAAACCCAUAAGUACAUUCACUGUGGUGGCAUAAAAAUAAAAUAAAUAUUUUUCUGCUUUAUAAAAAUGAAAAUAUAAAAACAGGGAGUAAUGAUUAUUAAGGAGUCUCAACAUGAUAAAGGCUAGAUAUUUACGCUAACACUUAAUCAGUUCCACAAGCUUUGUUGUCUAUUUGAGCUCCACAGAAUUUAAGAAUCAAGAAGACUAGCAGACGGAGGACAUUCUAAUUGCUGUCAGAUGCUGCUGACUUUCAAAUACACCUUUGCCACCUGCUAGCUACAUCGAGAGAAAUUACGUCAAAAUUCAGCUUGGGGGAGAGCACCCCCAUUUAUCCUGAUAAGUAUUUCUAUCUAUCUUUAUACUUAUAUUAUAUUAGAAUAUAAAUAUACAUAACUAUGAAAAACCAAAUAAAGAUUUUAUGCUUAUAUAUAUAUAUCUUCUGCUUAGUGUGUUCAAUAAAUAAAUAAAGUGGCUAUGCUAAUCUGUAUCUAAAUAAAACUCUAGCAUGGAUAUUGUUGACACCAUUUUUGGACACGUGUCCAGGAUAGCAGGAUAAGGUGGCAGUACGAUGCGGGUUGCUGAUAAGGAUGGUUGCCGAUGAGGGAAAGGUUGAAUGUGACUAAGUCCUCAAGCAGUAAUACGGUGCCGAUGACCAAGUAAAAAGGUCUGCCGAUGACUAUGGCAAGGGGAUUGCCGAUGACGCGAAGGAGGAGUCCGGAAGCUGCCAGUUGUCAUGUGGAGGAGUUUUGGUUUGUUACGAAGGGUGGUUUUAUUAUUUCCUUAGUUAUUCGCAUCGUUUUGUAUACGGGUUCCGUGUAAAUUGGAAUUCGAAUUCUAAUCGUGUCUGGUCUUAGCUCUUUGAGCAGGGUAUAAAUAUAAGCCCUAGGACCUUGUAAUAAGACAUCAAUCAAUCAAUCAAACACACGUUUUUACUCAUAUUCCAGCAUUUACUUUUCGACGACUUCGUCAUACGUUUUCUUUUUGUUACGAGUUCUUAGGAAUUCGUCGACUCAAGCUCGGCGUAUCCUCAAGUUCCGCGUGAGUACCUCUUAGCCGUGACAUCCGGGCGCAUCGCUGUUGUCAGGACUAAAGUAUUCGAGUUAUCACCUUUGCCGAUAGUAAGGUCAAAUCGGCUGGCACGCCUUAACGUUUGGAUCGGGUAUUAGCCCUUUGUGUUUGCAGAUUAGUUUUUGCAUCAACACAUCUUUUGGCACGCCCAGUGGGACCGAUUCAAGAUCAAGAUCAGCAUGUCGAUCUCUGAUCUCGAUCAAGACAACGUCAUCCCCGUGACGGAAGCCAACCUCAAGGAUGAGCAGAAGCAAGCUAUUGCCCAAGCUAUGGAAGAGUUCAAGCAGCAAUGCCUGAAGUCUUUCAGCAUAAACAGGAGCGGCGAAGUGGUCCAGAAAGAUGCACUGCCGGCACCACGGCAGGUCACUUUUGACGCCAAUCCUGGCAAGCUUCAAGACAUGGUUGACAAUGCCAUCAAUCGAGCGCUGAUCAACCAAGCUGGUGUACUGUCUAAUACGGUUUUCAACGCCGUGGCAAGAACCUUCAAGGAAGGACAAAUCCCGCCGGAUUAUGUGGGCCCUUCCCAUCAUCAACCCAUGGCACCAGAGGUUACGGCUCCAUCGGCUGCCUUGACGAGUGCAAGUGCACAGUCUGCCGUCCCUCCAAGUACAUUGGGAACUACUGGCGCACUAUCUAUGCCGAUGGCAACCAACCCACAAAUUUCAGUUGGGCAGCAUAAACUGACAACAGAUAUGUUGGCAUCGGCAAUGUCGGGAUUAACUCUUCCUCCCAACUGGUGGGGUUAUGGUAUGCCUCCAGAGUUGACGCCAGGAACAUCACAGGUAACUGACAUGAGGGGCAAAACUCCUAUGACAUCGGCACCUUCCAAUGUGCCGGUGAACCAGAGUCCUCGGUAUACCACAACUACUACUGCAAGGCCUCACACUGGAAAUCCUCAAGAUUCAAUGUUCCAGAUGCCCAACGCAUCGGCAGAGUCAAUGCUGAUGCAACAGAGGCCUAUGGCCCAGUCGGGGUAUGUCAAUUCAACGACGAUACCCAAUCACCAAUCAUCGGCAGCACCUAUGCCGAUGAACGCUAAUAAUGGAUGGCUUGGACAGCAAGCCUUUCCACAGUCGCCCCAGCAGGGUUAUCAGACUACGGGGUUCCAGCAAGGGCAGGUUUAUCCCGGGUUCCAAGGUCAGGGAAUUCCCAACCAGCCCAUAAAUUUUGGACAGCAACUCGGAGGACAGCCAAUCGGUGGACAACAGUUUGGUAGUCCGCAGAUUGGAGGACAGGUGACCAAUACGAUGUUCCAUACAGGUCACAUCCCAAACAGACACGUGGAGGUUCGCCACCAAGUGCCGGAUCUGCAGCCGCCUCAUCGGCAAGAUGCCGAUGCUUAUUGGGCCGAUAAGAUUGCUGAAGUAAUGAGGGAACAAUUUGGGAUAAAACCCAAAGUCAACACUUAUUCUUAUCGGACACCGUAUCCUCCAGCGUAUGAUUUGAUCCCGCUUCCACAUCGGUAGAAGGUACCAGAUUUUACAAAGUUUUCCGGACAGGACGACACGUCAACCAUGGAGCAUGUCAACAGGUUCAUUAUUCAAUGUGGAGAGGCUGGUAACAGGGACGAAUUAAGGGUUCGUCUAUUUUCGUCAUCACUUUCUGGAUCGGCCUUUACUUGGUUCAUAUCGUUACCUCCCAACUCAGUAAUUACUUGGGCCGAUCUAGAGAAGCAAUUCCACAGAUACUUCUUCUCGGGGGUUCAUGAGAAGAAGAUCACCGACUUGGUUAAGUUGAGGCAACGUAAUGACGAGUCGGUUGAGGGAUUUGUGCAGAGGGUACGAGAGGUCAAGAAUAAAUGCUAUAGCCUGGUUCUGGAUGAUCGGCAGCUAGCCGAUUUGGCUUUCCAGGGUUUGUUGCCACAUAUCAGGGAUAAGUAUGCAUCUCAAGAGUUCGAGAGUUUAAGUCAUUUGGUGCAGAGAAUAUCUGAUCAAGACAUCCAGCCUUUCGAGCCUAAGAGGGCAUGGAAUAAGAAAGUGUCAUUUGUUGACGAAGCAACAAGCUCAGAUUCCGACGAGGAACCAGUAAUCGGUUUGGCAGAGUGGGUAAAAAACAAGAAGCCGAUGUCUUGUCCUUUUGGGCAGAAAGAACCAGAGAAGUUCGCCUUUGACACCGCCAAGGCCGAUAGGAUAUUUGACUUUCUGCUUCAGGAAGGUCAAAUCAAACUGUCACCUAACCAUGUGAUCCCGUCGGCAGAAGAGUUGAAGAGGAUGAGAUAUUGCAAGUGGCAUAAUGCAACUUCACAUGACACCAACGAGUGCAAAGUAUUCAGACAACAGCUGCAAUCGGCUAUAGAGUCGGGGAGGAUCAAGUUUGACAGUUCUAAGGCCCAGAAGCCGAUGAAGAUAGACCAACAUCCUUUCCCGACAAACAUGUUGGAUGCUAAGGGGAAGGCUAAGGUCUUAACAUCGAAGACAGCUGAGAAGAGUGCAUCGGUAGAUCCUCAGCAUCAAGUUACUACCGCCGAUGCAAGAAGUAAGGGCUUGGUCCAGGAAGGAGCUAGCUCAGGAAGACUUCCUCGGUCUGGUAUUGUCAUAACUCAUAGAAGGCCUCGAGAGAGAUGGCAACAACGGGAAGAUCGAUAUCGGCGCCAGCAGGAGGAUUAUCAACGGGAAGAAGAAAGACGCCGACAGGAGUGGAAUCGGCACAGGGAUCAUUGGAAUUGCCCAUUCUUCAUCCAUUGUUGGGAGGAAAAUAUCAAGCUUCCUACUGUCAGAGACUGCCCUGAAUGCAACGGUUAUGAUCGGUACGAUAGGAACGAUCGGCGUUAUCAUGAUGAUGAACGGCGAUUUAAUGGGCCAAUCAGAGGAAGAGCGUCAGUUCAUGAUCGGCUGGGGGGCAGGCUUAGUGUUCGCGAUCGGCUCGGUGACCGUGUCCAGUAUUUUCCCAGGAACCAGGAAGAGCUUGAGGAAAUGGCUAAUGCGCGAGUUCCCGAUGAGUUCAUAUUUUGCAGAGAUGCUAACACACAUCGUAUGGAGUCAAGGGAGAACCGACGCCCGGCAGUAAGGCAAAGGCCACUUCCUCCAUGGUGCCCUCAAGGAUUAACCAAGACACAGAAAAGGAGGUUGCAACGAGAAAGGCAAGAGGAGUUAAAUAAAGGAGAGAGUUCUGAAAGUCGGCAGCCGGCAGACACUAAGAAGGAAGGUCCAUCGGCAGGCGUCAACAUGGUAUUCAUGUUGCCGAUAGAGUUUCUCGCACCGGCCAGUAACGAUGAGUUGGGAUUUUCUGAUCAGAUAGCUCAGUUGGCUCUGGAUCCGAUGACGGCUAUCUUUGAGAAACCUGCCGAUAACGAGAGGCAGCAUCUUAAAGCUUUGUUCCUCAAAGGAAGGGUUGAUGGGCAGCCAAUGACUAAGAUCCUAGUUGAUGGUGGAGCUGCUAUUAAUAUUAUGCCGUAUGCAGUGUAUCGGAAGCUUGGGAAAGGGGAUCAGGAUUUGACCAAGACCGAUAUGAUGCUCAAAGACUUUGAGGGAAACGUGUCUCCGGUCAAGGGGGCGAUAUGUGCGGAGUUGACCAUCGGCAGCAAAACCUUGCCGACAACUUUUUUCGUGAUCAGCGGAAAAGGUGCCUACAAUUUAUUAUUGGGGAGAGAUUGGAUUCAUGCCAAUUGUUGUGUCUCAUCUACAAUGCAUCAGUGCUUGGUUCAGUGGGUAGGUGACAAGAUUGAGAUCGUCCCAGGGGAUUCUUCUUAUGUUAUCGCAUCGGCAGAAGCGGAUACUUAUGAAAAGACUAGGUGCAUUUCAGGAGAAGUUUGGGAGAAAGAUUUUCUCAAAGUUGCCGAUUAUGAGAUUCCACCGAUCCAAGCAGUCGGUUCUGACGACGGUUUUUAAUGGAUAGAUUCGCCGAUGAUGGAAAAUUAGGCCAGGGAUUCACAUCGGCCGAUGAUUUGGUAGAAGUAGAUAUAGGUAGUGGUGAUAAGCCUAGGCCUACUUUUAUUAGUGCUAAACUAGAUCCUGAGUGUAAACGGCAAUUAACUAGUUUGUUAAAGGAAUAUAAAGAUUGCUUUGCUUGGGAUUAUACAGAGAUGCCUGGUUUAGACCGAUCAAUUGUUGAACAUCGGUUACCCAUUAAGUCUGGAUUUCGGCCACAUCAGCAACCAGCCCGCCGAUGUAAUCCUAACAUUCUACCUGAUAUUAAGGCCGAAAUCACUAAACUUAUUGAAGCUAAGUUUAUUCGGCAGUGUCGGUAUGCCGAAUGGAUUUCCAAUGUCGUCCCGGUUUACAAGAAGAACGGGAAGCUUCGGGUGUGCAUUGAUUUCAGGAAUCUCAAUAAAGCUACGCCGAUGGAUGGAUACCCAAUGCCUGUCGCCGAUCUACUGGUUGAUGCUGCGGCUGGCCAUCGGGUCAUCAGCUUCAUGGAUGGUAAUGCGGGUUACAAUCAAAUAUUCAUGGCAGAAGAGGAUAUUCCAAAAACCGCAUUCAGGUGUCCUGGUCAUGUUGGACUAUUUGAAUGGAUAGUCAUGACUUUUGGGUUAAGGAAUGUCGGUGCUACUUAUCAAAGGGCUAUGAAUUUUAUAUUUCAUGAGUUCAUCGGCAAGAUCGUAGAAAUUUAUAUUGAUGAUGUGGUGGUCAAGUCUGGAGAUUUCUCAAAGCAUCUUGCCGAUUUACGAAGAGUGUUGGAGUGCACAAGGAAGCAUGGAUUGAAGAUGAAUCCCAACAAGUGUGCAUUUGGUGUAUCGGCAGGGCAGUUUCUUGGUUUCAUGGUACAUCAGAGGGGUAUUGAAAUUAGUCGGAGAUCUAUUGAUGCCAUCAAUAAAAUAGUGGCCCCUACCAAUAAAACCGAGCUCCAAUCUUUGAUCGGCAAAGUGAAUUUUAUCAGAAGAUUUAUAUCAAAUUUAUCUGGGAGAAUUCGUGCUUUCAGUCCUCUUCUAAAAUUGAGAGCCGAUCAGGAGUUUGUUUGGGGAGAAGAACAGCAGUUGGCUCUAGAUGAAAUCAAAAAGUAUCUAGUAAACCCUCCAGUUUUAGUUCCACCUCAACAAGGGAAACCCUUCAAAUUAUACUUAUCUACCGAUGGAUCGGUUAUCGGCUCAGCUUUGGUUCAGGAGUUUGAAGGGAAAGAGAGAGUAAUUUAUUAUUUGAGUAGGAGGUUGAUUGAUGCUGAAACCAGAUAUUCGGCCAUCGAGAAGCUGUGCUUAUGCUUAUAUUUUUCAUGUAUCAAGCUAAGACAUUACCUAUUGUCGGCCGAAUGUGCUGUUAUUUGCAAAGAUGACGUAAUCCGAUACAUGCUAUCUAUGCCAAUUAUGAGUGGAAGGAUCGGUAAAUGGAUUUUAGCGCUGUCGGAAUUCGAUUUGCGUUACGAAUCGGCUAAGGCGGUCAAAGGGCAGGUUAUGGCCGAUUUUGUGACUCAACAUUGCGGCCUAGUGGAAACCUUGGAAAUUGCACCCUGGACGCUCUUCUUUGAUGGAUCUACCUGUGAUCGGGGAGCAGGAAUCGGUAUUGUGUUAGUUUCUCCUAAGGGGAGGAAGUAUGAAUUUUCCUUACCGAUUGUUGCUACAUCAACAAAUAAUCAGGCUGAGUAUCAAGCUCUGAUCAAGGGAUUGGAGUUGUUAAGAGAAGUUCGUGCUGAUGCUGUUGAAGUAUUCGGGGAUUCCAUGUUGGUUAUAAAUCAAUUAGCCGGAAGCUAUGAAUGCCGAAGUGAAGUUCUCAUAACCUAUUUCGAGAAAAGUAUGCAACUGUUAAAGGAAUUCAAAAACUUCCGGUUGGAGCAUGUUCCCCGAUUGCAUAAUGAGGACGCUAAUCGGUUAGCCCAGCAUGCCUCAGGAUAUCAGCCAAUGAUUAAUGCAACAUCGGCAGUCAGUGCCGGUGACUGGAGGAAAGAGAUUGUCGACUAUCUAGAAGAUCCAUCUAAGAAAGUUGGAAGACGGGUUCGAUUUCAAGCGACCAAGUAUGUGCUCCUUGAAAAUGAAUUGUAUUAUCGAACUAUCGACGGAAUUCUUCUCCGAUGCUUGGGUGAUGAUGAAGCCAAAAGUUUAAUGGGGGAAAUCCAUGAAGGAGUAUGUGGAGCGCAUCAGUCAGCUUUCAAGAUGAAGUGGAUGAUUCGAAGGAAUGGAUAUUUUUGGCCAACCAUACUUGAAGAUUGUUUUAAAUAUUUCAAGGGUUGUCAAGGUUGUCAAAAGUUCGGUAAUAUCCAGAGAGCACCCGCAUCGGCUAUGAAUCCUAUAAUAAAACCUUGGCCGUUCCGGGGGUGGGCCAUCGAUCUGAUCGGCCAGAUUUAUCCACCAUCUAGCAAAGGGCAUAAGUUCAUUCUAGUUGCCACUGACUAUUUCACUAAGUGGGUCGAAGCUAUUCCCUUGAAGAAAGUCACAUCGGCCAAUAUGAUUGAUUUUGUGAAGGAGCAUAUUAUUUACCGAUUUGGGAUUCCCCAAACGAUUACUACCGAUCAGGGCACCAUGUUCACGUCAGGGGAGUUCGAUGAAUUCGCAAUCGGUAUGGGAAUUAAAGUGUUGAAUUCCUCUCCUUACUAUGCUCAAGCCAACGGGCAGGCCGAAGCGUCUAACAAAGGAAUUAUCAAGCUUAUUAAACGAAAGAUUGAAGAAAACCCUAGGCGGUGGCAUACAGUGUUAAAUGAAGCACUGUGGUCCUAUCGGAUGGCUUGCCAUGGAUCAACCAAGGUGUCGCCUUAUCAAUUGGUGUAUAGACAUGAUGCAGUAUUGCCUUGGGAGAUUAAGGCUGGAUCUAGGUGAUUAUCUUUUCAAGAUCAAUUGACUGCCGAUGAUUAUGCCACUUUGAUGACCGAUGAGUUAGAUGAUUUAGCAGGACAUCGGUUAAAGGCCUUAAUGAGUAUAGAAGAAAAUAAGAAGAGAGUUGCUAGAUGGUAUGAUAAAAAAGUAAAGACUAAGGAGUUUGCCGAUGGGGAUUUGGUAUGGAAGUUGAUUUUGCCAGUCGGGACUAAAAGUUCGAAGUUUGGGAAGUGGUCUCCUAAUUGGGAAGGUCCUUAUCGGAUAAGACACUCAGCUCCUGGUAAUGCCUAUAUUCUAGAAACUCUCGAAGGAGUUGAAUUUCCCAGAGCAUUAAAUGGCAAAUAUUUGAAGAAGUACUACCCCAGCAUAUGGAUCGACGCAUAAAAGUUUAAGUGCCGAUAACACUCCUAUCGACUGGAUUUAAAUGUUCGAGGGCAGACUUAAUGUUUCAAAAGAUGCCGAUAACAGUCUUAUCGGCUAGACUAAAAGCUGAAGGCGGAAAAACAAAGGUGUGUCGCCGAUGAAAGCUUCAGAUGCUCAACAGUGCUUGGAUUGCUGAUAUGGCGCGCAGCCGAAUCUGGUUGGCUGUCUCUAUCUCUUUGAUAUCAUCAUCGGCAGAACCUUCGAUCGGCUUCAGCUUCCUCUUCAGUUGCAGCGCUUUGCGACCAUGGACGUUUCGUUCUUGUUCAAGAUGCUUGAUGGUCUCCGGCAGUUGACUCUCUUCUUGCUGGGCUUGGGACAGAGCGUCUUCUACUUGCUUGAGUUCAGCCAGUAGAGCUUCUCUUUUUGCCGAUAGAUCAGACACUUUUUGCUUCAGUGCAUCACCUGAGGACUUUAAGGUGCCGAUGUUCUUAUGUUUCUCAUCGGCUAAGAGUUUUUCUUUCAUCAUCUCCUCAGAAAGCUGGAUUUGAGCAGCUCUAUCGGUAAGGCGUCGAGUAGCUCUCUGGUACUGUAACUGGCGGCUUUCUAGAUGUGCAGCAUGGAAGAGUGUUUCUUCAGCAUCGGCAGGAAUUUGGCCUCUAAGGGUCUUGAACAGGGCCUUGGCUGGGUCAGAAUCGUUGACCAGUUGAGUUGUGUCUUGAUGGAGUAUGGCCGAUAGCUCCUCCAGCUUAGCUCUGGCUUCUGCCGAUACAAUUCCAACUGCCCGAGAGGAGCUUGCUUCCUCGCCUUCUUCUUCGAAGAUAUCAACAGCAAAGGAGAACAAGCUGUUGGGAGAAUCUUGUUCCUGAAAAUAAAAAUGAAGUAGGUCAAUUUUAUGGUCAAAACUUCAGCAGACGAUACUGAUGGAAAAGUGGAUGACUUACUUGCUUCAAGGCGAUUUCUUGCCUUUGACUCAGAGGGGCCGAUGGAGCUGCAGGUUGAUCGGCAAAUGUUGCCGAUAGAGCGAUAUCGCCUGAAAGAAGAUAGGAAAGAUUAUAAGAAUAAAUGAGGAUAAGUUUAUCGGUAGGAGUAUUGUUGAGAUCUGUUACCCGGAGGAGAAACAACAGUUGCCUGAAUCGAGGAAACCGCCGAUGAUGUAACUGUACCUGCCGGGCCAGUUGUUUGUUCACCUACAUCAGCUGAUAUACCUGCCGUUUGAGGUUCUUCCUGCUGGGGUUCUUCCAUCUGUGGUGCUUCCUGUGUUGGUUGUGGAGAUAGUACUUGCUGUGCCUGGACGUCUGGGGAAGAAGGGGAAGAUUCCACCGGGAUUGGAAACACCGGAGGAGGAGGAGUUGCCACUUUCUGGCGCUUUGUUCCAGCCUUAGCACCGUGGAUGCCCUUCCUCUUUGGCUGGCUAGACUGGGGGGCAUCGGCGCCUUGGCGUUUGACUUUUGCCGAUGCACCAGUUUGCUGCAACAACAAAAAGGAGGUUAUGAGUACAGAUAGCCGAUACAAAGAUAAGUCAGCGUAAAUGAAAAAAGAGUUUUAACAGAUUGCCUUGAAAGCUUGUGCCAGAGUGGAAGCAGUUACCGGUGGUGAUGUCUGAGUUUUCCUGGUGGUAACUUUCUUGAGGCGCGCACCCCGGUGCACGAUGGAAGCCAGAGUGGGAGCAUUAUGGCCGAUUGAGGAGAUAGGGCCUGAUGGGAAUAAGUCGAUCGGCUUGCCACUCCUACUAACUGAUGGGGGGGUGUUGUCGAUCUGCAAAAGGAAUACAGGGGUAAGUUACCGAUGGGAGUGAUAUUGGAAAAUGAGACAUCGGUUUAAAAUACUUACAGUGUCGUCAGGGACUUCAUAUUCGGGGUCGAUCAUGCCGCGGUAUGAGAGGGCUGAUCUGCAGAACAGAUUCUCCUUCCAUUCUGCCCACCAUAGCUUGUAUGCCUGAGUGAUGAAGGCGGCUGGAACCCAUUCUGACAGAUCUACAUCCGUAUCGGCAUUUGGUGGUAGCUGGGCUACUCGAGUCCACUCGAGGAGGUUGGCGAUGGGCUCUCUGGGCUUUAUUACAUCGGCAUAAGGAAGUGCAAUCGGCAAUUGGCCGAAAGCUAGCUGGCGAGCUAAUGCCGAUGGAUUAUAAAAUUCAUAGGUUUGGGGAGAGGUUUUCGUGCUGCCGAAGAAAUUCACUGGUAUGGCUCUGGGGGUCACGAUUGUCAUCAUCACCUCAUUGUCCCUGUCAAGAGCUUCAUCAAACGGAUUGAAGGUCAGAGGGAGCAUGCUGUCUGGGUCGUCAUAAGCCAACCAUGGUCGUUCAUCUCUGGUCAGACCUUCAUACAGCGUCUCGAAGAAUCGGCCGAUCUGAUCCGGAGUGUUCCCUGAACCGGGUAAGACUAUAACAGCUUCGCCAAAGUUCAGGGGGGCACGUGUUGCCGAUUCCUCUUCACCCAACACAUGAUUCUCGGCUAUAUCUCUUGGGAAGUGCUGUGAGAACAAGUUGAGAUCAAGGCGCUUGUGCAGGUGCAGAUUGAGCCACAUAUUAAUAAACCACCAAGGACCUCCCAAGUUGCCGAUAGGUUGGCCAAGCAGGAGUUUCUGGACUACCUGAUGAAGAAGGUGAUAAACGGCACCGAGCAAAUAACGGCCGAGAGGAAAUUGGCCGCCGCUAGCCAGUCUUUCUGCUGCCGAUAGAUAGACAGAAGUCGGUCCUGCCGAUCGACCACAGAAUACAAACUUGUCUAGCCACAUGUUCAGAAAGGUGGUUUGCUCCUUUAUGGUGACAGGCCCUCUCCCGCGGUACUUCUGGAUGUACCCUGACCAACCGCCGAUAGCGCGAGUCUCCACUUUAGCACUGGGGGCGGUAUCAAAAAAAUGGGUGCUAUCGGCAGAAGAUAUAUCUAACCCAGUAAGCAUGGAUACAUCGGCAAGGGUAGGAGAAGCAGGGCCAUGGCCAAAAACAAAAGCGUUGAGAGUGUCUGACCAAAAGUAAGAUGCAGCUAUCAGCAAUGACUCGUUCCUGUGCAUAUCGGCAAUGGACAGCCUAAUGCAUUGAGCUAAUUUCCUCUCACCCCAUUGAACUUCAUAAGAGUUGCUGACCCUCAAGAACCAGUCUUUCCACCCUACGGUAGGGCUGGGCCAAGAGCGAAAGGUGUCUUUCCAUAGAUCUAAAGCAAAGUUUUCAACUCUAAAGGGAAUCCUGUUGGUUUCUGCAUUGAUAAGGUCGGUUGGAUCUGGAUCCCCUAGAGGGCCGAGGCAUUGAAGAUGUGGUUGAUCGGUAGGGAUGACAAUUUUGUUGGAUAACUCCUAGUGUUUUGAGGAAUAAAAAUACAAAGAAAAAGGAAAAGGAAAAUAUUCUGUAAGAAUGAAUCGCAGAUGAACAGGAAUGCAAGGAAAAAGUACAGCAGAUGGGAUGGAAGUUUGACCUCAGGGACGAUGAAGCCAACGGCCAUCUUGUCGUGAAGAGGACGCUGGAGGGCGCCGGAGUUGAUGAAGAAGAAUGCUUGUCGGAGAUCUUGGGGAUUGAGAAUGGCGCCGCCGCUGGAAAAGUGAAGUUGGAUGGCAGAAUGAUGCAAUGGGGGAGGAGUACCCAAGAAGGAACUAUUUAUAGGACAAGAUGGACAAGGGCAAAUCUGACUUAUUUCUUUGCCGCAUCCGAGAAGCCCGAGGGUACUCAAGUGGAUAUGGUAACUGUUCGCACGAUAAUCCAGGGAUUGUGCAGGUGAUUUGACAGGAAGCGGUCAUUAUCUAAAGAUAUUUUGCUGUGCGCGAUCUCCUGCUCGGUCCAUCGGUGAUAUUCUAUAACGGUCAUCCUACCGAUGGGCGGAUAGAGGGGAGGUAACCGUUUUUGCGAAUCUUCUGGGCAGAGCAUCGGCAGAUCUUUGUAACGGUAUUGUUGCCGAUGUACGAUUAAGAGAGAUGCCCGUUUAGGAAGUUGGGGAUUUCGAGGGAUCUGCGGAGGAUUAGGAUCAGAGUUGUCCAGAUUGAGGUUGUUAGUUACCAGAUUAGGAGCAUUAAUUGCGGAGAAGACAUCAUUACUGCAGAGAAUUUCGGAGCAUUAAUAGUUUUAUACUCCGAAACUGGGGGGCAUGUGUUGACACCAUUUUUGGACACGUGUCCAGGAUAGCAGGAUAAGGUGGCAGUACGAUGCGGGUUGCUGAUAAGGAUGGUUGCCGAUGAGGGAAAGGUUGAAUGUGACUAAGUCCUCAAGCAGUAAUACGGUGCCGAUGACCAAGUAGAAAGGUCUGCCGAUGACUAUGGCAAGGGGAUUGCCGAUGACGCGAAGGAGGAGUCCGGAAGCUGCCAGUUGUCAUGUGGAGGAGUUUUGGUUUGUUACGAAGGGUGGUUUUAUUAUUUCCUUAGUUAUUCGCAUCGUUUUGUAUACGGGUUCCGUGUAAAUUGGAAUUCGAAUUCUAAUCGUGUCUGGUCUUAGCUCUUUGAGCAGGGUAUAAAUAUAAGCCCUAGGACCUUGUAAUAAGACAUCAAUCAAUCAAUCAAACACAUGUUUUUACUCAUAUUCCAGCAUUUACUUUUCGACGACUUCGUCAUACGUUUUCUUUUUGUUACGAGUUCUUAGGAAUUCGUCGACUCAAGCUCGGCGUAUCCUCAAGUUCCGCGUGAGUACCUCUUAGCCGUGACAUCCGGGCGCAUCGCUGUUGUCAGGACUAAAGUAUUCGAGUUAUCACCUUUGCCGAUAGUAAGGUCAAAUCGGCUGGCACGCCUUAACGUUUGGAUCGGGUAUUAGCCCUUUGUGUUUGCAGAUUAGUUUUUGCAUCAACAGAUAUGAUGAAUAGUUGCUCUGCCUAAUUUGCACAUUUUAAGUUCUCUCUCAAGUUUAGAUAUAACUGUUAUAAUUUAAAGCUUCUAGACCUAAACUUGUGGGAUAAAAAUUUGAUAUGAAGUCUAAGUUGUUAAAGGAUACGAUAUGGGAAGGUUGAGCUGCUGUUUAUCUGUUCCUAGAUAUGCUAGAAUUCUGGAGAAUUUAUCUUUAAAAAUCUUUAAGCAUGAUGAGUUCCUGUAUGAUGAGAGUUUAAAUUCCUACCACAGCCAUAUAUACAUGCUUGCUAGACUUUGAGCCACAACAUUUACUAUUUACUGCUUAUGAGCAUUGAGUGUGGUCAAGCUGUGUAGACCCUUAGGAGCUUGUCAUGUGGUUAAAUCAAGAUUCACUUGCACGUUCACUCAUACAUGCUACUUCUACUCCGGAAGUACCAUCCACAUAUAUCCACUCAUUUCCAUCUCCAGAAUCACCCAAAAAUAUUCUACUCCUAAUCCAAGAGAGAAUAACCAAAAAUAUUUCUGUUUUUCCCUGUGAAAUAAAUGCUCAAGUUAUCUUGUUACUACCACUUGCUAUAUUAUCUCAAGAGAUGAGUGCUCUAAAAAAAGAGAAAAAAAGAUACGAGGAAAUAAAAAGGGGCAAGUGCCCGGAACCUCGAAAGAAAAGAAAAAAAAUGAGACGAGAGGUAAAAAUGGACAAAUGUCCGACAGUAGAAUUAGGGGUACAAGAUACCCACCUGAUAGGAAAGAAAAAGAAAAGAAAAUAAGAGCAUCUCAUUCUCCUCAUAAAGUUUCAGAAAGCAAGGAAGGUAUGUAUCCCCUCAAAGAGCAAAAGUAGAAUUAGAUUUUCACCAUUGUUACCACCAUCAUCACCAUACAUCAUUCAUUCGCCACACAUGCACAUCUUGAUUUGGCUUAUUGAUUUGUUUCUUUGGAUCCAUGGUUUGACUAUGCAAUAAAUGUCUUGUAAGUAUUUAUACUUUAUCUCCCACCUAUGAGCUCCAGAUAUUAAAGCCUUAUUAGAGUAGGGUGAGAGAUAAGACAAUGUCACUAUGCUUCAUACCACAAAUACCACAUAUUUUGAGAGAAGGCAUAUACCAUCACUGCUUUGGUAAGGAUCCAGAAAUACAACAAAAGACAGAUCUGAGAGAGUCAUACAAGGAAUCUCUGAGUUUUAUUUGAAAAUCUGCAAAAACUCCAGAGCUUGCUGAUCAAGAAUAAGAGACAUGGCACUUGGCUAGACUGUUCUAUCUUUUAACCACUCAAGAUGAAAGUGACGGUUACAAGUCCCAUGGUGAAAGGAAAAGUAAGUAAGUUUUAAGUCUUGACAGUUUACUCUAACUCAGAGAUAAGAUCUUAUUUAAAAGCAUUUGUACCGUCAAUUUUUUAAAGAUAUUGCAACAACUUAUGAUCCAUUGCUGAGUCUAUCCUUGCUCAGGGACGAGCAAGAGGUAAGCUUGGGGGAGUUUGUUGACGGUCCUUAAGUAUCAAAUUUAAUUAUCAAAUAAAUAAAGAAAAGGAUCCAAAUGAAAUCAACAUCUAGACUUAGGGUUUUAUCUGACAGAAUUCCAUGAGUUUUGGUAUUUGUCUAUUUCUACAGGGGGUUAUCAGGAAAUAUGGAAGAUAGGCCCACAUGUCGGGAUUACAUAGAGAUAUUAACGUGCAGCGCAAUUAUCUGACAUCUAGAAGACUCCAGAAGCCACGGGAAGCAAGCGGAGGCCGAACGGGGCCAGAGGCAGGGCGCCCGCCCUGUUUCCCUGGGUGCCCGCCCUCUGUUGGAGUCCAAUCAGGACUCUGUUUCAUGGGAGAUCUCCACCGACCUAAAGGAUCAAGGAUAACCGUUCAAUCUAAGUCGGUUUGAUCCAACGGCCCAUAUUCACUUGAAGGGACUAUAAAACCAGACCCCCUGGCCCCUGGAGGAGAGAGCCUCUCAACCCUAAUUCAUUGUUCUUCAAGGGAGAAGAAGCCUCUGAUCAAGAUUAGAGCCACCACAUCAAUUAAAUAUCUAGAUUAGCAUAGCUACAGAGGAUUAGAACUAGAAGGAGUGAAUCUUCGAUUGGUUUUCGGAUCUGUCAAGAGGAUUCUUGGUAAUUCUCUAAUUGUGCUUCUAAUUGCUUUCUAAUUAUCUUUGUUCUUCAAUAUUAUGAAUAUGACUUUGUUCUACUUCAAUAUAUUGCUUAUGACUUUGCUCUACUUGUUUAUAUUCAAGAUUAUAUUGUUCUUAGUUUAUCAUAGUUACGUACUUGGCUUAGUUAGAUUGGAUCUAUAUACAUGCUUAGGAUCGUAUAGCGUUUAUCCAUCGGAUCCAUGGGUAAAUGAUAGAUAUUGUGUAGGCGUGGUGCUUAUACCGUAUUUAUCUGCGAUUGUACCCAAUAUGCCAGAUUGUGGGGUAGUUCAUGAUAGUGACAGCUUCAUUGAUGCUUAUAUAGUCCCCCUCUCGUUUAUUGGGCUGGCAGAGCAAUAUUAUUACAGGGGAGUGAUUGCUAUGUUUCUCAUUUACCUUGCUAAUAUCACUAUGCAUGGGCGUAGUCUUGUCUCGCAAUGAUUGCUAAGUAUGCUUGCACUAACUAUGAUAAUGCUAGACUAUAUAGUUGAGAAUAACUUAGGAAAUAUUCUUAUAUUUCGUUCUAAUACCAUGCUAAUGACUUUCUAGAGUAUCUAAUUGAGGUGCUUAUCAUAUUUAUUAUGUGGCUAAGUUAUGAUCAGAUUAAUUAUCUUUGUCACUAUUCAUUAUUUCAUAUAUCCUUUAUGUGACACUUACCCCUGUAUGAAAGAGUUAGAUAAAUGUUCUCAAUUAUACAUGCAAUGAUAGAUGCUCAAUCUCAUAUUCUAUUCUGUAAUCAAUAUUGAUGAUUGCUAAUCCCUUCCUAGUGGUAAAAAUAUAAAUAACGAUACCUAGAAUACUUCCCGGUUAAAAUGCUACAUCGGUAUUAAUCUGUGCGCUUGCAGAUCCCAUUCAUUAUUAAUUUAGAAGAGCAAUUGCAUAUUUCAAUACCGCGUCUGUCAUAUCAUGCUGGGGAUGACAACUUGGCUUAAGUGGUAUGAGGGAUAGGUUUGGCAUUUUUGGCACCGUUACUAGAAUUAGAAAAUUAAGUCUACUUUUGGUAGUGAUGUUAAGAAUACCCAACAGUGCUUAUCAUAUUUAUAUGUGGCUGAUUAGAUCAAUUAUCUUUGUCACUCUUCAUUAUUUCAUAUAUCUUUUAUGUGACAUUUAUCCCUAUAUGAAAGAGUUAGAUAAAUGUUCUCAAUUAUACAUGCAAUGAUAGAUACUCAAUCUCAUAUUCUAUUCUGUAAUCAAUAUUGAUGAUUGUUAAUCCCUUCCCAGUGGUAAAAAUAUAAAUAACAAUACCUCGAAUACUUCCCGGUUAAAAUGCUACAUCGGUAUUAAUCUGUGCGCUUGCAGAUCCCAUUCAUUAUUUAUUUAGAAGAGCAAUUGCAUAUUUCAAUACCGCAUCUCUCAUGUCAUGCUGGGGAUGACAACUUGGCUUAAGUGGUAUGAGAGAUAGGUUUGGCAUUUUUGGCACCGUUACUAGGAUUAGAAAACUAAGUAUACUUUUGCUAAUGAUGUUAAGAAUACCCAACAUCUAUCACCACGAAGUCUGCUGGGGCGUACAAGGUACCAACUCGGACGCAGAGGUUCUUUAAUAUUCCCUUUGGGAAACUUAGUGUCUGAUCUGCAGGCAUGCCGAUGGAGAUCGGGAUGACGGUGCGUCCUGGAUUGCCUCUCUUGACUGGCAGAAGGUUAGUAAUUACUUCCACAACGGGGUUACUCCAGUAGUUACGUCCUCAAGCAUCUCAGGGCAGUGAUUGCCUAACCGUCCAGUAUCUCCAGUGUGUUUGUGCUUGUAGAUCUAGGUUCUUCACUUGGUGGAGUCUGGGAGUUGUAAAACUCCUUCAUAUGCUACUCGAAGUGUACCUGCUCAUAGAGACAAGGGCAGAGAUCAAGUGCAUGGGCUCUGUUGGUGGAAAACACCAACAGAACCAAAAGUGUAUUUGUUCUUCUCUAACCUUAAGCAUAGUGAGCAAGACAGAGUUGAUAGAUAAUAAGAUCAUGACUGUAGCAUUUAAAACAUUUGUCAGAUCAGAUCACUCAACCUAAUGGAAAGAUAAUCUAUCUAUACUUAUGUUUUUUUAUAUAUAUCUUCCAAAGAUUGAGUGUGCAACAUUUUAGCUCAUAAGAUUAGGAGUGUGGGAUCACAAAGGUGGAAGGACUAAACAGGUUGAAUCGAUUGGGUUGGUUAAUCUAGAGUUGUAAAUCAUACAUGUUUGUCUCUUUUAUUCAUGUGAACGCCAGAACCAAGGAGAAGCUUAUAGAAGUGAUAGUCAAGUACCUUAAGAUGUUACCUUACAUGAAGAGUGAUGGUACAAUAUCACCUUAUGGAAGCUUUCCUUUCUUAGCAGUUGUGCAUCAUGUUUGUGGCACCCUCCAUGGAUCAUCUCUUGUGAGCUAUGCCUUCCUUGUGUAAGUUGUUAACCUUCAUGUGUCUCUCUUUGUCUCCAAUGUGAGUUUAUCUCAGGACUUCCCAGGUCGAUAUUGAAUAUUUUCCUGCAAGGGUUAGUCCAACAAAAUAUCCAAUAUCUACUAUAGCAUACUAUCGGCUCAAAAAUCAACCUAGACACCAUGUCUAAUUUGAUUUAGGAGGGCAUCUUAACCUAAGCAUCAUGCUUAAAUUAAAAUCCCUUGGAACUAAGAUCAUCAUUCCUAAACUAAGCACCAUGCUUAAUUAAGAGAUAAAUGAAACUACUCCAAACCUAGUCAUAUACUAAAGCAAAUAAAGGUAGCACGGGAGCAUUUAUAGAAGUCUACUCAUGUGGAGAUGAAGUAGUGUGAUUAGUAUUUAACAAAUUGAGCAUGUCUCAAAGGUAGGGACAACCAAUAUAGAAACAUGGCAAAGGAUGAUUUUAUGUAAAGUUCUCCCUUAAGCUUGAAUUUUGCAAAAUUCAAGUUUGGAUGAAUUUAAUUCAAUGUUGUAUGAUGAUUGGUUGGACAUACCUUGUGCUUGUCAUUCAUCCGAUCUUCUUGCUCCAAUCCUGGAAAGGUUAGUGACAAGAAUACCCGAAGGAAUAUUUUCACAAUUAUCCUUAUAUGCUCAAUACACAAGGUAAUGCUGCAAAUAAUUAAAAGCUCAUGUUACGAUCUGAUAAGUGCUUGUUUUAGGACACUAAGCUUGUCCUUGGGAAACCAUCAAUUUAUGUCGGCAAAGUGGUUUCCCCUCCAACGCUGACCUAUAUCAAGAUCAACUCAACAAGAUCUACAAUAUUUAAUAUAGACAUAUGCAAUGACAACCGCCCUUUUAAAGUUUUUAUAAAAAGAAAGGAUGAGGGGGUUGGAGAUCUUGAAUGUGGUGAUGUUGGAAAAACCAAUGGAUUGGGAAGAUGUUGCAUAUGAGUGUGGAGUAAAUGAAGUGGCUAUGAAAUAAAUUCCAUGCUCAUUAAUGCUUAGAGUGAAAUCCAUGAGCAUACUCAAAUGAUAAGGUGAGUGUGGUAAAAAAGGAAAAGAAAAAGGAUACACGGACGACUUAGUUCAAAACUAGCACAGCUACCGUUCCCUGGCAACGGCGCCAGAAAUCUUGUUGGGUAUUUUAAACGCAAACAGAAAAAUCCGCAAGCGCACGGAUACCGAUGUAGCUUUCACCCGGGAGUAUUCCAGAGUAUUGAUUUUCCACAGGGAACGUGAGUGUACUAAUUAAGAUCCAAGAUCGCCCAAGGAUAACUAUAUAAUUAUUUUUGGUGGGAAGAGAGAAAGUUUCCUGAGAGUUCUCUAGUUGAUCUAAGAAUCAAGAAUUACUUCAAGAUUAUCUAUUUCGGGACAUCAGAACACUAACCACAGAAAUAGAUGAGAAGGGGGCUAGGAAGCUCUGACUACGGUCCUACAAACACCGAUCCGAACGAGGUGGAAUACGUCGACAGUUAGGGCUGUCACUACCCUAGGGCUACCACAACAAUCCGCAGGAUUAGGUGCAAUUCCAGGUAAUUGCAAGACUAAACACCACGUCUAAUCUAUUAAUUACUACUCUAGUGUUUCAAAGACUAGAGCACUUGAUGCAAGCGGGAAUCCAAUAAAUAACUUGAAUGUAAAUAAAGUAAUUAAAGAACUCAGGAAUUAUGAAUUGAAGAACCUAGAGAACGACGAAGAACGAACCAGUUGCUGCAAAAGUACAAUGUUGAGGAAGAUCCGACAGAUCCGGCUCGUCCUCCUCCGCUCUCCUCUUCUCUCUCUCUAUUUUCUAGAUUACAACUAGAACUAACUAGAACUAGAACUAGAGGAACUAGAACUAGAACUAGAUGCACUAGAACUAGAACUAGAUGAACUAGAGGUAGAACUAGAUGAACUAGAGGGAUCCUCUCUACUUGGAUGAAGAAUUGAAACCCUAACUUUGAUUCUGUAGAAGAGGUAUGAUCUCCAGGGGCCAGGGGACCUUGCUUAUAUAGUCUUUUCAGAUGAAUCUGGGCCGUCGGAUAAAACCGACAUUGAUUGCACGGUUUUCCUUGACCUUUAGGUCGGUGGAGGAUGAUCCCCGAGUUGUACCCUGAUUGGGCAGAAUAGGAGGGCGGGCGCCCUAAGGACUAGGUAGGGCGCCCUGUCCCUGAGCCCUCUCGGCUUCCACUUUGUUUUCGUGGCUUCUGGAGCCUUCUAGAUGAUAGAAAAUUGCGCAGCACGUUCAUAUCUCUAUGUAAACCCGACGUGUGGGCCUUUCUUCCGUAUUUCCUGAUAACCCCCUGUAGAAAUAGACAAACACCAAAACUCGUGGAAUUCUGUCAGAUAAAACCCUAAGUCUGGGUGUUAGUUGCAUUUGGAUCCUUUUUCAUGAUUAGUUGAUGGUUCAAUGUGAGCAUUAAGGACCGUCAACAAGCUCCCCCAAGCUUAACCUUUGCUCGUCCCUGAGCAAAGAUGGACUCAAGAGUUUCUGCAGUGGUUUCAUGCCUUAAAGAUACACAUGCGUUCAAACAAGAUCUCAUCUCUGGGUUAGGGUAAACUGUUAAGAUUUAAACUUACUCAUUUCACCUUCCACAGUGGGGCUUGCAACCAUCACUUGUGUCUUGAGCAGUUAAAAGAUAGAACGGUCUAGUCACGCGCCAUGUCUCUUGUUCUUUAAUUAACUAUAGCUCUUGAGUUUUUGUAGAUUUUCAAAUAAAACUCAGAGAUUCCUUGUAUGACUCUCUCUAGUCUCUCUUUGUGGUAUUUCUGGAUCCUUACCAAGGCAGUAAUGGUGUAUGCCUUCUCUCAAAGUAUGUGGUAUUUUUGGUAUGAGGCAUAGUGGCAUUGCCUUCUCUCUCACCCUACUCUAAUAAGGUUUUGAUAUCUGGAGCUCAUAGGUGGGAGACAGCUAAUACAUACUUACAAGACAUUUAUUGCAUAGUCAAACCAUGGAUCCAGAAGAACAAGUCAAUAAGUCAAAUCAAGAUGUGCAUGUGUUGCGAAUGAAUGGUGUAUGGUGAUGAUGGUGAUAACAAUGGUGAAAGUCUAAUUCUACUUGUGCUCUUUUGAGGGAAUACAUACCUUUCUUGCUCUUUUGAAACUUUUUUAGGAGAAUGAGAUGCUCUAUAUUUUCUUUUUCUUUUCUCUCAGGUGGGUAUAUUGUACCCCUAAUUCUACUGUCGGACACUUGUCCAUUUUUACCUCCUGUCUCACUUUUUCUUUUCUUUCGAGGUUCCGGGCACUUGCCCCUUUUUAUUUCCUCGUAUCUUCUUUUUUUUAGAGCACUCACCUCUUUAAAUAAUGUAGCAAGUUGUCACACCCGGAUGUAAAAGAGCAUUCGGGUGCCAAAUCACAUGUGCGCCAGGAUCACAAAUUCACACACAUGGACCGACAUCAUC
Molecule: long non-coding RNA, 155458 nt
Filed under: Sorghum bicolor (sorghum)
Lineage: Eukaryota; Viridiplantae; Streptophyta; Magnoliopsida; Poales; Poaceae
Description: long non-coding RNA (SBIC_LNC000969)
Rfam family: Plant small nucleolar RNA R71 (bases 22317-22423)
Source: RNAcentral